Molecule: long non-coding RNA, 94331 nt
Filed under: Eucalyptus grandis
Lineage: Eukaryota; Viridiplantae; Streptophyta; Magnoliopsida; Myrtales; Myrtaceae
Description: long non-coding RNA (EGRA_LNC001264)
Source: RNAcentral
AUCAAAACGACGAAGAGGAAACCGAAAACAUAGUAGACACGGCCCAUCCACAAACUAGACAUGAUGAAGAAUAGCUCGAUGAAAAGGGUGCCAAACGGGAGAGUGCCAGCACCAAGGACUAACAACCAAGAUGGGUAUUUCUGAGGUGGGAUUUCCCUAGGAAUUUGGUUAGUCCUCACAGGAUAUUCGAUCUGGGGAGCUUUCGCUCCGAGAUAUCCACCAAAAAGAGUAAGUGGAACUGAUAUGCAGAACCAGAGCAACAGCAGGAUAACGAAAAGAGAAAACGGGAUAGCUCCAGUGCUGUGACUACCCCACAAGAGAAAAUUCAGAACGGUCAGGAUCAAAAAGGCUAUACCGGGGAAGAAGCACGCGGCUUUCCAUGCAACCGACACCCAUCCCUUGUGAUCACCAGAGCCGAUGGUCCUCCAAAGUCGGACAGCAACAUAACCAGCAACUACACCAAGAAUCAUGUAGAAGAACAGCAUACCUGUGAUAAGUGUCCCACGUGAAGCAGGGGACAUGAACCCGAGUGCAGCAAAUAAUAUGGUCACCACUGCCAUUCCAAGAAUCUGGACACCGUCUCCGACCAUUAUGCAUAAAAGUGCGGGGUUUGACGGAGUGCGGAACACAUCCCCAACCACAAGCUUCCACCCAGAUAAUUCCUCAUUCAUCUGAGCCUGUGCCUCCUUGUCAAGCUCCUCGUAUCGCGUCAAGUCACGACGGACAGUCCUCAAAAAGAUCACGAGGACGAUACCAGCAAGGAAGGUGAUCACCAUAAGAGAAUUGAGGAUAGAGAACCAGUGGACUUUGGAUCCUUCCAUCUUCAAAUAAGCAUCCCAACGAGAUGGCCACUUGAUAUCACUCUCCUCGAAGGCGACCUCAUAAGUGAACACGAUGGGCUGCCCUUCCUUAAUGGCCAUUGACACAGUGGUCGGAUCACAUUUAAUCGAAGAAGGAUACUUCUCGUACAUCUUCAAGUUCUUCACUGAAUCAGCAUUAUGCAUGACACUACAAGGCACAACCUCAAAACCCACAACCAUAUAGCCCUGCACAUCUGAACCAUCAUUUCCAAUAGUUGGAAUCAUCUCGGCAGCAUCCCCUGUCCCCAUAACACGAGCAACAUUGGUCUCCUCAUACUUAUGAACCAGAACAGUGAACUUCAAAUGGUUAAACACAUAAUAGGUGUCCUGAACCUUGAUUCCCACGGGGUACCCAGUCCACCGGAGGAAAAACUCUUCCUUCUUCGUGUACCUUAUAGCAGGCAAAUUAUCAAGGAUCAGGUUGACCUGAUAAAUUUCAUCGAUCCUCUCCUUCAAGAGCUUGAAACUAUCCGCUGUGAGUGGAUCGGUGCGGCACGAGAAGAUCUCAGACUCGUUGGUGUACAUCUUAAACUGAUACGGCGAGUUCUCGAUGCGAUCCCCCAUGAGGAGCUCGCCGAGGUUCUCGGCGCUAUCCUUCACACCCUCCAGAGGCUGGCAAAAGGGCAAGCUGUAGUAGCUGUAGGGGAUCUCAGUGUCGAUGGAAGUGAGCGAAUUCACCUUCACCGACAGAGUAUCACCGACAGAAUACUUAUGCGGGUAACUCCCAGGGAGGUAAUAUCCACAUCCACAGUUCAAGACAAGGGAGACGGCCAAAACCCAGAUCUUGAACCGAUCAAAGAAGUCCAUUUCCACGACGAUAUCUCUCGAUCCGCGUCAGAUCUGGACGAACCCAGUUGCGAAAGCAAGCUAAUCAGUCAAUGCAAAGAGCAAAACCCCCAUCUGGGUUCGACGACAUCACUCAAGAACGGCAUCAAAACGCCCAAAAAACGACUACAAACACACAUAUCAAAAGAUCCCGACUCGCACUAGCAGCUACUCGAACAACUAGAGGAAAGAUCAAGAAACAACAACAGAACAAGCGCGCACAAAUGUCACGAAGGGCACUGCAGAUCUGACUGACCUUUUGGAGAGGAACGCGCAUAGAGAGAGCAGGGGAGACUAGGCGGCAACCACAACGCCCGAAAGGUGAAAUCUAUGGCCUUUAUUUAUUGCUGGGGAAGGAGGAAGUCCAGAAGAUGCGAGACGCGAUGAUUUUUCUACGAUCCGUCCGAUGGCGGUUUGGCGUCUUUGCGUGAGCACGCUGAAACGGGGAAUACGUAUCCGCGGGGGGGCCCAAUUACCGGUUUGCCCUCCGCCGGUCCAUUUAAUUUUAAUUUCUUGAUGGUUGCUGCUUCUCGAUCAAAAUAUUAUUUAUGGUGAAUUAUGUGUAAUUGCAUAUUUAGUAUGAUAAAAUAGGAUUAAUACUAUUAAUAACCCUUAAUUGGUAUACCUUUGACGAAUUCAUAUUUUGUUAAUUUAUAUUAAAUUUUACUGUUAAAUUGCUAAGUUUGAUGAUAGUUUGAUAUUUUACGUUUUGUUUGUUAUAAAUAUAGCGAUUUGUGAUUUUUUGUGGUAUAAAUCUAAUUUAAUGAAAACUAAUAGAUAGUAAAUUUGGCGUAAAUAUACCAAUUUUGAAAUUUUGAUUUUUGAUAAAAUUGUCAUAAGUGUAUUAGUUUGGAAUUUUUAUGAUAUUAAUUUAAAUAUUAUAAUUUAUAAAUUAUGGAAAGGGGAAAGAACUAACUGGAUUCGAUAUGAGAAAUUUUGGUUACCUUAUUCACUAGGGACAAGAGAAACAAGUCUCCAUCUUAGAUUUUAUUAUAUCAAGAUGGGCAGCAUGCGUGAGAUGGCCUUGAUAAUAAUCCAUUUGGAGCACCACGUUUGUAAAGUUUUAGGGUACAGUCUAGGUGAAGAUCAAAUGCUUUGAAGAGGAGGUAGAGAUGUUCUGACAUCGUCUAUUUAACGAUUGCUGAGUAAAUUUAUGUUGAUUGAAAAUGAAAAUGAAAUUAACAAAUAAUGCGCUCAAGAAUAUCCCAAAGGGAUCGCACUUGAAUACUCCGCUUAGAAAUUUCAACUCACUUGCUGACGAGGAGGAAAUAAUAAAUGGCAUCGAAGCAUGGAUUUGCGUGAGAAGACACAACACGCGCUAUGUCUUGAUUGUCAAAUUUUAUGAAAUCACUAUUAAAGGUGAGCAUGAUUUAGAAUAAAAAAUCAGCCCAAUAAGAGCUGGUCUGCUUUCGAAUUUUGGUGGGAUUCGAUCUAAUUCCCGAGUCCAUUGUUUUGAAACCUUACUAUGCAGCUUGGUUCCUGAUUCUAUAUAGGAAUCAAAAUGGAUUGGAUCAGAUAUAGAUUCAUUAAGGCCAUGUUUGGUAACUAGCUAGCUGUUGACUAUUUAUGUUCUUUUGUUCUUCGGAAUUAAAAAAUAACAUAAAUUUGUUUGCUAACAUUAAUUAAUUUUUCAACUCUCGAGAAUAGAUCAUUGGCCAGGAAAUAUAUUUAGAAUAGAAACAAUAAAUAAAUAAAUAAAAGUUACUUCUUUGUUCUCGAGAAUAAUUUUUGAAAUCAAGUAAUUUUCUUUUUUGUUCUUUUCUUCCUUUUCUUUUCUUCUUUUUUCCUCCUCUAGAAGACAAUGUCAAUAAUCCGCCAAAGAUGAGAAUUGACGACCUUGCCAUGGCUAGGCAAGGCUCCCUCAAGACUCAUAAGGUUGCCAACUCUCAUUUCUAACCGGUCACCAGCCAUUGUUGAGGCCCGCGACCAAUUAGAGAAGGAAAAAGAAGAGAGGAAAAAAAGAAAAUUAAAUCUUAGAAAAUUACUAAAAAUUAAAAGAAAAUUCAUGUCACAAAAAAAUUGAGGAUAGUACUAACUGCAUUCCUUUUUAGUUUUUUCUAUUUCGAGAAUGGCAAUUUUGUGGAAUUAUCAAAUGUGUUCAAAUGUUGAGAAACUCAUCCGGAGAAUAGAAUAAAUAAAAAAACUAUUUCUAAGUAAAAAUUAUUCCUAAGAAUAGAAUGAUCACUAAACGUACCCUAAGUUGCCCUCAUGAAUUUAUUUGUAAGAAUUUAUGCUUAAAUUGUAAGUGAGUUGAUAGCCAAAUUUUCAUGGAUGAUUGAGAACCGACAUUCUAAAUUUAAGUUUUAUGUUACAUGUUAUGAAUUUUUCAUAAUUUGUUUUAUUUUACAUUUUCAUCUUUUAUAGAUUGUUGCUAUUAACAAAUGGGGAUUUUCAUUUUUGCUAUUGCACUCACUUUCAUCUUGCUUAACUAAAAAUGAAAAAAAAAAAAAAACUAGCCAAUUUUUAGGUAGACUUUAAAAUCGACCUUGGAACUUAUGAUAAGGUAAGUUCUAGGUUUCAAGGUGUAGGAUAGAUUUUAGGUUCCAAAAAAUAAGUAAUUAAUUUUGACAAGGAGGUCCUAAGUUAUAGGUGGAACCUAGACUAAUCCUAAAGCUGCUUAUCCCUAAACAUUGCUAACCCUUUUUUUUUAAUAAUAAAUUUGAGCUUUUAGAUAAAAGUGCUAUUCAACAUUUAAAUAUUUACGUAUUGAUCCCGUGGAGUCGUGCCUGAAAGACUAAACCAACUAUUCGAUUGUGGCGGUAAUGCGUUGGCUUGUGCACUCCAAACGCGCUACAAUAUUAUAGCGAGUUUGUCACGUUGUAGUCCUGACAUAAAAAUAGGAGAGGUUAUGUAUGAUUGAUGACUAGAGCCUAACCCCUAAUAAUCGCCAUUCUUACAUCUUUUCUUUUUUAGUACUUGUCUCGCAUGAUUAGUUUGUUGGGUCAUCAUGUGUUUCAUGUGUACAUGAAUAUAUAGAUCCCAAAUAUUUAAUUUGGAUUUAAGUCAAGGGUAAAAACUGCUCCAUGCUAGGCCUUGGAAUCGGAUUAGAUCAACCCUAUUUGGCCAGUUCUAAUCUAGUUCCAAAUUCUACAUAGUAAGUUCUAGGUUCCACAAACUGAAAACCGAUCUAGGCAACUCACCAUGGAAUUGCUCACCCCUAACUUGCACACAUUUUCUACCCAUCCAGCGGAAGUUUUUGCACUUUUGGGAUGAUGCUUAUUUGUUCUAUAACACCGAAAAGUCACAAUCACCUCCCUAGUUGAAUGUUUUUUUUUUUGGUAAAGCCUCCCUAGUUGAAUGUUGUGCUCUGCAAUUUCUAAUGGCAUCUAAUCUGAAUCCAACUUGGUGAAUGCCAGCACAUUGGGCAAACUUUGCAAUGACAUGCAUCAUUUGAUCUCGACCUCCUUCAAAGAAUCCAAUUCUUUUAGGUCAUUGAAGGCUAGUUGAAGAUGCCAUAAUGUUUUUUUUUUUCCUUUUUUUUAUGGAUUGUUUCUUGGAAUUUCUAUUGUCGCUUUUACUUUCAUUUACUUAACUAAGUGAUGAGUUGGACAUAUCCCAAUUUCUUCAUUUUGUUGUUUUGUACCGUAUUUCUCCCAAUUGCGUUACUUUACUAUUUUGUUGUAACUGCUAUUUAUCUUGAUUGUAAAUUAGGAGAUGUUUUACUAAAAUUUGCCCUUUCAAGGAAUAUAAAAAAUAAAAUGAAAACAUGAAUUAGUUAGUUUCUAGGUAGACCUUGUAAUAGGGUCGGUUCUAAGGUUGGCUUUAGAAUCUACAUGAUAGGUUCUAGAUUUUAAAAUUUGGGAAACUAAAUAAAAAUUUAGGUUCCCAAAUUUUAAAAUCUAGGAAUUUAGGAAUCGCUCACUCCUAAUUAAGUGGGCUCGACAAACUCGAGAAACUGCCCCAUUUAACUAGUUUAAGUCAUUCAUAUCCAAAGAGAAUAAGACCACGUUUAGUUCUACAUUAGAAGAUAAAGUUUAUUGUAUUUUUUGGUAUUGCAACGUUGUUUGAAUUUGCAUCGAUGGAGUCAAUAUAAUUCCUAGAUUGAAAGAAAGUGAAAUACAAACAGCCAAGCCAGUUUCAACCCACUUAGGUGCAUUUUGUUGAACUUUUGGGAAAAGCCUUUGGGAAAAUACAAAUGACUUUAAAUUAAAAGGGUUUUUCAAAAUACAAAUUGUGUUUAUUAAAUUGUAAUUUGAAAGUCCAUUAUAAAGUACCUUUAAGUAAAAAAAAUAUUUAGAUAAAUUAUAUAUAUAUAUAUAUAUAUAUAUAUAUUUGGUAUAAAGAGAAAUUAUAUUUACAAAGGACUUUUGUGAUUAAAAAAAUUGUUAAAAGAAAAAUACAAAAAUUGGCUGAUGAGGGUUGGCAGCCUCAGGUAGCCCUCGAAGACAACUGGUGAGGGCCACCUAGGGUCGAGCGACUUCCAAUGACCAUCGACGAGAGCCACUUGAGAUCGAGCGACCCCUAAUAGCCCUUCGCGGAGGUUGUGUGACCUUUGGCGACAUAAAUCUGGUUAUGGCAAGGUCAUGUGGCCUCCGGCAAUUGAGAUUCGGGUUGCGCGAUCUCGUUGUAACUAGCGACCCAGCCUAAGGUCACACGACCUCUAGGGACACGUUUGGUCAUGGCGAGGUCGCACAACCUCGGGCGAUCCAAAUUUGGGUCGUGCCUGAGGUCACACGACCUUAGGCAGCCCUUCACGAGGGUGGCAUGACCCAGAGCUAGAUCGUGGCAACGCAACUUGCGAGCGGUCACCACCACUCACCAAGGUUGCACGAUUGGCUAGUGACAGUUGCCGGGGUAGUCAUGACCUCGCUAGCCUCUCUCUAGCCAGUUGUCGACCAGCCACAUGCAACCAUGCCACUGGAGAAGAAGAUGAACAGUAAAUCAUGGGGUCUUCCAAAAAUGUUGAAAGCUUAAGACAGCCUAGAACCUGUCUUGGGCUUUCAACCUUUCAAAGGCUAUUAUUCUCUUAAUGUGUGUUUUAUAAAUUUUACCAAACACUCAAUAUUUGGCCAAAUGGACUUUGGACACUCAAAAUCCCUUCCCAAAGCAAAUCCCAAACGCACCCUCAGAAGGGGCAGAAAAGGAAAAAAGGCCGACGCUUUGGCUCUAAGCACAUGAAGCACGAAGCAAGAGCGGUCCAAAUUAAGAAAGAGAGAAGACGAACGUGGGUACCACUUUUGUUGCAUCGAGGUUUCGAUGAUUUUUAAUGUCACGAUUCCUUGAUAGUUGCUAAGUCAAAUUUCUUGUAACGUAGAUCUAAUUCUAGCUGAAGAAACCCUCAAAAGUGGUGCCAAUUAGUCAGAUCUAAAGCGACCUCGGGAUCAUGUACAAGCUCCCUAAAGAGCAAGACCGAUGCACAUAUUUCUCACUUAUACUAUAAUAAAAACAUUUAUUUUUUUAUAGAGAGAUGGAUAGAAAUCCGGGAGAGUUUGAAUGGCCCUCCGUCGUUGUAAUUAGUUCUGUCCAAUCCAAAAGAUCAGUAAAAUUCCAAAAAAUGAUCGAUGGGUUCGAUAAGGCGUCAUGGUAAAUGACGUGACUUUGUUCAUACGAGGAGACAUCAUAGUUCUAAUCGGCUGCUAAAUGAUUGAUUGGCUGGACGGUAGGUUUCCUCGAUGGAGGAAGCUUACCAAGAAUUAAUAAUUGAGCAAUUUAGUUGAUAAUUAUGGGAGAGGAUUUAACGCCAUUCGAAGAAAGUUAUUUAAUAAUUAUUUUUUAACAGAUAUUUAAUAAUUCUUUUUUUUGGUCGUAUAUUUAAUAAUUCUUUGAAGUGAUUGCGUUUUGCACUUUUUCUAUGCGAAAUCAAAUUUCUAUUUCAAGUGGGUCUUCUUUAGUCUCCCAAUGACCCAUGAAGUAAAGUCAAAAGCGACAAAAAUUAAUUUGAUAUGACUUAAAAAAAAAAUAGUUAUUGUUUUCCCAUUUUGACAAGAUUUUCAAGGUUCAAAUUCAAUCGGAAGUCAGAUAGGUAAAAAAAAAGAAAGUUGAAAGAACAGUCUAUCAGUAUCCCGUCCACAUUGUAAGGUGAUUUAUAAAUUAAUAAUUAGAAGACAAGUUAGAGCAACUAUUUUUCCGGAAUUUCUCCCACAAAUGAAAUAGGCUUUAUCGAAAGUUGUUUUUUAGUUUUGGUAGAGGAAAACAAGUUCUGCGUUGACUCCGGACAUGAAAUAUCCAAGCAAAUAAGAAAAUCAAGGCUCGUAAAGUACAACUAUUACACUUGCCCAAAAAAAAAAAAGUACAACUAUUACAAGCGAACCAAAUAUAAACAAACUUUGCGAAAGUUUAAUUGACAAGAAAGCAUGAAUACGCCGAGAUAAAGAUACAUGUUGGAAUUUCAUUGAUAAUGCGAAUCUGAAAAUGAAAAAAAGUUUAGCGUAGUAAAGUAAAGAUAUUAAAAGAUAAUAAAUUUGUUUAAUUUGUACAAUGAGCCUUUAGUAGAUAAACGAUAGCAUUUCUAGUAGUCGUGCCAUAACUGCUUCCGAGCAAUUGCCUAUAUGUUCCCUUACUUCCUAAAGUUUUGUGUCUAUAAUUCUUAUGACACCAUGAUAUAGUGUUUGCACAAUUAUUCCUUAAAAAAUGUAUAUUAGUUGUUUCACGAUCUUGAUUGUGACAAUGCCAAGAUAAUCACUAAUUCUCACUCUCUUACACAUUUUUGAAUCCCUUAGUUUUUCAACCCAUAAGCCGAGUCUACAUUGCGUCCCUUUAAGGCAUUUGAAUUAAUGUAGAAAUUCAUAUGUUUAUAAGCAUCGCUCAAGAAGUACGAGUAAUAAUUCUAUAAGGUUUUUGACUUAUAAACCCAAAUAUGAUUGUACGACAUUUCUUUUAUAAGGAUUGACAUUGAUAGUCCCAUUUGUCAAGCCGUUGACCAAGCCUAUAUUACUGUCCAACAAAGACCUCUUAGAUUGGUAAAAUCGUAUCACUUGCAAGAAUACUCGAACCCUUGUCGACAUGAUGAUAGUGAGAUGAUGUGUUUCUUGUAAAUCAUGCAUUAAUGGUUAGGAUAAAGUAGCAUUUUCCAUGAGAGUGAGUAGAAAGCCCUUUUGAAUUGAUAGUCCCUCAUUUGACAUAAAAAUUGUUAAAUAGAUUUGUAUUGCAUGAAAGUGUUUUAGCGAUAUCAUUUUUUUUCCAAAAUCAUAAGAAAUAAACUUUCCUAGAUUUAGUAAAAUUGAUUGGUUAUGGGUUAGGAAUUUUGCACUAUGAUAAAUGGAUCUUAAAUGGGUUAAAUGGGUUGAUUUGGGUUGGAUUAUUUAUGAUCGAACCCAAAUCCGACCUGACUCACCCAUUUCAAACAAGUCUACUUUGUGGUGGUUGUGCAUCUUUGACUAUUUUUCCUCUGGACAGAACAUUGCUUUGCCCCCUUCUUCCUUUAGAUCUUGCCGUGAAUGGACCAUAUAUGCACAAUACUUCUUUUUGUCUUGUUCCGAUUUUAAAUUCUUGCUUCUCAUGUUAACCCAAACAUGUGGUCAUUCAUUUUUGCUUUAUUUCUUGUUUUAAAGCAAAAAUUAUCCCCAUGUGUGAUGCUUCUUUCUCAAGCAUACGCUUCCAUCAAAAAUCUUUUUUUUUCUUUUUUAAUAAUAGUAGCAAAUAUGCACUGCUGCUACCAAUCCACGGCCACUUAAAAGAUAAUGGGCUGAACUUGAUUUUUUUUUUAUUUAUAGAUUUAGUCCAAUUAACUCAAUUAAGCUUAGAACUAUUCACUAGAAUCCUUCGCCGCCAGUCCAGUGCAAAUGCAUUAACUAAAUUAUAUCAUGAAUGCUCUUAAAAUUAUAUGUUACAUAAUUUAAUUUAAUAUUUUUGUUCAGGGAUUGGGCUCGCUCUCUAAUAUUUAUAUGCAAUAAACAACUAUAUCUAUCAAUACGAAGUAUAAACCACGUUCCAACAAAACUUGAACGUUCAACAAGAGAGAGAACCAGCUUUAAGGAAUAGAGGGCCAUCUCAUAGGCCGUGGGCCAAGGUCAAGCGUUUCAUGGACUUGUGCUGCUGGGCGGAGGAUGAUCGAAUUGGAACUGGUUUUUUGGAUGGGCUGGAGAGUGAUGGGCCGAAUUGAGUUGGCUCUAAUUAGACCAAAUUCAGAUGUUAAUGGAUUCCUUUAGUUAAAUAGAAUGGUUAAAUAAUAAAGUGAAUACGUAGGAGCACUUUACAUGUCAUUGGGUCAAUUGAUCAUGUCCCUUUAUAUAAAGGAGGAAAACAUAGGAUUUUGACAGGUUCUUCAGCCAUUGAAGCCUAUUCUACCGAACUUUCUCAUUAUACAUGUUAGAUAUUUUUAAGAAGUCAUCUUUUGUUACCAAAUUAACACACUUUGGGCUAGUUGUUGAAAUAACAAUAAAUACUUUCAUUGCUAAGACAUUAAAGAAUAAGAGAAGCUAAUACAUGCAUGCAAUGUCCUCUAGAAAAUGCUUUGAGAAGCAUCUAUCUUUCGUUACAUUGUUUGUGAUUAGGCGAUAAGCAGUAGCAAUAGUAGUGCUUACAUGAGAAGAGAAUGAGGGGGAAAUUAUUAUCAUCUAGAAGUACAAAGUUCAACAAGUAAAAAAAUUUAAAGUUUAAUAUCUAAAGUUGUUGAGGCAUGUACCUCUCUAAACUUAGAUUUGUAAGAUCGAUGUUUGUCAAUCGUUGGAGCACCCUUCGUCUACAUGAUUAGAAAGUCCUUGUUCUAUAGACGGCAUGCCUUGCUCAUUGUUUAUAUCAUCAUUGUUUUGGCUGAUAUCUCUUGACAAACUCAGAGGGAAGUUAGUGUUUUCCAAAGUUUCAACGGCUGCAAUCUCAUUGUCGCCAUCAUCCAUAUUUCUAUCUCUAAAUCUGGCUUUCUCAAAAGUAUGGGAGUUGAGGUCUCUUUCGUAAAAUCUUCUUCCCAAUGUAACAAAUUUCUCCCGUAAUGAACCUGAAGGACUUGCAACGACAUGCCAGUUUCUUUUAACAAACAUGACCAUGAAGAUGAGGAGAGCUAAAACUGCAGCAGCUCCAGCAAUCAAGAAUAGGCCCCAAAAACUGUCAAGAUCCAAGCUGUUGGAAGAAUCCGGGUAGUUGGAUUUCGGUGGCAACCAUUUAUUUUCGAUUUCCAUCAUUUUAAGCACUUCAGUAUCAUUAAGGAUUACUCGGGAAAUAUCAGGUACUAGUGGAGACCCUUUGGGGAAAACCUGUAAACAAAAGGCAAGACAUGAGAGUUUUCAAACAAAAAAAUAAAUAAUAAUCCUAGUAAUAGGAAAUUUUGAGGGUUUUCUUUUCGGGGCUGAGAGAUUGAGGACUUACAAAGCCAAAUCCAGCACUUCUUAAUGUUGGGAUCAUGGUAUAUCUUUUGCAAUAUUGAGAAAUGGCAAAUUUAAUGUAGGGGACUUCAUCGAAUGCUGCUGCAAUCCCGCCCUUGUCACUUCCCUUGGAAAGAAGCACGUCGCAUUCUUCAGUGGACUUAUAAGAUAUAAGUCUGGAAUCAUGGAACCUCAUUUACUUUAACAUUCCAUAAACAAAAGAGUUUUCCAAGUAACCCACAUUUGCUCCACUCUUAAGGAGCUCAUCCACAUCAACCACAGUUGGUUGAAGAUUUUGCACCACCAAAAGAGAGCUCAAGCUUGCCGUAUAACAUUGCGUUAGUAUAAGUACCACGAAAACCCACACGAUCACAACAAAUCUGGCUAGGUUGCUUAAUACUCUCUCCCCUGCAAUCCAAAUUAAGGGAAAGCACCUAAAUUAUCCAAGAAUGAUAUGUAGAUUACAAUGUUCAAUUGAUUUUUUAAAGUGAAGGGUGAUUACUUUGUGCAAAGACCAUGAUUGAAAACGAAAACCAAAAGCUCGUGCCAACUUGAUGCCCGGCCGGACCCUGGAAAUCUUCAUUAAUUUGGUGUUCAAGAAUCCACACGACGAAUGCUAUAAACACAAAGAAGCAUCCGAUUGUUAACCAAAGGUCCCAAGUGAGUGGCUUCAAGAAAACCCAAGCAUUCUUGCCCUUGCUGUCCUUGUAUGGCACAAGCAUUGCGACCCCCGGUUCGGUGUAUGGUGCCUUGAAGUCCACGUAUAGUGAUCUGUUUGCAGUGAUUGAUAUAUCACCCACGAUUCCAUCGUAAUUCUAUUCCAACAAAAAAAAAAUGGGAAUGUUUCUUUGUCAACAACGUGCUAGCAUAGUAAGUUUCAACAAGUAUUCCAACAAAAUCAAGAAAUUACUUGAUCGAUCAUGUCAUUGUAACUACCCAUGCUACUUCCAUUGGAAAAGGCAAACGGAAUAAGGUCAUAAGCCACAACAUAAGGCAAUUUUUCUAUAAUGGUCUGAAAGAUGUCAAUACAAUAUCCAGUGACUUUGGAUGUAUUUGUGCUAAGAUCAUUAGUCACUUGCACGAAUGGAUUGAAAUCAUCCCUCACAGGGACUAAAAUUUUCAGCCUCUUCCCAUUUGUGGGAGUGUCCCAUCCCUUAGGAAUGGAGGUGGAAUCUCCUGGCCAUAUUAUCGAUCCGAGAUUACUCUUCGAAGUGGAAUAUUUACUUUUGCUGAAUGAAUACAAAUCUCUUCGCAGCCCAUUUUCUUGCGUCCAAAACCCAAUCCCUCUUGCUGCAUGUCCAUUGAUAUUAACAAUCUGGAAUGUUGACCACUCUAGCUGCCCAUGAACGAUUCUAAAAUUUCCAGUGAGGCCCGUGAAUGUCGUACUGGCUAGUUCUUGGAGAAGUUUCGGACCACUUUUAGAGACCCCAAUAAUGUCGAGAUCUGUUGUAUCUAUUGAAGCAUCAAACAUCUGGAAGGUAAAAUUAGCCACACCCAUUUCCUCGACAGCCAUUGCUAGAGCUUGAGCAGCGUCAUAAGCCCAGUAUCCAAAAAUGUUCAACGUAGGAUUAAGGACGGAUGGAUUGUCUUGUUGGAAUUUCAUCUUCCAUCGGGCCGUGAAGUUGUUCAGGUUUGGUGUGUUCGGGAUGUAAGUGUUGAUGCCCAAUACUCCUUGCAUCGAACUAGUGACCACAGAUGAAUCCACAGAACUCAAUUGGUCAGUGAUUCCAUUAGUCAAGAUCCACACAUAACCUUCGCUCGUCAUUCCCACCUCUUUUGCUUUGACAAAUAGCCGAGAUCCGAGGGUCGGUAACAUGUGCAUUAUGAAGACCCUCGCUUGCAUAAUCAUUAACUUGUAGAGUUCCUGCAGGAUUUGACUGUCCGUGGCUGAAGGAGGAAUGAGGCUCCUAUAAGACACUCGCGUGUCGACCUCUUCCAAAGCAUCCGUAAGAGAAGGUAUGAUGCCUUCUCCGAACUCAUUGUUCACGUAUAUGAGGACCACUUCUCUCCAGCCAAAAGCUUGCACGACUACGCUUAUGGCAUUCACUUGCGAUGAGUCAUUUUGCGCAGCUCGAAUGAAGUAAGGACUCCGAAUGGAACUGAGGGAAGGACCAGUAGCAGAAAAAGAGAUGAUCGGCACAUGAGAUUUUUUUCCAAGGUGAAUGAUGAAAUUUGCUUGCAAUGAACCUUGAGGUCCUAUUAUGGCUUGGACUUGCUUAUUCUUUAUUAGAUCAAGUGCUGCAAGGGUGAGCAAAAGAUGGAGAAACAAUAACAACAUGGCACAUAAUGGAAAUUAUUAUUGAAAAGGCAUGGUAUUGAUCAGAAGCCAAUUAAACUUGAUGUGGUAUUAUAGAAAUAAAACGUUUAAGAAAAAGUAAAAUAGAAGUUUGAAGUUGGAAUAUAAUUAUUUACCAGAUUGCAGGCAUUCGUUGUUGCCUUUGAUAUUCUUUGGCAUAUGAUAUUGCAUACCAAUCAGAAACUAAUCUUUCAUGAAAGUAAAUUUAGAACAAAUAAGAAUGGAUAAAUUGGUGCAGACAAAUAAGUUGAUUUCUUUAUUUCAUGGCAUCAAAUUAUUCCACUCUAGAAUCCAAGCCCCAUAUUGCAAUUGUAUGAAUUUUGUGAGGUCAGACCUAUGUGAAGUUUUAUUAUAUAUCAAGCCUCUCGGCAUCCACUGCUUGCAUGCAUUAACAAUUAUUUGGUGGAACUAGAAAUCUUAGUUGUUUUAUUUCAUCAUUAAUGACACACAACUUCCAUGGAAAUAAAUCACUGGCUCAGCUUGAACAAUCUUGUUAACCAUGAUGUUUGGGUCAAUUGGAAAAAUAAAGGGAUAAUACCCUAAAAAACCCCAAACUGGUACACUUGUGACAAAUUUACCCCAAACUAUUUUUUUGACCACCAAAAACCCCAAAUUGGUAUACUUUUGACAAAUUUAUCCCAAACUGAUACACUUGUGACAAAUUUACCCUAUAUUAGUUUUCGUUAAAUUUUAUUCUCAAAUUAUUAAGUUAAAUGACACGUGACAAUUAACCAGUAUAUCAAUUUAGGAUUUUACGUUCCGUUUGUCACGAUUUACAAUUUUUAUGAUUUUUUUUUGUGGUAUUAAUAUAAUUUAGCAUAGGGUAUAUUUGACACAAAUUUACCAGUUUAGGAUUUUUUGCAGUCGAAUAAAUUAGUUUGAGGGUAAAUUUGUCAUAAAUGUAUCAGUUUAGGGUUUUUUAUAAUCAGUCGGGGUAAAUUUGUCACAAGUUUACCAGUUUGGGGUUUUUUAUGGUCAAAAAAAUAAUUUGGGGUAAAUUUGUCACAAGUGUACCAGUUUGGGGUUUUUUAAGGUAUUAUCCCAAAAAUAAAUCAGUGAAAUUAUGUAGAGAUAUGUACCAUGUACAUAUUUUUCCAAAGAAAGUAAUUUGAAAUUAUCUCCAUCAGCCUUCCCCCUGAAGUGACUAUUUUACUACGUAGUAUGUAUCGUUUGCAAGAUCAUUUCUGAUAGGAUUCACUAUGCAUACAUAAUUUCGUAGAAUAUUACUACAUUUAUAGUGGGAUGAGAGUCAUAAGAGAGCUAUAUAUUCUUCAAAGAAUAGAAUAGAUGAUAGUAGUCCCACUAUACCAUCCAAGACCAUAAACAAAAAUCCUCCAUUCACGUGUUGUUAUCAAGAUCAAAUCUUGUAUCCAUAAAUCUAUGUACAUUUGUAUAUUGGUGAACUACAAGAUAAUAGAGAUGGCAAACUUCUCAAUUCUAAGAUCAAUGAGAUAAGUGCAUUAAAAAUCAUAGAUUUUUUUCACAAAGGUACAAUUGAGUAUUAAAACUUAUUAUGGAAGUACAAUUGAGUUUUAAAAAUUCAAGAAAUAGUGCUUCACUCUUAAACCACAAACCAAAACCACAAGAAGUAUCUCUUUUAAUUUAUUGCUACAAAAAAUAUUUAAAAAUUGCCAUGUCAGCUUUCGUUGGACAGCUGGCGUUCACGUUAGCACCGGCCGGCCAAUUUUGGCCGAAUAAAUUAAACUGACACAAUUGUAAAAUGUUUAGAACUAAAUUAGAUUUAAAAAAAUUUGAAACUGAAUUGAUAUAAUUGUAAUAGGUUUAUGACUUUUUUUCGUAAUUCUCCUUUGAUAAAACACUCCCUCAGGAAAACAACCCAACCACGCCCCUAACAACACACAACCCCACCCUCCGGGGGAAGUUUUAUCUGGCAAUAAAUUAAAAGGUUCCAUGCUCAAAUGUAACUCUCAGUGACCAAUCUUGUUAUGAAGUCGGCGUGGCGUUGAUUGACCAUAACCCACGAAUCCCCUCCACUCUCAAGCUAAGUGUCAAAAUGCCGGUCUCGUGCGACCGAAAGACUUGGGGGCAUUAAAUUGUUACCCUCCUCAUUCCCAGUGUGAAAGAGAUCAAAUUGAAUGUUAAGUACCGACUUUUUGUUGUCUUUGAUUUUAUUAGAAGAUGAUAAAUGCACUAAACGGCUGUUUAGUGCAAAAUUAACGUUGGUCGUUUCUUCUGGGAGCUCUGGAAAUUGGGGCUGUGAGAAUCUCUGCUGUGAGAAUGCAUAUAGCUUUGAAUGGAACACAAAUUAUUUUGUCGUGUCCUUGAAAAUUUGACUGGGAAUUCUUCUCGAAUGAAAAUGAAAAUUUCAUAAGAUUGGCAAACACGUCAUUAUGAACAAUAAUUAGAUUCAUCUUAAAUCGCACAAACAGCUGCAUAAAGUACUUCAUCCUCUAUGACCAGUCAAUACGCCACAGAGAGAGAGAGAGAGAGAGAGAGAGAGAGAGAGAGAGAGAGAGAGAGAUAACCUGCGGCAGCAGCAGCAACCUCAUCUCCUUUGGAAUCUCUUACAUUGAGGACGAGCCUAGUCUUGUAGGAAGGGUUUGAAGUAUAGAAGUCAGAGAGAGAAAUGUUAAUGCAGCUCAAUCCCAUCCGACCCACCCACGUCUCCAGAUCAAGAACCACCCCAACGUUCACCAGGAACGUUUGGGCAUUAUUGUUACCGCUCUGCGCCAUGGUGAUCUGAGGGCCCUCCCUGAAAGUCGUGACGAUUGUGAAAAAGGCGAGAGCCAAAAGGAGGAGCUUUUCAGCGUCGGACGAGACUCUUGGAGGAACCAUUGAAAAGGGUUUCGGGAUAAGGCAAGUGUGCGUUAGAAAUCCCAUUCAAGGGUUGCUCAAGUGGACGGGCCGCACAACUAAUUUGUGAUGGGAAAGCAAUACGAGGAUGAUGAUAAGGGAAGCCAGCACAUAAAUUCAAUUUUUCUCCCCAUCUCAGUCUAAUCUAUGAGAUUUUGCCUUUUUACCCCAGACAAAAUGCCAGAAUAAAUGCUUCUUCGCGCGACCUUGAAAGAGUGCAAGGAACCUUUUCCGUACGCAGAUUUGAAAAAAAAGGAUUGCAAUUGUCCAUUUACGGCCUCUCUAGUGACCUAAGUAACAUUGACAUCAAUACAAGACACGUGAUACAACAUGACACGCUGACACGUUAUUUCUCAAAAAUUAAAAAUUCCGAAACGUUGGGACACAUUUUAUAAGUAUUAUUUUUAUCAAAUUAAUUUGAUUCAAAUUCACAAAUAAAUAAUUAAUAAUAAUAAAAAGCAUAUAAUGAAUUUACAUCAAAAACAUUAAUCUAUAAUUUGUUAAUAUCAUUCAUUGUUUCAAUUUGACGAAUUUAAUUUCAUUUUUAAAAUCCGGAAAAAAAAAAACAAGCAAUCCACAUUGUGGACUUGCAUGUUAGAGCAUGUCGAAAAAGAAAGAAAAAAACAAACUUGGGGGUGAAUUGUGUAUCACAAGAAGUGAGAGUCAGAAGAGAAGAGAAAAUUAUGUUUUUCUUCUUUCCCAUUUUGUUAUUUUUAUUAUUUCUUAUCUUUUUUACAUAUUUACAUUUUGGUCCCUCAUUUAUUAAAAUUUUUUAAAAUUGAUCUGUGCAUGUCGAAAUUCCGAAGUCGAGUGUUGAAGAGUGUUGGCAGAGUUAAUUGAGUAUCGGAUUUUCCAACAUCUGUUGACCUAGUAUUGGAGAGUAUUGAAGAAAGUCAGACAAGUGUCGAAGUGUCCAACAUGAGAGGCUUUUGGAAAGUCUCAGUGCUUCCUAAUCGAUGAUAUUAUGCACGGUUAGCUCUAGUUUCCCUCCUAAGAAAACGAAACUAUGUGGGGUUUUCUCUUUUGUGCGGGCUAAGAAAUCUAUAGAUGUAAAAUUAGUUGCGGGUUUUCUCUUAUGUGGGGUUUUUUUUUUUUUUUAAUACUGGAAAAGUCAAUAAUCAUACUAGUGUAUUUUAUAGUAGACACAAGUCAAUAAGCUUUUAAAAUUCUUUUUUGGGUCUCGUUAUCAAGUUAUCAUAAAAGAUAAAGAAAUAUUUUCAUUCCCAAUCCAAUGAUGCAAGUAACAUGAGAGGGAUUGUAUGAUAUCCCAAAAUUUGAUUCAUAUUUUGAAAUAUAUGAUAUGAUUAUUUCGUCGACGCGCUUAUACUUACUUUACUCUGAUCUGAUCACUUACGAGUUAACUAAUCUAUUGGGCGAUGCCGUAAAUGAGUAAAAUGUGAAAGAUUAAAGAAUUUGAUCAGAAGUUGAUCGCUCGACCAUAAGGAUCAACAAUGGUUAAUACUACACUGUUAUAAAUAAAUUAACAAACAGAUAUAAAUUGAUUUGAAAGAAUUACGUAGUCAGUUCGUAAGUGAUUCUAUACAAUUACGAUAUUCGUGUCGAACGACGAUAAACCGAUUCACGAUUCGAAGAGGCAUAAACAUGAAUCGAAAAUUAUUGACUAGGGUUCAACCGCACGAGAACCUCUAAAAACCACAAGAUAUAUUAGGUCAUACUAAAAUCAUGUUCGAUCGAUUUUUAAUCAUGAAAUUUAAUUCGAUUUUGAAUAUCGAACUUUCGAGGAUUUCGAGAUUAAAUUAUUAGACGUCAUCUCAUUGUCCGUCAAAUUAUUGGCAAGUCCAAAAUUUUCUGGAAAAUGAAUUAUCGGACGAAAAAUUGGAGACGGAAAAAAGAAAGAAAUUAGAAUCAAGAGGCAAAAUUGAAAUUUUUGAACUAAAAAGAUUUUUUUUAUGAAAUUAGAAAUAAGAAGAAAGGUGGGGACAUAACACAAGAGGGUUUUAAGGAAGUGUGGGUGAAGAAUUAUGUUCCCAUACUUCCUAAAGUAUUGUGUCCAUAUUCUCACAGUGCCAUGAUAUAGUGUUUGCACAGUUAUUCCUUAAAAAAUGUAUAUUAGUUGUUUCAUGAUCUUGAUUGUGACAAUGCCGAGAUAAUCACCAACUCUCACUCUUUUACACAUUUUUUAAUCCCUUAGUUUCUCAACCCAUAAGCCGAGUCUACAUUGUGUCUCUUUAAGGCAUUUGAAUUAACGUAGAAAUUCAUAUGUUUAUAAGCAUCGCUCAAGAAGUACGAGUCAGAUUAUUUCUUUUUCAUUUCUAUAGGGUUAUUGACAUAUAAACCUAGAGAUGAUCGCACGACAUUUCUUUUAUAAGCAUUGACCUUGAUAGUCCCCUUUGUCAAGCCGCUAACCAAGCCUGUAUUACUAUCCCAACAAAGACCUCUCAAAUUGGUAAAAUCAUACCACUUGCGAGAAUACUCAAACUCUUAUUGACAUGAUGACAGUGAGAUGAUGUGAUCCUUGUAAAUCCUACAUUAAUGGUUAGGAUAAAAUAGUAUUUUCCAUGAAAGUGAGUAGAAAGCCCUUUCGAAUUGAUAGUCCCUCAUUUGACAUAAAAAUUGUCAACUAGAUUUGUAUUGCAUGAAAGUGUUAUGCGAUAUCAUUUUUUUUUCUAAAAUCAUAAGAAAUAAACUUUCCUGGAUUUAGUAAAAUGGGUUGGAUAUGGGUUAAGAAUGAUAAAUGGGCCAUAAAUGAGUUAAAUGGGUUGAUUUGGUGGGAUCAUUUAUGAUCGGACCAAAAUCCAACCCGACUCACCCGUUUCAAACAAGUCUACUUUGUGGUGAUUGUGCAUCUUUGACUAUUUUUCCUCUGGACAGAACAUUGCUUUGCUCCCUUCUUCCUUUAGAUCUUGCCGUGAAUGGACAAUAUGCACAAUACUUCUUUUUGUCUUGUUCCGAUUUUAAAUUCUUGCUUCUCAUGUUAACCCAAAUAUUCAGUCAUUCAUUUUUGCUUUAUUUCUUGUUUUAAAGCAAAAAUAUCCUAUGAAAAAUUGGAACUGAAAUCCACCUGUUAGUUGCAUGGAUCCAUCCAAGAACCGGACCGCCGGUCCAAUCCGAUUCCCAGAUGGAUCCAUGGAACCAAUCUCACAAUAAUAAUAAUAUUAUUUUCUCAAAAGCUCCGAUUUUGACGGGAAACAACUUUGGUUUUCAACCAAAAUAGUUGGUUCUUCACCGCUUGACCUAUUCUUCUUCUCCUCCUCCUGCAGCCCUGUUUCUUCACGUGCUUGCAUUUUGCCCACCAAUUGCUCGACGUUUUGUCAAGGUGCGGUUUGGACUUUUUAGAUUCAAUGCCUCUCCAUUUGGUUUGACUGGAGAUCAACGCCUCCAUUUGGUGCACUUUGGACUUUUUUUCCCACUUUAAUUAUUUGAUUUGGGUUUGUUAAUUUGUAAUUUUAUUUUUUUUAGUAUUAAAAAUUAAUAUAUUAUUUUCAUAUAAUCGGUCUGGUUCGGAUGGGUGGGUGGACGAAUCUGCCCAUGGAACCAAGAACCGGACCGGUUCCCUCGAGAACCACCGGUUCCGGGCGUUCCGGGUGAGUCAUGAUUCUAUUGCACACCCCUACGGUCUCGUACGACCGAAAGACCUAGGGGAUUAUAUUGUUACCCUCCUCAUUCCCAGUGUGAAAUAGAUCAAUUUGAAUGUCCAGUACCGACUUUUUGUUUGUCUUUGAUUUUAUUAGAAGAUGAUAACGACUUCUUUUUCACAACGAUCAAAGCCCCCUUGGAGAUAAUGCACUAAACAGCUGUUUAGUGCAAAAUUAACGUUGGUCGUUUCUUCUGGGAGCUCUGGAAAUUGGGGUUUGAGAAUCUCUGCUGUGAGAAUGCAUAUAGCUUUGAAUGGAACGCACAUUAUUUUGUCGUGUCCUUGAAAAUUUAACCGGGAAUUCUUCUCAAAUGAAAAUGAAAAUUUCAUAAGAUUGGCAAACACCUCAUUAUGAACAAUAAUUAGAUUCAUCUUAAAUCGCACGAACAGCUGCAUAAAGUACUUCAUCCUCUAUGACCAGUCAACACGCCACAGAGAGAGAGAGAGAGAGAGAGAGAGAGAGAGAGAACCUGCGGCAGCAGCAGCAACCUCAUCUCCUUUGGAAUCUCUAACAUUGAGGACGAGCCUAGUCUUGUAGGAAGGGUUUGAAGUAUAGAAGUCAGAGAGAGAAAUGUUAAUGCAGCUCAAUCCCAUCCGACCCACCCACGUCUCCAGAUCAAGAACCACCCCAACGUUCACCAGGAUCGUUUGGGCAUUAUUGUUACCGCUCUGCGCCAUGGUGAUCUGAGGGCCCUCCCUGAAAGUCGUGACGAUUGUGAAAAAGGCGAGAGCCAAAAGGAGGAGCUUUUCAGCAUCGGACGAGACUCUUGAGAAGGCAAAGCGCGCGUUUUUUGCAUGAGAGAGAGACUUGGAGGAUACGACGACGACGACGACGAUGUAUUUAUAAUGGGGAAAAGCAUGGAAAUCCCAUUCAAGGGUUGCUCACGUGGACGGGCCCCAUAACUAAUUUGUAAUGGGAAAGCAGUACGAAGCCAGACAUAAAUUCAAUUAUUCUCCCCAUCUCAGUCUAAUCUUGGAUGUGAUUUUGCCUUCUAACCCCCGACAAAAUGCCAGAGUAAAUGCUUCUUCACGCGGCUUUGAAAGAAUGCAAGGAACCUUUUCCUUACGCGGAUUUGAAAAAAAAGAUUGCAAUUGUCCUUUAGCAUUAACAUUAAUACACGACAUGCCGACACACUAUUUUCCAAAAAAUAGAAAAUUCCAAAACGUUGGGACACAUUUUAUAAUUAUUAUUUUUAUUAAAUUAAUUUGAUUCAAAUUCACAAAUAAAUAAGUAAUAAUAAAAAAUAUAGAAUGAAUUUACACUAAAAACAUUAAUUCAUAAUGUGUUAAUAUCAUUCAUUGUUUUAAUUUAACAAAUUCAACUUCAUUUCAAUAAUUCGGAAAAAAGAAGAAAAAAGCAAGCAAUCCACAUUAUGGAUUUGCAUGUCAAAGCAUGUCGGAAAAGAAGGGAAAAAACAAACUUGGGGGUGAAUUAUGUGUUACAGGAAGUGAGAGUCAAAAAAGAAAAGAAGACUAGAUUUUUUUUUCUCAUUUUGUUAUUUUUAUUAUUUCUUAUUUUUUAUACAUAUUUACAGUUUGGUCCCUCAUUUAUUGAAUUUUUUUUUUAAAUUGAUCUAUGCAUGUCAGAAUUCCAGAGUCGAGUGUUGAAGAGUGUUGGGAGAGUUAAUCAAGUAUCAAAUUUUCCGAUAUCUAUUGACCUAGUAUUGGAGAGAGUCAGAGAGGAUCAAACACGUGUCGAAGUGUUCAACACGCACAAAGGCUUCCGAAAAGUAUUAGUGCUUCCUAAUCGAUGGCAUCAUGCACUAUUAGCUCUGGUUUCCCUCCUAAGAAAACAAAACUAUGUGGGGUUUUCUCUUUUGUGUGGGCUAAGAAAUCUAUAGACGUAAAAUUGGUAGCGUACUUAGCUAUGAAAUUGGUCGAUUGGUUUUUUCUUAUAUUGGAAAAGCUAGGAAUCACAGUAGUGUAUUUUAUAGUAGACACAAGUCAAUAAGCUUUUAAAAUUUUUUUUUGGGUCUCGUUAUCAAGUUAUCAUAAAAGAUAAAAAAAUAUUUUCAUUCCCAAUCCAAUGAUGCAAGUAACACGAGAGGGAUUGUGUGAUAUCCCUACAUCUGAUCCCUAUUUCGAAAUAUAUGAAAUGAUUAUUUUGUCAAUACGCUUAUACUUACUUUACUCUGACCUAAUCAUUCACGAGUUAACUAAUUUAUUGGGUGAGGCCGUAAAGAGGCAAAAUGAGAAAGAUUAGAGAAUUUGAUUAGAAAUUGAUCGCUCGAUCAUAAGGAUUGAUAAUGGUCAAUACCACACUGUUAUAAGUCAAUUAACGAAUGGAUAUAAAUCGAUUCGACAGAACUAUGUAGUCAGCUUGUGGGUAAUUCCACAUGAUUAUGAUAUUCAUCUCGAACGACGAUAAACCGAUUUUCUAUUGAUUUUAUAUUCAUGGUACAUAAUUGAACUCUCACGAUUACAUGAUAACUGAUGGUCAUCCGUGAUUUGAAGAGGCACAAAUAUGAAUCGAAAAUUAUUGACCAUGGGUCAAUCUCGUGAAAACCCCUAAAAGCUACUAGAUAGAUUAUGUCGUACUAAAGUCGCAUUCGAUCGAUUUUCAAUCACGAAAUUUAAUUCGAUUUCAAGUAUCGAACUUUCGAAAAUUUUGGGAUUAAAUUAUUAGAUGUCGUCUCAUCAUCCGUCAAAUUAUUGGCAAGUCUAAAAUUUUCGGAAAAGGAAUUAUCGGACAAAAAAUUGGAGACCGGAAAAAAGAAAUUAGAAUCAAGAGGCAAAAUUGAAAUUUUUGAACUAAAAAGAUUCUUUUUUAUGAAAUUAGAAAUAAAAAGAAAGGUGGGGACAUAAUACAAGAGGGUUUUAAGGAAGUGGGUUUUAAGGAAGUGUGGGUGAAGAGUAUGAUGAGAUUUUGGGAAGUAUCUCGAGGAAUCUUUUGUAUUUUCUUUCUUUCUUUUUCUUCUCUCUCCUCUCUCUUUCUUCCUCAUUCCACUCGCGCCUCCUCCCUCUGCAGACCGCCCAUCCUCCCUUCUCUCCUUCUUCUUCUCCACCUCCACUUCAUUCCCCCUCCUUCCCUCACGCCUUUCUCCCCCAUCUCUGCCCAUUCUUCCCCCUCCUCCUUUUGUUUUUCAUUUUCCUCAAACUCCCUCAUUUUCUUUCCACCACCAUCACUUACGCCACCCCCAUCACCCCAUCACCACCGCCCACACCACCGUACACCACCGUACACCACCACACAUCACCGCCAUCUCCACCACCGCUCACCGCCGUCAUCUCCACUGUUGUCCGCUCGAGUCACCACUGCAGCCAUCGCCAAUCCGAACCACCUUUUUUUAUACAGAGAUGGAUAGAAAUCCAGGAGAGUUUGAAUGGCCCUCCGUCGUUGUGGUCAGUUCUGUCCAAUCCAAAGGAUCUAUAAAAUUCCAAAAAAUGGUCGAUGGGUUCGAUAAGGCGUCUUGGUAAAUGACGUGACUUUGUUCAUAAGAGAGGACAUCAUAGUUCUAAUUGGCUGCUAAAUGAUUGAUUGGCUGGACGGUAGGUUCCCUCGAUGGAGAAAGCUUACCAAGAAUUAAUAAUUGAGCAGAUUAGUUGAUAAUUAUGGGAGAGGAUUCAACGUUGUUUGAAGAAAGUUACUCGGUAAUUCUUUGAAGUGAUUGCAUUGUGCACUUUCCAAUGCGAGAACAAAUUUCUUUUUCAAGUGGGUCUUCUUUAGUCUCACAAUGGCCGAUGAAGUAAGAUCAAAAGCGACAAAAUUAAUUUGAUGUAACUUGGUAAAAAAUAGUUACCGUUUUCCCAUUUUGACAAGAUUUUCAAGGUUCAAAUUCAAUCGGAAGUCAGAUAGGUCAAAAAAAAAAAAAGUUGAAAGAACAGUCUAUCAAUAUCCCGUCCACAUUGUAAGGUGAUUUAUAAAUUAAUAAUUAGAAGACAAGUUAGAGCAACUAUUUUGCUGGAAUUUCUCCCACAAAUGAAAUAGGUUUUAUUGAAAGUUGUUUUUUUAGUUUUAUUAGAGGAAAACAAGUUCUGUGUUGACUCCGGACAUGAAAUAUCCAAGCAAAUAAGAGAAUCAAGGCUCGGAAAGUACAACUAUUACAAGCGAACCAAAUAUAAACAAACUCUGCCAAAACUUAAUUGAUAAGAAAGCCUGAGUAUGCCGAGAUAAAGAUACAUGUUGGAAUUUCAUUGAUAGCGAAUCUGAAAAAUAAAAGUUUAGCGCAAUAAAGUAAAGAUAUUAAAAGAUAAUAAAUUUGUUUAAUUUGUACAAUGAGCCUUUAGUAGAUGGACGAUAGUAUUUCUAGUAGUUGUGCCAUAACUACUUCCAAGCGAUUGCCUAUAUGUUCCCAUACUUCCUAAAGUUUUGUGUCCAUAUUCUCACGGUGCCAUGAUAUAGUGUUAUUCCUUAAAAAAUGUAUAUUAGUUUUUUCAUGAUCUUGAUUGUGACAAUGCCGAGAUAAUCACCAACUCUCACUCUUUUACACAUUUUCGAAUCCCUUAGUUUCUCAACCCAUAAGCCGAGUCUACAUUGUGUCCCUUUAAGGCAUUUGAAUUAACGUAGAAAUUCAUAUGUUUAUAAGCAUCGCUCAAGAAGUACUAGUAAGAUUAUUUUUUUUUCAUUUCUAUAGGGUUAUUGACUUAUAAACCUAGAGAUGAUCGCACGACAUUUCUUUUAUAAGCAUUGACCUUGAUAGUCCCCUUUGUCAAGCUGCUAACCAAGCCUGUGUUAAUAUCCCAACAAAGACCUCUCAGAUUGGUAAAAUCAUACCACUUGCGAGAAUACUCAAACUCUUAUCGACAUGAUGACAGUGAGAUGAUGUGAUUCUUGUAAAUCCUACAUUAAUGGUUAGGAUAAAAUAGCAUUUUCCAUGAAAGUGAGUAGAAAGCCCUUUCGAAUUGAUAGCCCCUCAUUUGACAUAAAAAUUGUCAACUAAAUUUGUAUUGCAUGAAAGUGUUAUGCGAUAUCAUUUUUUUUUUCUAAAAUCAUAAGAAAUAAACUUUCCUGGAUUUAGUAAAAUGGGUUGGAUAUGGGUUAAGAAUGAUAAAUGGGCCAUAAACGAGUUAAAUGGGUUGAUUUGGUGGGAUCAUUUAUGAUCGGACCAAAAUCCAACCCAACUCACCCGCUUCAAACAAGUCUACUUUGUGGUGAUUGUGCAUCUUUGACUAUUUUUCCUCUGGACAGAACAUUGCUUUGCUCCCUUCUUCCUUUAGAUCUUGCCGUGAAUGGACCAUAUAUGCACAAUACUUCUUUUUGUCUUGUUCCGACUUUAAAUUCUUGCUUCUCAUGUUAACCCAUAUAUUCAGUCAUUCAUUUUUGCUUUAUUUCUUGUUUUAAAGCAAAAAUAUCCCCGUGUGUGAUGCUUCUUUCUCAAGCACACGCUUCCAUCAAAAAUCUUUUUUUUUUAAAUAAUAAUAGCAAAUAUGCACUGCUGCUACCAAUCCGCGGCCACUUAAAAGAUAAUGGGCUGAACUUGAUUUUUUUUAUAGGUUUAGUCCAAUUAACUCAAUUAAGCUUAGAACUAUUCACUAGAAUCCUUCGCCGCCAGUCCAGUGCAAAUGCAUUAACUAAAUUAUAUCAUGAAUGCUCUUAAAAUUAUAUGUUACAUAAUUUAAUUUAAUAUUUUUGUUCAGGGAUUGGGCUCACUCUCUAAUAUUUAUAUGCAAUAAACAACUAUAUCUAUCAAUACGGAGUAUAAACCACGUUCCAACAAAACUUGAACGUUCAACAAGAGAGAGAACCAGCUUUAAGGAAUAGAGGGCCAUCUCAUAGGCCGUGGGCCAAGGUCAAGCGUUUCAUGGACUUGUGCUGCUGGGCGGAGGAUGAUCGAAUUGGAACUGGUUUUUUGGAUGGGUUGGAGAGUGAUGGGCCGAAUUGAGUUGGCUCUAAUUAGACCAAAUUCAGAUGUUAAUGGAUUCCUUUAGUUAAAUAGAAUGGUUAAAUAAUAAAGUGAAUACUUAGGAGCACUUUACAUGUCAUUGGGUCAAUUGAUCAUGUCCCUUUAUAUAAAAGAGGAAAACAUAGGAUUUUGACAGGUUCUUCAGCCAUUGAAGCCUAUUCUACCGAACUUUCUCAUUAUACAUGUUAGAUAUUUUUAAGAAGUCAUCUUUUGUUACUAAAUUAACACACUUUGGGCUAGUUGUUGAAAUAACAAUAAAUACUUUCAUUGCUAAGACAUUAAAGAAUAAGAGAAGCUAAUACAUGCAUGUAAUGUCCUCUAGAAAAUGCUUUGAGAAGCAUCUAUCUUUCGUUACAUUGUCUGUGAUUAGACGAUAAGCAGUAGCAAUAGUAGUGCUUACAUGAGAAGAGAAUGAGGGGGGAAUGAUUAUUGUCUACAAGUACAAAGUUCAACAAGUAAAAAAAUUUAAAGUUUAAUAUCUAAAGUUGUCGAGGCAUGUACUUCUCUACACUUACAUCUGUAAGAUCGAUGUUUGUCACUUUUUAGGGCACCCUUUGUCUACAUGAUUAGAAAGUCCUUGUUCUGCAGACGGCAUGCCUUGCUCAUUGUUUGUAUCAUCAUUGUUUUGGCUGAAAUCUCUUGACAGACUCAGAAGGAAGUUAGUGUUUUCCAAAGUUUCAACAGCUGCAGUCUCAUUGUGGCCAUCAUCCGUAUUUCUAUCUCUAAAUCUGGCUUUCUCAAAAGUAUGGGAGUUGAGGUCUCUUUCAUAAAAUCUUCUUCCCAAUGUAACAAAUUUUUCCCGUAAUGAACCUGAAGGACUUGCAAAGACAUGCCAGUUUCUUUUGACGAACAUGACCAUGAAGAUGAGGAGAGCUAAAACUGCAGAAGCUCCAGCAAUCAAGAAUAGGCCCCAAAAACUGUCAAGACCCAAGCUGUUGGAAGAAUCCAGGCAGUUCGAUUUCGGUGGAAGCCAUGUAUUUUCGAUUUCCAUCAUUUUAAGCACUUCAGUAUCAUUAAGGAUUACUCGGGAAAUAUCAGGUACUAGCGGAGACCCUUUGGGGAAAACCUGUAAACGAAAGGCAAGACAUGAGAGUUUUCAAAUAAAAAAAUAAAUAAUAAUCCUAGUAAUAGGAAAUUUUGAGGGUUUUCUUUUCGGGGCUAAGAGAUUGAGGACUUACAAAGCCAAAUCCAGCAGUUCUUAAUGUCGGGAUCAGAGUAUAUCUUUCGCAAUAUUGAGAAACGACAAGUUUAAUGUAGGGGACUUCAUCGAAUGCUGCUGCAAUCCCGCCCUUUUCACUUCCCUUGGAAAGAAGCACAUCGCAUUCUUCAGCAGACUUAUAAGAUAUAAGUCUAGAAUCAUCGAACUUCAUUUGCUUUAGCAUUCCAUAAACGAUAGGGUUUUCCCGGUAACCCACAUUUUCUCCACUCUUAAGGAGCUUAUCCACAUCAACCACAGUUGGUUGAAGAUUUUGCACCACCAAAAGAGAGCUCAAGCUUGCCGUAUAACAUUGCGUUAGUAUAAGUACCACGAAAACCCACACGAUCACAACAAAUCUGGCUAGGUUGCUUAAUACUCUCUCCCCUGCAAUCCAAAUUAAGGGAAAGCACCUAAAUUAUCCAAGAACGAUAUGUAGAUUACAAUGUUCAAUUGAUUUUUUUAAAGUGAAGGGUGAUUACUUUGUGCAAAGACCAUGAUUGAAAACGAGAACCAAAAGCUCGUGCCAACUUGAUGCCCGGCCGGACCCUGGAAAUCUUCAUUAAUUUGGUGUUCAAGAAUCCACACGACGAAUGCUAUAAACACAAAGAAGCAUCCGGUUGUUAACCAAAGGUCCCAAGUGAGUGGCUUCAAGAAAACCCAAGCAUUCUUGUCCUUGCUGUCCUUGUAUGGCACAAGCAUUGCGACCCCCGAUUCGGUGUAUGGUGCAGUGAAGUCCACGUAUAGUGAUCUGUUUGCAGUGAUUGUUAUAUCACCCACGAUUCCAUCGUAAUUCUACUCCAACAAAAAAAAAAUGGGAAUGUUUCUUUGUCAACAACAUGCUAGCACAGUAAGUUUCAACAAGUAUUCCAACAAAAUCAAGCACUUGCUCACCUGGUAAAUUACUUGAUCGAUCAUGUCGUUGUAACUGCCCAUGCUACUUCCAUUGGAAAAGGGAAACGGAAUAAGGUCAUAAGCCACAACAUAAGGCAAUUUUUCUAUAAUGGUUUGAAAGAUGUCGAUACAGUAUCCAGUGACUUUGGAUGUAUUUGUGCUAAGAUCAUGAAUCACCUGCGCGAAUUGAUUGAAACCGUCCUUCACAGGGACUAAAAUUUUCAGCCUCUUCCCAUUUGUGAGAAUAUCCCAUCCCAUAGGAAUAGAGGUGGAAUCUCCUGGCCAUAUUAUCGAUCCGAGAUUACUCUUCGAAGUGGAAUAUUUACUUUUGCUGGAUGAAUACAAAUCUCUUAGCAGCCCAUUUUCUUGCGUCCAAAACCCAAUCCCUCUUGCUGCAUUUCCAUUGAUAUUCACAAUCUGGAAUGUUGACCGCUCGAGUUGCCCAUGAACGAGUCUAAAAUUUCCAGUGAGGCCCGUGAAUGUCGUAUUGGCUAGUUCUUGGAGAAGUUUCGGACCACUUUUAGAGACCCCAAUAAUGUCGAGAUCUGUUGUAUCUAUUGAAGCAUUAAACAUCUGGAAGGUAAAAUUAGCCACACCCAUUUCCUCGACAGCCAUUGCCAGAGCCUGAGCAGCGUCAUAAGCCCAGUAUCCAAAAAUGUUCAACGUAGGAUUAAGGACGGAUGGAUUUUCUCGGUGGAAUUUCAUCUUCCAUCGGGCCGUGAAGUUGUUCAGGAUUGGUGUGUUCGGGAUGUAAGUGUUGAUGCCCAAUACUCCUUCCAUCGAACUAGCGACAACAGAUGAAUCCACAGAACUCAAUCGGUCAGUAAUUCCAUUAGUCAAGAUCCACACAUAACCUUCGCUCAUCAUUCCCACCUCUUUUGCUUUGACAAAUAGCCGAGAUCCGAGGGUCGGUAACAUGUGCAUUAUGAAGACCCUCGGUUGCAUCGUCAUUAACUUGUAGAGUUCCCGCAGGAUUUGACUGUCCGUGGCCGAAGGAGGAAUAAGGCUCCUAUAAGACACUCGCGUGUCGACCUCUUCCAAAGCAUCCGUAAGAGAAGGUAUGAUGCCUUCUCCGAACUCAUUGUCCACGUGUAUGAGGACCACUUCUCUCCAGCCAAAAGCUUGCACGACUGCGCUUAUGGCAUUCACUUGGGAUGAGUCAUUUUGCGCAGCUCGAAUGAAGUAAGGACUCCGAAUGGAACUGAGGGAAGGAGCAGUAGCAGAAAAAGAGAUGAUCGGCACAUGAGAUUUUUUUCCAAGGUGAAUGAUGAAGUUUGCGUGCAAUGAACCUUGAGGUCCUAUUAUGGCUUGGACUUGCUUAUUCUUUAUUAGAUCAAGUGCUGCAAGGGUGAAAAAAAGAUGGAGAAACAAUAACAAUAUGGCACAUAGUGGAAAUUCUUAUUGGAAAAGGCAUGGUAUUGAUCAGAAGCCAAUUAAAACUUGAUGCGGUAUUAUAGAAAUAAAACGUUUAAGAAAAAGGAAAAUAGAAGUUUGAAGUUGGAUUAUAAUUAUUUACCAGAUUGCAGGCAUUCGUUGUUGGCUUUGAUAUUCUUUGGCAUAUGAUAUUGCAUACCGAUCAGAAACUAAUCUUUCAUGAAAGUAAAUUUAGAACGAAAUAAGAGUGGAUAAAUUGGCCCGGACAGAUAAGUUGAUUUCUUUAUUUCAUGGCAUCAAAAAAUUCCCCUCUAGAAUCCAAGCCCCAUAUUGCAAUUGUAUGAAUUUUGUGAGGUCAGACCUAUGUGAAGUUUUAUUAUAUAUCAAGCCUCUCGGCAUCCGCUGCUUUCAUGCAUUAACAAUUAUUUGGUGGAACUGAAAACCUUAGUUGUUUUAUUUCAUCAUUAAUGACAAACAACUUCCAUGGAAAUAAAUCAUUGGCUCAGCUUGAACAAUCUUGUUAACCAUGAUGUUUGGGUCAACUGGAAAAAUAAAUCAGUAAAAUUAUGUAGAGAUAUGCACCAUGUACAUAUUUUUCGAAAGAAAAUAAUUUGAAAUUAUCUCCAUCAGCCUUCCCCCUGAACUGACUAUCCUACUACGUAGUAUGUAUCGUUUGCAAGAUCAUUUCUAAUAGGCGUCACUAUGCAGACAUAAUUUGGUAGAAUAUUACUACAUUAUAGUGGGACGAGAGUCAUAAGAGAGCUAUAUGUUCUUCAAAGAAUAGAAUAGAUGACAGUAGUCCUACUAUACCAUCCAAGACCAUAAACAAAAAUCCUCCAUUCAGACAUUGUUAUCAAGAUCAAAUUUUGUAUCCAUAGAUCUAUGUACAUUUGUAUAGAGAUGGUGGACUUCUCAAUUCUAAGAUCAAUGAGAUAAGUGCAUUAAAAAUCCUAGAUUUUUCACGAAAGUGCAAAACUUGUUACGAAAAUAUAAGUGAGUCUUAAAACUUCAAAAAGUGUAAUUAAGUCCUAAAAUUUGUUACAAAAGUGUAAUCGAAUCCAACCAACAAAAGGAUUUGAAUGGAUUAAUUUGAUAAGUUUUAAGAUUUGAUAGCACUUUUUAAAAAUUUUAGGAUUUAAUUGUACUUUUUAAAGGUUUUAUAAUUUAAUUAUAAUUUCAUGAUAAGUUCAAAGAUUUACAAUGAUCAAUUAUCGACCGACCGUAAUACAAUACUAUUUCAAUGGUGCUGCACUCCUAAACCACAAAGACCAAAACCACAAGAAGUAUCUCUUUUAAGCUAUUACAAUCGGACAAACCCACCCCCCGGGGGGAAGUUUUAUCUGGCAAUAAAUUAAAAGGUUCCACGGUCAAUUGUUACUCUCAGCGACCAGUCUUCUUAUGAAGUCCGCGUGGCGUUGAUUGACCAAAACCCACGAAUCCCCUCCACUCUCAAGCUAAGCGUCAAAAUACCGGUCUCGUACGACCGAAAGACUUGGGGCAAUUAUAAUGUUACCCUCCUCAUCCCCAGUGUGAAAGAGAACAAAUUGAAUUUUAAGUACCGACUUUUUGUUGUCAUUGAUUUUAUUAGAAGAUGAUAAAUGCACUAAACAGCUGUUUAGUGCAAAAUUAACGUUGGUCGUUUCUUCUGGGAGCUCUGGAAAUUGGGGCUUUGAGAAUCUCUGCUGUGAGAAUGCAUAUAGCUUUGAAUGGAACACACAUUAUUUUGUCGUGUCCUUGAAAAUUUAACCGGGAAUUCUUCUCAAAUGAAAAUGAAAAUUUCAUAAGAUUGGCAAACACGUCAUUAUGAACAAUAAUUAGAUUCAUCUUAAAUCGCACAAACAGCUGCAUAAAGUACUUCAUCCUCUAUGACCAGUGAGUACGCCACCGAGAGAGAGAGAGAGAGAGAGAGAGAGAGAGAGAGAGAGAGAGAGAACCUGCGGCAGCAGCAGCAACCUCAUCUCGUUUGGAAUCUCUUACAUUGAGGACGAGCCUAGUCUUGUAGGAAGGGUUUGAAGUAUAGAAGUCAGAGAGAGAAAUGUUAAUGCAGCUCAAUCCCAUCUGACCCACCCACGUCUCCAGAUCAAGAACCACCCCAACGUUCACCAGGAUCGUUUGGGCAUUAUUGUUACCGCUCUGCGCCAUGGUGAUCUGAGGGCCCUCGCUGAAAGUCGUAACGACUGUGAAAAAGGUGAGAGCCAAAAGGAGGAGCUUUUUAGCAUCGGACGAGACUCUUGGAGGAACCAUUGAAAAGGGUUUCAGGAGAAGGCAAGUGUGCGUUUUUCGCUUGAGAGAGAAACUUGGAAGAUAUGACCUAUGUUGCACAAACACGUUAUACGUGCUUCCGUGUUGUGUCCGACCCAUGUCAGAGGGUGUUGCAGACGUCGACACGCUUGAACACGCGUUGAACAUGUGUCAGGAUUUGUCGACAUGUGGUCAACUUUUAUCAACACAUUUCGACAUGGGUGUUUGAAAGACGAUGGAGGGUGGAGGCAAGGGCGAGGGAGUAGAGAUGAGGCCACAAGCGACGGCGAGAGACGGCGAGAGAAAAAGCAAAGGCGAGGGCUGCCACCCUAUGAUGCUGUGAUGGAUCGGCGACGUGGCUGCAGCUGCAAGGGAGGAAGGGCUGGAGACGAGGCGGUGAACAAUUGUGAUGACUGAUGAGGGCUUAGAACAGGCAGAGAUUGAGAGGAAGAGGAGAGGAAUGAGGGUCGUGCGGCGAGGAGGAGGAGAACUGGAGAAGAAGGAGGGCGAGCUAAGGGUUUUGAGAAAGGAACUAAAAGAAUACAAAAAGGGGCUUGCGUGUGGGAGGGAGAGGGAAGUGACCGCCUGAUGGCUUGUUAGGAAAGAAAAGGGCAAAAAGAUUCCAGGGUGAGGGGAAGAUUUGGAGGUGGGGGAAAGAUACGAUGAGUUUCUUUGGAGGGACCCUCAGGGACAUUUUAUUUUUGAUUUUUUGGGUGGGGGGGCUGUGGGAAAUAAAAUUAAAAAGUAAUUUCGAAAAAUAAAAGUAUUGUAUGUUGAAUAAUUAGUAUAAAUUCAUUUUAGGUUUAUUUAUUUAUUUAUUUAUAAAUUUGAAUCAAAUUAAUUAAAAAUAAAAAUAUUUAUUUAAUAUACAACGUGUCCUAGCAUAUCGAAAUUUUUUAUUUUUGAAAAAUGACGUGUCGACGUGUCGUGUUUUGUCAUGUCGUGUGUCCGUGUCGUGUAUCUGUGCAAUCUAGGAUAUGAUGACAACAACAUAUUUAUAAUGGGAAAAAGCACGGAAAUCCCAUUCAAGGGUUUCUCACGUGGACAAGCCCCAUAACUCAUUUGUAAUGUGAAAGCAAUAUGAGGAUGAUGAAAAGGGAAGCUAGCACAUAAAUUCAACUUUUCUCACCAUCUCAGUCUAAGAUGAGAUUUUACCUUUUUAACCCUGACAAAAUGUGCUUCUUUACGCAGCUUUGAAAGAGUGCAAGGAAUCUUUUCCUUAUGCAGAUAUGACAAAAAAAAUUGCAAUUGUCCUUUCGCAGCCUCUCUGGUGACCUAAGUAGCAUCGAUAUUAAUACACGAUACACGACAUGACACGACACGACACAUCAACACGUUAUUUCCCAAAAAAUAGAUAAUUUCAAAACGUUAGGACAUAUUUUAUAAUUAUUAUUUUUAUCAAAUUAAUUUGAUGCAAAUUCACAAACAAAUAAUAAUAAUAAUAAUAAUAAUAAUAAUAAUAAUAAUAAUAAGCAUAGAAUGAAUUUACACUUAAAACAUUGAUCCAUAAUUUGUUAAUAUCAUUCAUUGUUUUAAUUUGACAAAUCCAACUUCAUUUCAAUAAUCUAGUAAAAAAAAAAAGGCAAGCAAUCCACAUUGUGGAUUUGCAUGUUAGAGCGUGUCGGAAAAGAAGGGAAAAAACAAACUUGGGGGGUGAAUUGUGUGUUAUGGGAAAUGAGAGUCAUAAUAGAAGAAAAGACUAGGUUUUUUUUCUUUCUCAUUUUAUUAUUUUUAUUAUUUCUUUUUUUUACAUAUUUACAUUUUUGUCCCUCAAUUAUUGAAUUUUUUUAAAAAUUGAUCUGUGUGUGUCCAAAUUCUGGAGUUGAGUGUUGAAGAGUGUUGGGUUAACCUGGUAUCGGAUUUUUUUAUAUAUGUUGACCUAGUAUUGGAGAGCAUUGGAGAGAAUCAGACAUAUGUCGAAAUGUUCGAUACGACACAAAAGUUCCGGAAAGUGUUAGUGCUUCUUAAUUGAUGACAUCAUGCACUGUUAGCUCUGGUUUCCCUCCUAAUAAAACGAAACUAUGUGGGGGUUUUCUCUUUUGUGUGGGCUAAGAAAUCUAUAGAUGUAAAUUUAGUUGCAUGCUUAGCUAAGAAAUUGGUUGAUUGGUUUUUUUCUUAUACAGGAAAAGCCAGGAAUCAUACUAGUGUAUUUUAUAGUAGACACAAGUCAAUAAGCUUUUAAAAUUCUUUUUUGGGUCUCAUUAUCAAGUUAUCAUAAAAGAUAAAGAAAUAUUUUCAUUCCCAAUCCAAUGAUGCAAGUAAUAUGAGAGGGAUUGUGUGAUAUCCCGAAAUUUGAUCCAUAUUUUGAAAUAUAUUAAAUGAUUAUUUCAUCAAUGCGCUUAUACUUACUUUACUUUGACCUGAUCACUCAUGAGUUGACUUAUCUAUUGGGUGAGGUUGUAAAGGAGUAAAAUGCAAAAGAUCAAAUAAUUCAAUUAGAAAUCAAUAGCUCAACCAUAAGGAUUGACAAUGUUCAAUACUACACUAUUAUAAGUCAAUUAGGGAACGGAUACAAAUUGUUCGACGGGAGUACGUAGUCAGUUCGUGGGUGAUUCCGCAUAAUUACGAUAUUCGCGUUGAACGAUAAUAAACUAAUUUUCUAUUGAUCUUAUAUUCAAGGUAUGUAAUUGAACCCUCGCGAUUACAUAACAAUAGAGGAUUAUCUGUGAUUUGAAGAGACACAAAUGUGGAUAAAAAAUUAUCGAUCACGGGUCAACUGCUCGAGAACCCUUAAAAGCCACCAAAUAUAUUAGGUCAUACUAAAAUCACGUUUAAUUGAUUUUUAAUCAUGAAAUUUAAUUCAAUUUCCGGGGGGUAAGUACAUUAUCGGUGCCAAAACUUGUGUACAACGCUUACUUUAGUGCCAAAACUUUAUUUUUUAUCACUUAAGUGCCAAAACUUUUGAAAAAUGAUCAUUUUAGUGCCAACGCCGAUCUGGUUGGCCGGAAAUCCGACAUGGUAGUUUUUUUAUUAAUUUUUGAAGCCGACGUGGAUUGCCGGAGGGUACAAUCAGCCAACAAACAACAAAAUGACACCAUUUAGUGUUGUUUUCCCCAAGUAAAAAUCAUAAAUCCCCACGUUGAGAGAGAAUCGGAAGUUCAAAACCCGGCAAAAGAUCUCUUCAAGUAUCAUAACUUGGUACAAAUGGACACUUAAGUGCAAUAACUUAUGAAAUGUACACUUAAGUGCCACAUUUUAAGAAAAGUGGGACACCUGAAUGCCACAUUUGGCGAAGCCAGCCGGAAAUCAUACAUGACAAUUAAAUAUUAAUAUUUCUCGCCGAGGUUGCUCGUCGAAGAGCUAAGUCAGCUCUAAUUUAGCCCAAACGACGUCAUUUCGGGUGUUGGCCAAAAUAGAGCCCUUAAAUCAGCCAAAACAACAUUGUUUUGGCAUAAUUUGAAUUUUAAUAUAAUAUAAAAAUUAAUUAAAUUAAAUUUAAAACAAAAUAAUAAUAUAAUUUAUAUUUAUUAUAAAUAAAUAAAAACUGAGGAGGAGGAAGGUGGUCGGCGGCUGAGGGUUGAGCCCUCACCGUUGCCGCCUUCCUGCCGUCACUAGAAGGUGGGGGAGGGUUGGCCGGGGCCGCUAGCUGCCUCCCUCCUCCUCCUUUGCCCCCCACCCCCUUGAUCUGGGCAAGGGCCGCGAGCCCUCGUUGGCCCUUGCCCAAAUCCGAUGAAGGUCGACAGCCCUCGCCUCGUCGGGCCAAGGGCCGCCGCCUGCUUAGGCGACCCCCAACGGGUGGCGGCCCUUGGCUCGGUCGAGCGAGGGCUGUCGACCCCGGCCAACCCUUCCCCCUCCGUCACCGGUCCUCAGCCGCCACCUUUUUUUUUAUAAAUAUUUUAAAUAUUUAUAUUUUUCAUAAAUGUUUUAAAUAAAUUGAAUUUAAUUAAUUUUUAUAUUUAUUUUUUACCACGUCAGCACCAAAACGACACCGUUGUGGACAUGCUUCGCUAAAAAAUUGACACAUCAGUGUUUUGGCUGGAUUUUCUCCGAUUUGGCACUUAAGUAUACCUUUCAUAAGUUAUGAUACUUUAUGGGUCCACAUCUCUUUAAAACCCUAAAUCAUGAAUUUGAGUGCAUACUUCGAUUUUCUCUCAAAAUUAUCAGCUCAGCUCAUUCUUGCAAAUGGAGGGCGGAAGCUUUAACAACGGCUCACAUUCCUAUAUAUAUAUAUAUAAACGAAUUAGAUUGUGAGCGUUACUGUUAUUGUGGGUCACCGAGUCCGAGAAAAACAUCUAGGACUCGGUUGAAUCCCAGGAGAAGAUUCCAUGGGUGUGGCAGAUAUAGAGAAAGCUCGAAGUGCAAAUAUAAUAAGAAAUUCUUUGAUUAAGCGACAAAGGUACUCUUGGAGUUACUUAAAGGCCAACAUCAAUCUCCACCUACAUUAAUGGACGAGUUGAAAAAUGUGGACUCAAUGCAAGCUCAAAUGAAGGGUUUAACAUCUCUGGUCGAUCAUUUGAAGAGAAAUGUUUCAAGGUUGAAAAUUAAAAGAAACUUUUAUCGCGUAUUGAUUGUGUUAUUAUUCUCUUGCGUAGUUUAUUCAAAUGUGAAGUGAGUAAUAAUAAGAAGUUUGUAUGUCUACCAUAGUUGAAAACGUUGAAUAUGCACUUGUAUUAGAUUAUUUAUAAGUAAAGUGUGUUUUUUGUUUGCUGCAAUUUUUGUAUGAAGUAGAAAAUUUUGUUGUAAUCUAUGGUAGAAAUGGAAUGUUGGAUUUGGAAUGUAUUAGUUGUGAGCACUUAAAAGUUUUUUUCCUUAGUUGUGUAUUAUCAAUGUUUGUUUUGAUUAGUUUUGCUUCAGAUAUAAUGGUUUGCUGUAUUUUUUAUUUGGUAAUGGUUUGCUGGUUUGCUGCAACUUAUUAUUGCAAAUCAUGGCGAAAUUAAGGGAUGGUGGCAAAUUCACGAUUGAUUAUUUCAGUGUCAUAAGUUGUAAAUAGUGAUCACUUGAGUAUCAAGUUUUUAUAAAAAUAAUCAUUUAAGUGCCAGUCGCGAUUACAAAGUGAUCACUUGUGUUGCACAGGUUUUUAAAAAAAGAACAUGUUAGUUUCAAACGUCAUUUGACUUGCAUAAGUUGUGGUGCAUCUUGCAUCUUAUUGCACCAGUUGGGUUGCUGGUGUAUCUUGUUCUUGCACUAGUUGGGUUGUUGGUGCAUUUUGUUCUUGCAACAAGAUGCACAAGCACUCGAAAUUGCUCAUGCAAGAAGAUGCAGCUCUCACAAUUACACCAAGAUGAGUUGGUGCAUUUUGUUCUUGCACCAGCACAUACAACCAACCAGAACCCACAAAUUUAUUAGCAUCCACAACUUCAACCAGCAAUAGUAUGUACACACAUCACUUUUAAAAACAAUAUCAAUCUCACAAGAACAUUGCACCAACAAAAAAAAAUUAUACAAAUAAUUGAUAAUUGUAUUGCCGGCAUUGCUAGCCGAAACCAACACAAGAGAAAAUAACAAAAACAGCUAUUGUCAUUGACAUUGAUUGAUUAUGUAUAAAGUUCAAAACAUGUCUGACUUCACUCCCCAAUCACUGAAAGUUCAGCACUCUCUUAAAAAAAAACAAUGACAAUAUGCACCAUCUUAAAAAAACAAUACUAGCAGCUACGAUCAAUAAAGAUAUAAUAUCCAGCACCCUCCUAAAAAUAAAACAUAAAAAGAGACCAUAUCUAGCACCCUCCUAUCAGUCAGUAUGCACAAUACCCACAUCACCUUUUCUUCUUUGAGCUUUGAAUUGAUUUAUAAUCCGAGCACUCUUUCUAACUGAAUGUGUAUGUUAUUUAAUUGGCCUUUCUGUCACCUCAUUUUCCUUAUUUUUGACAGCAGCUAUUUUUGUUCUAGCACGUGUUAUGUGUUUGGUCCAUAUGAUCACUAUUACUCCCAUGAUCAGUUGGUUGAGAUGAACUGGUGCUAGGUUCUUUUUGGAUGACUGUUUUUCAGCUGUCGCGACCAAAUUUUCGAGUAGACCACCUAGAAUCUGGCUAAUGGAUUACUAAGGCUAGAUUUAGCUUGAGCUCUCCCAAACCCAUACCAAUUCGCGACUUAGGUUUGAGUUAUUAACAUGUGAAUGGUUUUUCAAUUAGGAGUUGCCACUAAUCUAUUUUUGGUGGGUCGAUUAGAAACUCAAGUAAAGUAACGAGAAAUUUACUUUACUCUUACGAACUAAAGAUUAUGAGUUCCGGGACUUGAUUACGUUGGCUAACACCCUUUCGGUACAUUUCUAUUUUAUUUUUGAAAAAUGUUUGGCAAGCAGCUUAAAUUGAUUUUAAUUUAUCUCUCUAACAUGUGAAGUGACCAUGCGGGUGCGCAAACCACAAAUUUAACACCCAGAUAAAACAAUGAAUAAAUUGCAGGACUUACCUCAUGGCAUCGAAAGUAUCUGCAAUGUUAGAUCAGAAUUCACAUCAAUAAUCCUAGAUAUGAUUUUUAAUUAACAUGCAAUUACUUUCUUUUUCACUUAUUUAAUGAGAAUCAUGUAAUGCAUGCUACUAAUUUAACAUGAAAUGAUAUGACAUAGCAAUAUGACCUAAGCUAUAUUACAUAAAUAAGCAUGCAGUCUAUCCUAAAGGAUGAAAUUGAUUUAUUUAGAGACAACUUUUUGGUAUUUUCCAUGAAAUUCAAAAUUAAAGAAAUGCAAUAAUUAAAUGUGCAAUUUAAAUUAACCAAAUGACUUAACUCUAAUGACAAGCAAUUUCUAACUAAGUGAACCUAGCAACAACCACUAGAUGACGGGCAGUUCAUGAACCUAAUCCUACAUGACACGCGCAUGACGAUUUUUUUUUUUAAUGAAAAAUUCGUAAUUAAAAUCACUAAAAAUAAAAAUCUAACUAAAGUGAAAACAAAAGUGAAAUGUUAUCUAUUUUAAAUACCUUCUAGCAUCUUAAAAAAUAACUAACCUAGCAUGGAAUCAAUUCUAAUCUACAUGCAUGCAAAUGCAUGUUUUUUUUUUUUUUUUGUAUUUUUGGGUUAAACAAAACAAUUAAGAGAUAAACACCAAAUCAUCCACGAUCAUCAAAAAUGUUAUCCACCAUUCGAAUUGAAAUUCAAACUUGAUUAUUUCGCUAAUAAAAUCGAUAAAUUGAUCUUAAGCCCUAAAGAUCAAGAUAUCAAUUUUACUUCCGUGUGAUUAAUUAUUCCAUUUAAAGUCUUAUAGAUGGAAUACAAAUUCAUGUGCGGUUACAAAUUGAAGCAGUACAUCGGGAAUUCCAACCAUGCAUCGAGAAAUAUUUCAAACAAAGAGACAAAAUAUCAAAAACUAAAACAAGAUAAAAUAAAUUUACCUAAUAAAUCUACCUAAUAAAACAAAUCUCUACCUAAAUUUGAAUUUUUUUCCAAAAUCUGCACGGCAAAGUGAACCACGAUGGAGGCUCGGCACAGCAUGGCUCGAGGACGGUGUCUGUGGUGGUGACUUGGCGUGGAUCAACAAGGCUGCGGCAAGUUCGAUGGGUCAUCGUAUAGGACACCAGGAAACCUGCAAAACUAUCGAAGGCUUAGGUAAUUCGUUGGGAGGCUUGCCGGGGUCGCCGAGUGAUCGUCGGCAACGAGGACGCCCAAGGUGGAUCACGGUGGACCGCUCAGCUAAGGUUGAAGACAUCGAGGUGACUCCGCAGCGAGGAAGCUUUGACGAUUUUUUCUUUUGUAUUUUCACUUCUGGACAAUACCUGCAGAAGACCAAUUCACCACUUAGACUUAUUUCAUCAAAAUUCUAGCAUCUCCUUUGACUGUGGACUCCAGGCUUGCAAGUAGUGGCCAUGUGGUAUUCACGCUAGUCAGGAGAUGUUGGCCUCUUUGGACUUCGCGAAACCUGCAAAAAAUGAAUACGAAUGAAGCGCAAAAGCCCGUUUGGUGAUUGUCGGUGAGUCAGAAGAAAACACUUCAGGGCAUCGCCAGGCUAGAUGGAACUUGCGAGAGUCCUCCUGACUCCGAACUAGGCUGUAGUGGUUCAAGCGUCCCUGGGGUGUGCUGGGUCGUGGUAUAGCAAAAGCAGCAGAUCGUGGAUCGUCGGGGAUCCGAGGGCUGCUCGAGUGAUUGCAGAUCAGCAGCUUGUCGCGGUGGCAACGAGGUCACAGCAACGAGUCUGUCGUCGACGCAGCAAAGAUGGUGUAGCGACGGCAACUCAGGUGGCUCAGGUGUGGCAUCGCGGCAAAGGGCCUCGCACGAUGUGGGGCUCCUUGGUUCGGCAGAGGGAGGUCCCUCUCUUUUCUUUCUCCCGUGUACGUCUCUCAAAUUGCCUUUGGAAUAGAAGUGCCGACCCUCAAAUAGUGAUGGUCAGAUCAUGGGAUAAUCCAUGUGACCCAUCCAUGAUCAUGAGGGAUUGUAAAAAUAAUAAAGUGGAGUAUGUGACUUGCUCGAAAAAAAAAACAACAGAGGCGUGAAUGUGAUGAGGGGAGGAGAGAAAUAUUGUAAAAGAAUCUGAAUUGACGCAGUCGCUUCUCUCUCUACCUCUUACACUUUCUUCUCUUUUUUCGUGAAUGAACGUGCUCUCUCCGAAUUUGUGGCCGUGUAUUUCUAUUGUGUGCCCCCCGAAAACCCUACACAAAUAAUCCAUUUAUAAGCCUCAAAUUAGGAUUUUAAUUUUUCCAAAUUGAUAUUCAUGAAGAUUCUUUUUUCCAAAUGCAAUAUUCACUUUUCACAUUUGCCAUAUCCAAAAAAUUCAUCAUAUCCUGGAAAAAUUUUGAAUUCCUAUUUUCUCAUGAGAUAAUUUCCGAUCAUUAAAAAAGGGCCUUGGGCCAAUUUGUUUGCUUCGCAGGCUUAGUCCGGCCUGUCAAUUUAUACCUCAGAAUCACCAAUUCGAACCCAUUCGCCACCAGUUCAAUAAAUAAAUACAAAAAAUGUAAAUUAAAAAUAAAUACACCCAAAUCUAUAUGCUAUGUAAUUAAAUUUUUUUCAGGGAUAGACUUAACUCCUAAUUUUUAAUGCGAUAAAUGACUAAAUGGAUUGUCAAAAUUUAGGUGUCAACAGCAAUUAUAUCCACUAUCUUCUUCUUUUAAGUACUCUUCUUUUGCUGUGCCAUUUGAUUCUUGAGUUGGCCCACCUUGAGAGAUAAGUACUUCUGAAGUUCUCCUAGGCUACAAGAACAUAGCCAUAUUGUCAACCAAAUGAAAUGAAUUGAAGUACAUCAAAUUAAAUACAUGAGGCUUACAAAUCUUACAUUCAAAAUAGUCAUUCCACUAUGUUCAUCUGUGUAAAUUCCAUAACCAUAUUAUCUUAAUUUUUUUUCAAAAGUGCAUUUUGUUCACUGUGGUGUAUCAUUUUUAGCAGCAACAAUGAAUGGGGGAGCAACCUGUGCAACUUGUGCAGUUGCUCAUCUUCUCACUUGAUAAACAAAUAGCAAAUUUAAUUUUAGCCCAUAAAAGACAAACACAACGAUGUACAACUUACAUGAUAUUUUUUUGUCGUUUGCUCAACAGUGGACUCAAUUGUUAUUAUUGUUGUCAUGCUCGUUCUAGUCCAUAUCCCUGCAUUUAAGCGUACAACAUGGCCUUUUUUGGCCUUUUAGUAGGCUUUACAACAAUGUAUUGUAUUAGGAUUAUGACGAACUAAAAUAAAUAAUUAGACAUCUACUCAUUUUCAUGGUAGAAACAAAUGGAUAAAACUUCUCAAAUUAUAAAUACAUGACAGAGGAAAAGCACAAGAGAAGACAAUACACAUGAUCAACCAUCAAACUCUAUCAAAUAUGAACUGAAAAGUUACUGAGGCAAAGAUGAUACUUACCUUACAAUAGGACUUUCUAUCCGCCCUUUACUAGGCAAUACAUCGGGGCCUUCUAUCCUCCCUUCAGUAGGCCCAAUAAGAAGCUCUUCAAUAGGUCUUGUUCUUGGCAUUAAAUCAGCCAUUAUAUCUUGCUGUUAAUGUUGCUUUUUUCAACUCACAAUCUUUCUUAUUGUGUCAUUCCUUGCGGCAAUAGGAGCAUGUCGUCUUUACCCCAGUCCUACUCAUCCUCUAACUUGAUGCCUCUUCCCCUUGCAUUCAUCAUCUCCUUUUUGGUCAUCCUAUUUGCUUCUUUAGUGGCAAAUGUAAAGGGCUUUCAUGAUUUGUUGGCUCUCAAAAUUUGCUGCUUCUGAUAGGUUAUAUCAUGAAUUGGUACGAAGCAAGGUAUGAGCUUUUUUUGUACUAAUUAUCUAGGUAAUCAUUUGGGUUUUCUUGCUUCAUCUGAAUAGCACAAAUGGCAUAGGCACAGGAAAUUCCAUUUAGUUGCUAAGCUUUGCAUGAAUACUUUCUUCUAUCUAGGUUGAUAACAUACUUAUCAUAAUUUUGAAUGAUCUCAUAUCCAUUAUCUCCAUUCGAAACUAGAUGGCAGAACCUACUAGCAUCAAUGUUUACAUCCAAUUUCUUCACAAUCCUAGGAUCAUAGUCUCUAGUCCACUUCGUAGCCUCAUCUCUUUGCCUAUGCAGUUUAGUCAUGACCAUAACUCGAAUAUUAUCAAGCAUGCUAAUGAUUGGUUUGCACCUAAUCUCUAAAAUUUUUCCAUUGAAAGCUUCACUGAGAUUGUUAUCAAUGAUAUCGUAUUUGAAUUCUUUCCUGAAGAAGGCCCGACACCAGUGCUUAGCUUUUGUCUGAAAGAGUGUAUCAAAACCUUCAUUUAUCAGCUACAACAAUACAUGUUUGGCUAAUCUGAAAUCACCCAUGUUGGUACUCUUCGCUAUCUGCUAGAACUGCUUUUGCAACUUAUUUCCUUUGAAGUUCCUUGACUAGUUUGCGUAUAUGUAUCUCGCACACAUUCUAUGCUCAGCAUGUGGCAUCAACUUAGCUAAUGCAGGAAUAGACCCCUACAAAAAUUCAAACAAAUAAAUACAAAUUAGGAAAAAUAUGUAAGUGAUUAAUAGUAAAAGGGAAUAAAUUAAUUGACAAUGGUAUUACCUUUUGUUGGUCGCUUAUGAAUACUCAUCUUCCCCCAUCGGUUAUCUCAAGGUCAAUCAUUAAAUUUUUGAGGAACCAGGACCAAGUAUCAUUGUUCUCUAUCUCACCAUCGCCUAAGCUACCAGAAACAUUUGAUUAUUGGCAUAUCUCUCCACAGCAGUUAACAACUCCCUCUUGCGUAAAUCCUUUAGGAAGCAUCCAUCCAAUCAUAUAACUCUUAUACAGCCAGCCAAAAAGCCCCAUUUGCAUACAUCAAAAUAGACAUAAAAUUUAUUAAAUCUAGGCUCAAGAUUAGGAAGUGGCCUCUCCAUAACCUCUACAUAUACCCUAUUAGAUGAGUUUUGAAACAUGCAUUCGCUAGCAUAAUCUCAUACCUGCGCAUAUUCUUCCUUAUACCCACCUAUCAAUAUUUUCAUCACCUUAGCUUAGCUCUCUUACACUGAUUCCUUGACACAUUAACCCCUAAUUGCUCAUUCACUAACAGUUGAAACUAAAGACUCUUGAUCUCGGGCAUUACUUUGAUAAUAUUGAAAAAAUGCUUCGAUAACUACACAUCUGUUACCCUUUUACUGUUAAAUAUAAUUUGACAAUUAUGCUCCUUUUGAAAUGACCUAGUCUGAAAUGACCUCUUCAUACUCAGCGUGCUAUAGAGCUUCCAUGAAUAAUUGGGUUGUGAGCAUUUAGCUCUCACAAAUUCCUUCGUAUUUCUAAUGAAUUCAAUGCUCCUCUAUUUGGCAAUGGAGUUCUUCACAAUAACUUCCUUUAACUGUUUGACAUCGUCAAAUUUCAUGCCCCCAAGCAAAACAAGCUCAUCAACAGUUGGAUCAUAGCAAGGGUACUUACUUUUUCUUUCACAAACAAGUUUUUCAUUAUCAUUGCCAAACUUAUUCUCUGAACCAGUAAUUUCAUCAUCGCAACUUUCUUCAUCUUCACUUCUAUUACCUUCAGCUGGAGCUUCAUCCCUAUUUACUGGCUCGAGUCUCUUUCCUGAAGCUACAAAAAAAAAAAUUUCUGAGAAAUUCCCUUUGUUUUUGUCUUAAUUGUGGGAGUUCAUCAUUAUCUUCGUCACUUGGGAAAUUUAUGGAAGCAAAAUAUUUAUCUUCCGAUUCAUUGGAUAGAGCAAUUUCUCAUUCUAAUCUAAUGAAGUCUUCAUCGCCCACAUCUUCACCCAAGAUUUCAUGACAUCUCAUUGUUUGUUCAACUCGAUCAAUAUGACUUCUUUCCCUCUCAUUUUGCCUUUCAUCUAACCUAAACUCAUCCCUAACCUGAUUACUCGCUUGAGUAGGAUCCCUCACUUCUCCUCUUUCGAUAGUGAUCUGCUCAUCUCCAUCCUCAUCCUCAUCCUCAUCCUCACCAUGCUCAUCAUCACUAUAAUACUCAACAUAUACCCUAGCUUUGUCGUUGUGAAUAUAAUGGUAAUUAAUUUUGUUAAUAUCAUUAUCAUCAUUAAAAAAAUCUCAAGUUGUCAUUCAAUUCAUUCCUAUGAACAUAGUAAUGUAGUUUUUGCAUUUUGUAUCGUAAAAAAAUAUAUAAAAUCCCUCACAAAAUCAAUAUAUGAUGGCUUCCGAACAUUGAUAUAGAUAGUACAUUUAUUUCCACCAGUAUAUUUCCAGUCCUCGGUGCCAAUAAAAAACUCUCCACUAUAGCAAACAAUGACGUCUACUUGAUUCUCGUCCAUGUCAAUACUGCAUGUAAGGAAAAAAAAAGUCAUUGGUUUUUGGGACCACAUAACAGAAUUAGCAACUUCACAUGCAUGUCCUUGUCAUUUUGUCGAAAGAAACAAAUGCAACCAAUUUAUUCAAUUCGGUCCCUUUACAGAAACAAAGGAAGCCGAAUUGAAUAAAUAAAGUAAGAUCCCUACCACCAAUUUUUUUAUUCAAUCACAUUCGAUCUCCCACAGAAGCAGUCCAACUAAUUAAACAAAGUAAGGUCCCACCACUGUUUUCCUUCAAGUCGAGCACCCAUUUUCCCCUACGUGUCCUAUUUUUCUAUUCGGUCCUCAUAAAAGUGAGAUCCCCACCACUUUCCCAUGAGCCGAAUCCUCAAUUUGCCCUCCACACCCUAACUUCCUUAUGGGAAUCCUAAAUUUUUUACUAAAUUGACCCACGUAGAGAACAUGACAAACUUGAGUGACCGACAGUUGGGGACACAGCCUGCAAAUGACCGUGAACGACGGCAGGCAAGCGAACAAUGGUGGGUGCACAAGCUACGGCCAGCGUCGAGUGAGAAUCGUAGUUCGUAUGGUACGAACCCUGAUUUACUCCCUCUUUAGCGAUGUCAUUUUGGCCAUAAAGCAAUGUGGCGUUGUUUUGUAAGUGAGUCCACGUGGAAUGGCAUAAAACAACGUCGUUUCUUAUGAAGAAAGAAAAAUGGCAUCGUUUUAUGCCAUUCUGCAUGGACAGUCUUCUUCAAUUUUUGCCACGUCGAUUUUUUUUUUAAUUAUAAAAUCACAUAAUCAUUUCAGUCGGAAUCUCUCGCUGGUGGCACUAAAGUGAUCAUUUUUCAAAAGUUUUGGCACUUAAAUGAUCUAAAAUAAACUUUUUGCACCAAAAUAAGUGUCGUAUAUAAGUUUUGGCACUGAUAGUGUAUUUACCCCUUAUUUCGGGUAUUAAACUUUCAAGGAUUUCUAGAUUAAAUUAUUAGACGUCGUCUCAUCGUUAGUCAAAUAUCGUGACUCCAAAAUUUUCAGAAAAGGAAUUAUCGGACGAAAAAUUGGAGACCGAAAAAAACAAGAAAAAGAAAUUCGGAUCAAGAGGCAAAAUUGAAAUUUUUGGAUUAAAAAGAUUGUUUUUAUGAAAUUAGAAAUAAAAAGAAAAGUGGGGACAUAAUACAAGAGGGUUUCAAGGAAAGGUGGGUGAAGAGUAUGAUGAGAUUUUGGGAAGUAUCUUGAGAAAUCUUUUUAUUCUUUUUCUUUCUUUCUUUCUUUCUUUUUCUUCUAUUCUCUCUCUUUCUUCCCCCUUCCACUCGCGCCUCGUCCCCUGCAGACCGCCCAUCCUCCCUUCUCUCCAUCUUCUCCACCUCCACUUCAUUCCCCCUCCUUCCCUCACGCCUUUCUCCCCCAUCUCUGCCCAUUCUUCCCCUUCCUUCUUUAGUUUUUCUUUUUCCUCAAACUCCCUCAUUUUCUUUCCACCACCAACUCCAUCCCCACCACCAUCACCUACGCCACCCCCAUCACCCCAUCACCACCGCCCACACCGCCGUACACCACCACCAUUCACCACCACACAUCACCGCCAUCUCCACCACCGCUCACCACUGCCAUCUCCACCAUCGUCCGCUCGAGUCACCACUGCGGCCAUCACCAAUCCGAACCACCUUUAUUCAUAGAGAGAUGGAUAGAAAUCCGGGAAAGUUUGAAUGGCCCUCCGUCGUCGUAGUUGGUUCUUUCCAAUCCGAAGGAUCAGUAAAAUUCCAAAAAUGGUCGAUGGGUUCGAUAAAGCGUCUUGGUAAAUGACGUGACUUUGUUCAUAAGAGAAGACAUUCUAAUCGGCUGUUGAAUGAUUGAUUGGCUGGACGGUAGGUUCCCUUGAUGGAGAAAGCUUACCAAGAAUUAAUAAUUGAGCGAAUUAGUUGAUAAUUAUGGGAGAGGAUUCAACGCCGUUUGAGGAUCCAAUCCCUUGAUGGACGCGUUUGGUAAUAAUUCUGUUCCCGGGAACUGAUUCUGACAAGAAAUGAUUAUUUUUUAUUCUGUUCCCGGGAACUGAUUCUGAGUAAAAACAUAUUUUUGGUAACUGUCUAAAAUUUCUGAUUCUGGAAUAGAAUUGCGUUUGAUAACAUGUUUAUUGAUUAUGUUCCAAAUUAUUUUUUUCUACUUUUUUACUUUUUUUCUUUUCUCUUUUUUUUUUUCAUUUUUUCUUUUCUUUUUUUUUUUUCAUUUUUCUCCUAUUUUUCUUCUUCUUCUUAUGGCCGGUCGCCGGACCGGCGAUCGGCUGGAUGAGGGCCGGUGACCUCACCAGAGUGUCGCCGGCUCUCGGCGAGGCUGUCCCUCGUCGGCCAAGCCUUGUCGGCAGCUGGGCGAGGCUCGCCCAGCCCCGCCGAGCCUAGCCGGUGGACAGGCGGGCCUCGCCGGGGCUGGGCGAGGCCCACCUAGCCACCGGUCAGGCUAGGCCAGCUCAGCCUCGCCAGAUCUGGCGAGGCCGAGCCUCGCCGGUGGAUAGGCGGGCCUCGCCGAGGCUGGGUGAGGCCCACCUGGCCACCGGUCAAGCUAGGUGAGCCCGGCCAGUGGCCAGGCGGGCCUCGCCCAGCCCCGGCGAGGCUCGCUGGUGGCUGGGCGAGCCUCCGGCGAGCUUGUCGGACCUCGCCUUGGCCAGGCGAGCCUCCGGCGAGCUUGCCGGACCGGCGGACGGUGGCCGGCGGCGGCGGGUGGUGGCGGACGGCGGCGGGCGGCGACGGGCGACGGUCGCGGGAUGGCGGAAGGAAAGAAUAAGGGUUUUAUUGUGUUGAUUCUUUUUCUGAUUCUCGGACGCAGAAUCAAUUUUUUUUUUAUUCUCAAAUCUUCUCCAAAACUGAUUCUGGGAACAAAAUUGUUCCCGGGAACAAAAAUUUUACCAAACGCGAUUCUCGUCCCAAACUGAUUCUGGGAACAAAAAAUCAGAAUUAGUCACUGUUUGGCAUGUUGCCAAACAGGGCCUUACUCAAUAAUUCGUUGAAGUGAUUGCAGUGUGCACUUUCCAAUGCGAAAUCAAAUUUCUUUUUCAAGUAGGUCUUCUUUAGUCUCACAAUGGCCGAUGAAGUAAGAUCAAAAGCGACAAAAUUAAUUUGAUGUAACUUAGAAAAAAAUAGUUACCAUUUUCCCAUUUUGACAAGAUUUUCAAGGUUCAAAUUCAAUUGGAAGUCGGACUUCGAAUCCACAGAAAAAGGUCCAAAAAAAAAAAGAAGAAGUAGAAAUAACAGUCUAUCACCAUCCCAUCCACAUUGUAAGGUGAUUUACAAAUUAAUUAUUAGAAGACACGUUAGAGCAACUGUUUUGCCAGAAUUUCUCCCGCAAUGAAAUAGGCUUUACCGAAAGUCUUUUUUUUUUUUUUAAUUUUAUGAGAGGAAAACAGGUUCUACAUUGACUCUGGAUAGGGAAUUUUUAGGCAAAUAAGAAAAUCAAUAACAAGGCUAGGAAUGUACAAAUAUUACAAGCGAACUGACUAUAAAGAAACUUUGCCAAAAUUUAAUCAACAAAAAAGCUUGAGUGCGUUGAGAUAAAGAUAUAUGUUAGAAUUUAAUUGAUGACACGAAUUUAGAAACUGCAGCUAAGAAACAUGUUAAAAUUUAAUUGGCAAUCCGAAUAUGGAAAAUAAAAAUAUAGAGUAGGAAAGUAAAGAUACCGAAAGACAACAAAUUUAUUUGAUUUUUGCAAGGGAUAAGUACACUAAUGGUGCCAAAAGUUGUGUACGGCGCUCACUUUGGUGCCAAAAGUAACUGUCGGAUCACUUAAGCUGCCAAAUCGGAGGAAAAACGCUCACUUUGGUGCCACCGGCGAAAGAUUCUGGCCUCCGGCGAAAGAUUCCGGCCAAAAUGAUUUUUUUUUUAAAAAAAAAAUUGAUAAGCCUUUAAAUGACGUCGUUUUCGGUCCUCCUUAAGAAAACAACGUCGUUUUGCCGUCCUACGUGGAUGGCUUCAUGGAAACGACGCCGUUUAGCUCACAUGGGGAAGAAAUUAGGGUUCCGGCGAGGUUGAAGCCGUGGCCGUCGUCGGGGUUGAAGUUGCAGCCGCCGAGUGGCCAUCAUCGAGGUCGGGGUCGAGGUCGGGGUCGAAGCUACGGCCGUCGAGUGGCCAUCGUCGGGGUCGGGGUCAGGGUUUGAGCCGUGGCCAUCGAGUGGCCAUCGUCGCGGUCGGGGUCGAGGUCGAGGUCAGAGCUACGGCCGCCGAGUGGCCAUCGUCGGGGUCGGGGUCGGGGUCGAGGUCGGAGUCGCUGCCGUUGAGUGGCCAUCGUCGCGGUUGGGGUCGAGGUCGGGGUCGAAGCCAUGGCCGCCGAGCGCGAGGACCGUCGAGGACGGCGACGGCCGGAGAUUAGGGUUUUGAAUUGGGGGAGACACCAAACGGCGUCGUUUUGGUGUUUGGAUGCUGACUUAGCUCUCCGACGAGCCACGUCGGUGUCAAAAAUUAAUAAAAAAAGGCCACGUCGGAUUUCCGGCUAAUUUCGUCGGAGUUGGCACCAAAGUGAGCGUUUUUCAAAUUUUUUGGCACUUAAGUGAUCCGACAGAAACUUUUGGCACCAAAGUGAGCGCCGUACACAACUUAUGGCACCAUUAGUGUACUUAUCCCAUUUUUGCAAGGAGCCUUUAGUAGAUGGACGAUGGUAUUUAUAGUAAUCACGCCAUAAUCACUUAUGAGCCGUUGCCUCCAUGUUCCCUUUACUUCCUAAAGUUUUGUGUCCAUGUUCUCACAACGCCAUGAUAUUGUGUUUGCAUAGUUAUUCUUUACAAAAGGUAUAUUAGUUGUUUCACAAUCUCAAUUGCUUUACUUUCCAGUAACUUUAUAUUGGUGACCAUAUCUUGAUGCUUCUCGUGUGUUAAACCUUUUAACACUUUGGUCACUCAUCAAUCCUUAUUUAUCAACACUCUUGUUGAGUUGUAAAUCAACAAGCCACCAGUGACAAUUGUUGAUGUGUGUCGACACAUUGAUACCUAUUCUAGUCACUAACAAUGGGUCACGUUUUCCUUGAUUUUUCAUGUUUUGAUCACGUGUCUAUCCAUAUUGAUGGUCAUGUCACUUUUUGGUGUAGAUAAUGACACAAAAAAGAAAGAAAGAAAGAAAACACACACACAAACAUGAGAGAGCUAUAUCUCACGAGUAGGAGGUUUAUUUAUUUAGGUUUAAUUAAGUGAAAAAUGAAAUCUAAUCUUACACUCUUGCUUUUAAUUAUUGUGAUUCGCGAAAACCGAUAUUUUAAAUCCAACUAGAGCUUAUGCUUAGAGUUCUAUAGUAUAUAUGGGCCUCAAAUAUAAGUUCUUGGAUCUUUCUUGCUUGGGCCUCAGGCAUAGAACUUCAUCAUCAUGGAUUAAUGGUGGAUGCAUAACAUGUUUGGCAAAGAAAUGGAACCGCUAGAUGAAAAGGGAAAGUGAGACGACAAAUGAGAUUGAAAGAUGAAUUCAUAUAAUUUAAAUGAGCAUUUCAAUUCUUAUAUUAGGCUGGACAGAAGAAUGCAUCGGAAGAGGGUGUGUUCGACUGUACAAGAAGAACAUGAAUAGAGGGUUCGAGUGAACUAGAGCUCUUUUAGUUUGAAAUGACAGUUCUUUGAUUGCUCUCAAAAUGCCUGUUGAAUAAGGAAAAAAAGGAAUGGAGGUCGGAAUAACGGCUUCCUUAUGGCCUUCUUACUCGGAUUACAUCAAAUUCUUUCGGAAAGUAUAGAUGAGAUCGAGUAACGUAACUUAGACAUAAAUCUCUUUAAUGUAAUGAAUUUUACCUACAUCAAAUCCUAACCCCAUACUGAAAAAGAAAUGAAAUGGAUGGUUGAGAGACAAAAGUAUUCCAACGACUAUCACCAUUAAAUCCUUUUUUAUUGGGAAUCAUGCUUGCAAAUUAAUCAAUCAAUCAGAAUUCACUGAUUCGCCUCGAAAGGAUUCCCCCGCAAUUAUCAGCACAUGCAGCAGUUGGGGAAGGCUGCGUUAUCAUUCCUUGGCCGGUCACGUGCCGCAGGAAGCGGCGCACUUGACGAGAGACCCCAUGACACAUGGUGAACCAUUUGACAUGUUGGGCACGCCAAAGACAAUCCACCGCAAGACUUCCAAGAAAAUAGGGUCGUUCUUUUUUUGGGUUAAUUGCGAUGAUCCGCUAAUCUUUCUCCGGUCUACUCAAACUCCCACUGAUGUUGCUUUUACCUGCAUCAACCUUUAUGAGAUUAUAACUGAUUAAUGUGUUCAAAAGUUCAACUCAAAAGGGUAAAUCGCAUAUACUGACCUAGGAGUAACGUGUAGAAUUCGAUUAACAAAGUGGAUGCGCGCGAAAAAGGGGAAAGAUCACAUGUACAUAGAGCACUUAUAAACUAAUCGCCAGGCAAUGUGUAUAAUAGUUUGACGUGCCAUGAGAUGAAUUUUCAUAAAACGAGGUUAUGAAAUAUUGAAAAAAAAUGGAUAUAUUAUGACAGUUUUUAGAGGCUAUUCAUUAUGUUUGUCCUAGGGUGAGCAUAUCGGACCCAUCAAAUUGGGAAAUGUCUGGACUGGACCAGUCAGUUUGGUUCGCUUUUUGGGGACAUCAUUUCAAUUCCCAAGUCAGGAGGAAUUCGACCAACUCUUUUUUUUAAUAUAUUUUUUUUAACAUUUUAAAAAUAGCAAGAAACCUUAAAAUAGUAACAAUUCUUUUUUUUUUUUUUUGCUAAUUGAUUGGUUCCAUUAGACCGAAUCAAAUCGGUCAGUCUGACCCCUAAUCACUGGAAUCAAUCCUCCUGAUCUAGUUCAUCAUUCUUAGGUUGGGAACUAGAUCAGAUCAGGAAUCGAUCAUUCCUACUUUGUUCUUCCAUGGACCUUGGUCAAAAGAAAGCAUAGUCUCACCAUUAGGCAAGGGACCGUAGAGCUAAGAUGGUGGGCAUUAAAUGAAAUUAAAUAGUCGCCAAUGGAGUUCGGCAGGGUUUUUUGGUGAGGUUGUGACCUGCCUAACAAAAGGCCAAGGCUACCGACCAAAAAAAGAAAAAGAAAAAAAAAGGGCCAAGCCUUGCUAAUUUAUCAAUGGUUGAGAGACAGUCAUGACGACAUCGACGAGCACCGACCAAGAAAUAUCUCAUUCUCUUCAUUAUGUGUACCUUAGAACCGAAAAUUUCGAUAUCAUUAAAUAGGGGAGUGCUAAAAAUGACAUGACCGUUUACUAAAAAAGAUCUUCAAAUGAUCUUUAAAUUUCAUUGGUAUAGCUUCUUGUGAGCACGAGAUAAGAAAAUUUUUUUAUACUUGAGUUCAAUGGAUGAUCAUAUGAUAUUUUAACAUUAGAUAUAUGUAAAACAGAUCACCCAAAUUAGAAACUGCUUGAAUUGAACCGAACUGUUCGGUUUGGUUCAUUCCCAAUAUCAAAGGGGAAUCAGACCGGAUCAAUUAUAUACACUUUUUUUUUUAAUUUCUUAACAAAAAUUAGUGGGUUUAGUUUAUUGUUUAUGAGAAAAUAGAAGCCUGUAAUUGAAUAAAAAUAUAUCUAGAUAAAAACAUAGAAUUUGUCUUGAGAUAUAUCUUAAUGGAAUAUGAAAAAAAUAAUAACUAGUUUUAUUGGAUCGAAUCGGAUUGGGAACAAGUUAUUUCGAAAUCACCUAAAAUUCUAAAGAAAAGAUUGGUGCCGCCGUCCCUUGGGUCCUUCUAAGCGUGAAUAAUUUCCAAAACUUGAUAACAUUUAAGUAGAAUGACUCGAGCUAAACUAGCUAAGAAAAUGCAUGGGGAGAUCCAUUAUUCAGAAAAUAAUUAUGAAAACGAUAUUACUAAUUGGUAUAACUUUUUUGUUUUCCUUUUAUUUAUAGAGAGAAUUAGAUUUGAAAAUCUCAUGAAUGGAAAAAAUUCAAAAUAAAUUAUAUUACCAACAUGUUAUGUUGUCAUAAGGAGCGCUAAUAUCAAUAGAGUAAAUCAAAUCCGAAAUUUUCACAUUGACACAAAUCAAUAACGAUCUAUCACUUUAAUUCGAAAUGGAAACAUUGUCUCCCGUUUCAAAAAAUCGAUUAGCGUGACAUCAUAUAAAUUUUAUUGAAAAAAAUCCAACUUUACCCCACCUCCAUCCACGAAAUUCUCGUACAAAACUUCAAGAGGAGGGCGACAACGCACUAUCUUUUCGUGACGCGCAAAGGCCCCCCCAGCAAUGCGCAUCACACACGGCUCGCACGUCCCCCUUUCGCCGCCACUUGUACAGCUCUCGCGCGCAUCUAAUUCGUCCUCGCUCCAACCCCACCUCGGCUUCCCUCUAUUUAUACUCCGCCCUUUCCCCAUUUUCUAUCGAAUCUUUCCCCGCUUUCAACGCCCCCACAGCAACAGAGAAAGAUCCGAGAUCAGAGAUCCGGCCCACCGCUCCCGGCGGCGCUGGUGGCACGGCCUCUCUUUUUUAUCCCUUCCUUCUCCGACGAGGAGCUCCGUCCGCGAAGAAGGGCAACGCCAUGGCCACCGGCGCUGCGGAAUGCCUCCUCCGGUGCGUCUACGAGGGCUGCAUCUCCGGGUGCGACUCCGGGAUCGAGAGGCGGCCGUACCACCGGAACUGCGGCUGCGCGCUCCACAAGAAGUCGGGCAGCAACUGCCCCCGUCCCCCGACGGGGAAGGGCAAGAGCGUGUCGUAUCCGAUCAGGCGGGCGUGGAGCGAGGGGUCCCUCGUCCUGAUGGCCUCCGCGAGUUCGUCGCCGUCGUCGUCCCCGGUCGUGGGGAGGCCGCUGGCGGCGGGUCCUUGCGAUCUAGACAGGGCGAUGGAUGAUGGGUUUUGUCUCAAGAUGUGAAAGUUUUGAUCUUUUUUUAUGGGUUCUUCUCUUCGGUCGUUUUUCUUUUGGUUCUUGGUAGAUGAGAUGGGGGGUCGUUGUUGUUGAUGAUCUCGAUGUUUGCUUCAUUCGUUUUGAUCUCUUCGUGACCAGCUUAGGAAUUUUAGAAGAGCCCCCUCAUUGAAUUAGAGAAAUCUGACAUGAUCUAUAGACAUGGUGGUGUCCUCUGGUGUUGUCUGGGUUGAAAUCGGUGCGAUUGCAAUGUUCAUCUGUUGAUAUGGUGGGAGUCAGUUUCAUCUGACGAUGAAUGUACAAAGUGAUCUUAAUGGAGCCAUACUUUUUCUCCCAAAUUCCUGUUCCCGUUCUUCCAUCUUCUUCUGCUUGAAAAGGAGUUAAGAUUGUUCUGGAUGCAAAUCUGAUCGCAAGAAAAGGCUGAGAUUUUUCUUGGCAUGGAUUCAAUUCCAGUCCUUUUUGCUCACACAGAUUCAGAGCAUGUCUCACACCUUUCACAUCGUCUUGAUUCAUCUCCUUUUGCUUGAUCGAUGAUGACCCAUCACGCCAAAUUCCUUUUUCUAUGGGGGGGUCGAUCUAGACAGAAAAAAAUCAGAGGAGGGGGAAGAAAAUACGUGCCAUGUUUGGCGGGGUCAAUUGAUCUGAGCAAGUGCAGGUCAACGGACUCGAGAUGGAGACAAGAAAGACAAAUGGCGUGGCAUGCAUAAACGAGAGUCAAGAGGGGCGGGCAGGCAGGCCAUGUGGGUCGCUCUUUGCUGGCGGAUGCAGCCGAACAGUAUUCAAUUCAAAUUGCAUUUGCCCUGAAAUAUGAAGCUGGACUUCCCCGGUCUUCUUUAAACAAAAAGACGUCUCUCUCAGUGGGUUCCAAGCCAAUUUUCUUUUCUUUUCCUUCGAAAAAGGAUGGACCGUCCACGACUUUUCCGAGCCUUUUUUUUUUUUUUUAAAUUGAGAACUCUUGAGUUGUCUUCUCUUCUCUCAACUGUAUGAAUCACAUGCUGGCGCAAGCCCGAAAAGCAGAUCAAGUCCAAGCUGUCUCUACAUGAGCGCACUACCAAACGAAGAAGAGAGUCAGGUGACCACCCAAAAAGACAAAUUUAAAGUAGCUCUCUUGGAGCCGUUGGGUGCGUACAGAUGUUUGACCAUUGCUCUAUAUUGCGUUAUCGUUUCUGUAACUGAUGAACCUUCACAAAUUACUGCCUUUUCAAUGUUUCUAAGAUGGCAUGACUCACAUCACCGACGGGAGGAAAUUUGCUUUUGAAAUAGACAGUUGCUAACUAAGGUGAAAAACUGAUAUUUUGUAGCAUAAUUCAGAUUUGCUUUUCUAUAUGAAUUAUUGACCAUAAUUUGAGUUAUCAAACAUGUGGAAGAAUAAGUAUUGUGAAAUUUAGUUUUAUUUAUAAAGAAAGUUAUGAGUCAUUGUGAAAAAAUUUACUUCUUGUGAUGUAUUGCUGUUUAUUUUUCUCGUGAAAUGUCGCUGACCGUUCUUAAAAGUUUAAUUGUCAACGGCAACCACGAGCAGGAAAUAGAGCUAAUCCUCGUAAAUAAGAAGUUCAAUGACAGGCAGAGUUUAAUUUACCAGAAGUAAAGACAAGGUCAAUCUUGAUGUUUUGGAUCCUAAUAAUUUGCAGAUUAUUUGCUAAUCUUUGUCUCAAUAUGGAUCAGAAUAACCUUUUCUGCUCUCAACAGGUCAGAAUAACUUCCAAGUGUUUGUCGCCACAAAUUCAAUGAAAGAAGAUAUACUCGAAUUAUGUACAAACUACAAGAAAACUAGUGGGGCAACAUUGUCAAAAACAUGAACCUUCAUGCGAGAAAUCUCCUCCCUUCACAUUGUUUACGCAACAAGAACCGAGUGCUUCAAAGCAAGGUCGUGAGAACUCAACUUGCGGAUAAACCUAUGCUUAGAACUCCUCCAACUAUCAGUGAAAUUUUCAAAGCCGAGCUAAGUGGGGCCGAGCUCGCUUUCUAGGGCCUUCUUCAAUCUUUCUAUGGAGACAGUUUCGACUAGCCGCCAGGCGUUAGGCCUGGAAUCGUCUCAGAGGAAAAGAGACAACUUUCAUGUCCUAACUAAUAUGGCAGUGCCAAUGGCUACGAACUUUUCUAGACAUUCUCAAAAAAGAGUUUGUUUUUCUAGAGAACUCCCUAGGCUUCACUGACAUGCACAGCUCUGUUAGUCCUAUAUAAAUCAGUGAAUAAUGCGGACAUUCGAGAUCACCAAAGGAAGCUGCACUGAUGGAAAACAAAACCAAAACAAUCAAAGAGACAGAAAAGAAGGGAAGGACGAAGAAUAGACUUAUAGCAGCUGAAACGACUCUCCGGUGUGUCCUCGAUGGAAGCUUGUCGUUGAAUGACAUGGAAAUUGAACGAAGGCCUUAUCACUGAAACUGCAGUUGCACUCUGCAUAAAGCAAUGGGCGGUCAUUCCGGUUGCUCUCGACAUAGCAAGAUGUCUUUCGCCAAGAGAGAGUCACGGGUGGAUUCAUCUUUGUCAACGGCAACUCGCAAGGUCCCUCCAUCCUUUCCAGUCAAAAGUAGAGAAAACUCUAACAAAGCAGCUUCAUCAUGAUCCAUAGUAGAGCCACCAUGACUGCUGGAUGUAAUUAGAUGGAGGAAAAUAACUAGCAGAAACAUAGGAAAUCAGAGGCGACAGGCUAUCCUUCAUUUGUUCCCUCGAGACAACAAAAGCAUCGGAGGAUAGAUAACACUCGCUUCUUCUAAAUUCAACCUGCACGUUUAACUGAUCUCUCCAGGCAAGAUCAGGAAAAUCAGUCAAAUUUGUGCAUCUCAUGCCUUCACUCCGUGUAAGUCCUGCCAGGGACAUCAGCAGAGAUGACAACACUAUAAUUUAUUAAAAGUCUCAAGCUUCAUGCAUCUUUGCCAGUAAUAAUGAUGGGAGUUAUUUUUUUAAAAUAUUGCUAAGAAUAUAAAUAUCGGACCAGUAGAAAACUACUUGUCUAGACUCCUCAUAGCGCUUUAGGCAUGCUACUAGACUUGCAAUCGGAUCAAGUUGUUGGUAUGUAAUAUAUUAUUUUUGUACCUAGCAUCAACAUGUCCUCAAAAUAUCAGGAAAAAAACAGUUAACAAAAAAGUUUAGGAGGUUAUAUUGGACAUUCAACAGGUCAGGAAACCUGUUUCAAGUGAUUGGCGAGAAAAAAAGGGAUGAUUGCAAAUGAGUGUACUCAAAUUAGUAAUUUUCAUUUGACAGAAAAGAGUUAGCAAUUUUCCUCCUUCCGUAUUUGUGGUCCACACCACAAUUAUGUGAUUAAUUUAGAGCGCUAUUUGGGAGAAAACUUCAUGAUAAAGAAAUUCCAAGAAAUGGUUUUUCAAGAGAAUGGAUAGUUUCCUUUGUUUGGUGAUAUGUGAUUGAAAACAUUUAUUAUGUUACAAUUAAUUGCAUUUACAUUUGUUUGCAACUUUGUAGGCCUUCUUUCCUUAUGAUCUUUUUGUCAAGCGUCAUUCUUGGAAAGAAGUGAAAAUUGCUCCCAUACGGUUGUACGAAUUCUGGGAACAGGUUAUUUGGAAAGAUUUGUAAUUCUAGGAAGGAAAGUAAUAAAUCAAUAACAUAUUUCGAAUAAGGCGCCAGAUCUGAUAUCGUAUGUUGAUGUAGCAAAUAUUAAUCACUUGGGCAUGGUUUAAAUUAAUGCCUUGCUGUUUUUUUAUUAAUGAAAAGAUCAUUAAGCACCAAACAUGUCCUUGAUUGACUUCUUUUAGGAGGUUAAUCUCUUCUCUGCACGUGCAUAGUCGAUAUAUGUCUUACUUCUAGGUCCACGUUUUGGUCUUAUCCAUCUUCUGAUGAGUCUGGAUUUAGGUGAUUUCGAAUUGAUAUUCUCAUUUUGCGGAACCUAAGGUUUAAUUAUUUUUAUUUUUGUGUCUUGAGAUCCGCUAAGGAAGAGAUACGACUUGAAUUUGCUUAUCCAGAUAAUUGUGGUAUGUUCUUAAACUCAUUCCGCAAAGAAAUUAGAAGACAUUAUGAUGAUGUGGGAGUAGAGAGGCUCGUGAGGAUGCCCAAGUUCUUCGGGCUUUGGUUAAAAUGGGUCAUGACAUGUUUUUCAGGUUUUAAUUAUUUUCUCAACUCAGUUUAGCCCAUUUUACAAAAAAAGAGUUACCUACACCGAAUUUGGCCCAUUAAAUCUAAUUCAUAAAAUGAGUAGCCGCCUCUAUUCCAAUCAGGUAGAAAUUCAUUUUGAUGACUUUAGCCGAGCACUAGAAAAUACUGUCAUCUUCCUUCUUAAUUUUUUUUUUUCUAAAAGAAUCACAUUUUCUGCGAAACAAAUGGAGGCUAAGUAUAAAACCAAAGUAGUCAAUACAAUACAAAUAUGUCUUGCAAUUUGUGAACAGGAAGAUCUAGUUAUAAUCAAGAACAGAGUAAAGUAAUGAAGGGCUUCAUAUACGUGGGACUACGGCUCUCUGCCAAGUCCAGUGCAACUUUGCCACACAUGAUGCAUGCCAGAGAAUGCAAUUGUUCGACGAGUAGGAAAACAAGAAAAAGCAACUCACAAACGAAAAGGAGAAAAAGGAUCGGUUACCCACAAAUUAUACAGUUUCCUCAAUUCAAGUUGUGUCUGGGAAACCGAAUGGGAGAGAGGUUUUCUUCAGGUGCUGAUUGAAGAUGGUAGACCAAAUUCCUAAGUCUCUCUCUCUCUCUCUCUCUCUCUCUCUCUCUCUCUCUAGAAGUUCCAUGUCUAGGAAUGAAGAAGUUCCUUGACAAACUUGGUUUUGUUUAACUAACUGCACAAGAACACUUCGAAGCAAAAUUUUCGAAGAAGUUCCUACAAAUGCUUCCCAGAGAGUGCGAAAAAUAUUUCGCAACAUUUAGCAGUCUUUUAUAUGUUUUCGAGGGAAUACUUUUACAGGAAUUUUGGCAGCAUAUGCGAUCAAAUCGUUGAAGGAUAUACUUUACCUUACUUCUCGUUUCCACCUGCUUCUUUUAUAAAUCGCAGCUCCUCUUUUGUUUGCCUGGGAAGUGAUGCCGUUGCUCUUGUCCCUCUUAACUUCAGAAAUGCAUCACCUUUGGUCUCUUAAUAAGUGAUCAGCGAGUGCAACACAAAUAUUCGGUAUGAGGUCAUCUUUACUUGAGCGUGUUGUUGCUCAAUGCUGAACCCCGCAUUUUGCCUGCAACUAUGAUGCGCAAAUGCAUUUGGAAUCUGUAGAGAAGAUUGGAUUCCUAUACCCUAAUGUUCAUGAUUAGACUAUAUUUUUCCGUGUACUAGUAUGCCAUUGCUAAUGUCAAGUAUUUGCUGAUGAAGAACUUAACAACCAAUGUACUUGACUGUUGGUGCCUUUUACGACACCAUUUGGUUCGGCUUUCCUAAGGAGCUUUAGGCCCUCAAAGCCCAUUGGGGAAAAUAUUUUGCAUUUAACAAAUAUUUUUGAAAGCUCAUUGGCCAAAUAUUAACAUUCCCAAUGCUGAAAGCCCAAUGCAAGUAUGGACCUACUUUAAGCAUUUGACAUUUUGGAAAUGCAAACUGUUUAUCCGUGUCACCGUUCAUCUUCUUCCCCAUUUGUCUUCAUCUUCCCCACCUGUGAGUUGGGCUUCUCUGGUAGUCGCUACCGCUGCCUGGGGGUCACGCGUCCCCAGUGACCACCACCUAGGGUGGCGCGACCCGCAACCCAGGUGGUGUUGCUCGGGUCGUGUGAGCCAAGUGACGCCAACUGAGGUCACGCAACCCAGGCAACAUCUCUUGGCAUGCGCAAGCCAAGCGAUGCUGCUUGCGUUAGCGCGAUCGGCCAAAUCUAGCCUCUACGACCUUAGAUGACGGCGUUGCCUGAGGUCACGACCUUAGGCGGUCAGAUCUGGUCGUCUGGCAAUUGGCCGGCGGUUAGCGGGCCACCGGAUUUGAUAUUCAAAUUAUAUAUAUAUAUAUAGCGAAAGCCCAUUAUAAAUGUAAGGUUUGCCCGACAGUAUUUACAUAUCCGAACAACCACAUACUAUUACUAUGGAACGGAGAAAAGUUCAGUCUCAUGGAUCAUAAUCAGAAGGGAGUGUUGAAAAUGCUGUGAUCACCCUCAAGAUAAUCUUCCCGUUCAUUGAGAUAUAGCUCUUAUGAGCUGCUUCUCACUAGGAUAUUCCGGUGAACUUCCAUUAACAAUGUAAUAUAAAGAUGCGAUGAAGUUUUGUACAGUUAUGAGUAUAUUUCAUGAAUAAAAGCAUGGUAUGCAUCGUCAUUGAACUAAGAUCUAAUUCAAAUCAAAUAAAAAUACCAUUUCACAAAGACCAACACAAUAGAUAACGAUGGACUCUGACAUCACAAGUCUUUGGUAGAUGUGGCUGGUGAGGCCCCUUCGAGAAUUUGAACCUCUAAAACUCAAGAAAACGUCGUAAUUGCAUCCUAGUGAAGAAGCAGGAUCAUUUGAUUAAAGUGGUUAUUGGUUCCUCAGCAGAAUUGUUUGGUUUUGGUCUUCAUUUACCCACGAACACAAAAAGCAAGACUUAUGCAAAAGGCACCAAGAUAGGAAGAAGCCACGUUGUCCAUUCCUCCAUUUUCUCUAGCCUACUCACCUCCUCCAGAUGAUCAAGAAAAGAUUCGAUGCAAAAAGCUAACUCUUUCUGCUCUAAUCUAAAUCUUAAGUCCCCUGCUUCGGAUUUAAAACACGAAUCCUUCAUUUCGUCUGUUCAAUGGCAGAAAAGAGUCAAAAGUCCGGGGUGGAGGUACUGAUAGUUCAUUGGUUUCUUCCCUCUUUCCAGCUCAAGAUAUUCUUUUCCAGAGUCUUUAAAGUCACAUGCUCGUUGGUCAGUUAAGUAAUAAAUCAUUGACUAUACACAAUUUUAUCGGAUGUUUUCUGUCAAUCUCGUCCUUAAAACACGGAAUUAGCGGGGUAAGUAAAGUCAAACAUCUAGAGUUGCAACAGCACGAGGAAUUGUCCAAGCAAACACUGUAAAAUUGGUGCUGCUAUAUCUUUCGAUCUUAUUAGUGAUCACCAUAGAUGGAUUUCUUUUUCUUUUUCGUAACAUGGGGGGUAGGAUCUUAUAGCUCGAGUAAUCUAUGUAUGUACGCAAACCUCUCAGUCAUGCAUCAAUUAAGGAUCUGCCUCAUCCAAAAUGCUUGACCACAGAACCAGCCCGGGGGCUAGAUUCAGAGAUAUUCACUUUCACAUAAUACAAACGCCUCCCAAAAAGAAUAACUCCUGUCCAUCCCUAAUUUGAUGAAUGAUUUAUGAGGGGAUUUUUCCACAGUGCACUGAUGGUUAUCUAGAAGAUCUACAGUCAACUAAUCGAGGCACACCAUCAUCCCUAGAUUAAUGUACUACAUGAUAAUGCAUAAAAUUAGCAAUAUGCAAGUUGUUGCUGGCAACGGAAAAACACUCUGAUGUUUAGAAUACAAAAGCAAUCCCAAGAGACAAGUGCAGUAAAACAAAAUUCAAUGCAAUAGUUGCUGAUGCAUGGGUUACUGAUCAAUGAAGCGGACUUGGGAGUUGGUUUUUGGAACUGACUGUUGCAAGUCAUACAGACAAGAUAGAAAACAAGUAACUGCAGCUGGUCAUUUUACCUGGCCAAUUAUAGGGAACAAAAAACUACAGCUAGUCAAAAUCACAUGGCAAAGAAGAUAGAACAUCACAAUGUUCGUGAUGGGAAAAGACAAAGGAGUAUUUGGGGGUGGCCAAGAACAUAGGGACUGUGAAUGGUAACUCAAAAUACAAUUCAGUUCUUAACGUUGAACAGGGGAAAAGUGUCAGAUCAUGGCUCAGAAGCAAAAAGACAGUUGCAACUUCCAAAUCACCUCAAAACAAUCUGACCUGGAUUCUCAUAGUCAAAUAUAUUGAACAAUGAGCAUACUUGGCAUGUUCUGCUAGGUAAUUCCGGGGGUUUCAGCGACUUGCAUCCAGAGAAAUCCACAAUGCUUAAGAAUCUCAAGCCUCCAAGGCCCUGGAGCUCCGUUAGGUUCUCACAAUGUCUUACCUUUAGAUCUCCCAAGAGUUCUAAACCUGACAAAUCUGGUAAAUUCUCAAGCAUCUCACACCAUGAAAUGUCAACAAAUUUCAAGGAUCUCGCUCUGUCAAGCCCUGGAAGCUCCAAAAGUUGCGGACAUUUCUUCACUGUCAAGUAUUCUAAAUCUUCAAAUUCCGAAAUAUCUGGAAAGUUUACAAUCGACAUGCAUCGUUCAAUGUAUAAUGUUUUGCUUGAAGAGAAUUCCUCAAGCGCUUGGAUAUCACGGAUUUUCUCACAGCCAUUGAUGCACAGAUAUUUCAAGGUCCCUGAGCAUGGCGGAUCUGGUAAUCUUUCCACAGAACUACAGUCGGAGAGAUUCAAUUCUUCCACGUGUUCAGCAUUAUAAAGACCUGUGAUUUCAACUAACUUCAGGCAACUUCCAGCAACUAAUUUCUUCAAACCCUUUAAGUUAGAAAAAUCCGGUAAACUCUCAAUGGAAUAACACACGGAGAUGUCUAGUUCUUCCAAGUAUUCCCAUCUGUCAAGGCCUUGAAUUCCAACCAGAUUCUCACAAGCAGCGGCAUCAAAAUUCUUCAGAAAUUUCAAAUCCGAAAGAUACGGUAAUGUUUCUAAUGCUUUACAACCCUUUAUGAUGAUCGAUCUUAAUGAGACUAAACGUUCAAGGCCCUCCAGCUUAUAUAGCUUUUCACAAAAUGAUGCUGUCAAAGCAGUUAGGCAAACAAGUUCUUCAAGCCCUUUGAUUUCAGUUAACUCAGAGCAACCGUGGAGAUGCAAUUCUGAUAAGCGUUUAAAAUUUGACAAAUCUGGAAAUCUCUCCAAAUCUGGACCUUGGCUGACUUCAAGCUUCAAUAGACUGGAGGGAAGAUCUGGGAGCCAUUUUAUGUCAUCAUGAAGUUCAAUGUGGAGAUCAACAAGUUGAGAGAGGGUCUUCAUCGUAGUUAAGGCACUCAAAUCCUUGACUUUCAUUGAUAAUUGUGGUACAUUGAUUAGGUUGGCAAUAUCUGGGAUUGUCUCACAGACGAGAUGUAGAAUUGUUAGGCUCGAGGGAAGCUCUGGCAGAGAUUGUAGCUCUUCGCAUUUCCCUAAAUCAAGCUCUUGGAGACAUGAUAACUUGUGAAUGCUUUUUGGCAAACAGGAAAUGCGCGUCUUUUCUAACCGAAGGACUCGCAGUGAAGAUAAAUCCCCUAUCUCACUAGGGAUUUCUCCUUGCAGAUGUUUACACCCUGAGGCAUCUAACUCUUCAAGCUUCUCCAACCUUCCCACGGUUCUAGGUAAACUUUCUAAGAAUAUAUGAGUCAUGAGCAAAACUUUCAGAUUGUGUAGAUCCCCGAUGGAGUGGGGCAGUUCCUUGACACCUGAUCUUGAUAGACACAGUCGGGUUAAAGAUGUCAACUUUCCAAUGGAGUCAGGAAGUGUUCUCAGCGAGUGACACCCGUCUAGCGACAAGCUAUGCAAUUUCCGGAGGGAUUCUAUGGAGCUGUCAAUUCUGACCAAUGAUCUACAAUUACGAGCAGAAACAAUGUCAAGCUUCCUCAUGCGGCCUAUGGACAUGGGAAUCUCUUUUAUGGAACUACCAUCAAUAAAAAGCUCCCCCAAGUUUGUUAGUCUCCCCAUUUCUUGUGGUACCUCCUUGAGUUUCUCACAUCCCCUCAAACUUAAGGAUAAGAGAUUCCUGAUAUUCUUGAUAGAAGGGUGAAUUUUGACCAGAUUAACACAAUAUUCAAUAUUCAAGAUCUCGAGAUUCUGGAGAGCUGAGCAGUCAGGAGUUUCGGUCAACUUAUCGCAGUGCAGAAGCCUCAGAACUUUGAGCUGGUUCACAAUCCACCGCAAACAAAAUAUAGCAACGUUAGCUCUCGAAUUUAUCAUAUACCUUGCAAAAGAAAAAAAGAAGAUGGAGAUUUACCUUCUUUAAUCCAUUGACAUGGUGCCAUGCGUCCCAGUGUUCUGUGAGACUGCUGACUCUUACAUUAAGAAUAACCAAGUUCUCUGGAUGAAAGUUUGUUGGGAAAAAAGACGUUGAACAGGCCAUCCAAUCAAGCCAUCUUAAUUUAGGAAGAAGGUCCUUGAAAUCUCCCGUGACUUCUGCCUGCUGGAUACGAAGGUACCUUAACAUUGGCAGUUUUCUGAAGUGCCCAUUUGUUAAGCAGUAUGGUUCAGAAAGGGAAGGAGAAUACUUAAGAUGGAGGGCCUUGAUCUGAUCCGUUCCCUGCAAGUUCCCAGAAACUGAGAAAUAAGGGUGUCGCACAAGACCCGAAAGUAGGCUAAUGAAAAGUGUGACACAUUGUUCCACUUGUUCCAUAAGUAAUAUUUGGCUUAAUUGUACAUCCAUCCAAUUUAUGACAGAACUCUAAGGAUCAUAAAAGCCUAGAUCCCAGGCAUGCUCCAUUACCAUGUAUGGGAGCUCUUCUAAUUAAUCCAGUUGACCGCUUUCUAGUUUGACUGGCCUUUCAGGUUUUGAUCAUUUUUCUUACAGGGCGUCAAACAGGAUAGAGCACAUAACCAAUAACAAGAGCCGAUUGUCUGUGAUUGUGUCAUGUAGCAACCUGAGAUAUUAUCCUGCUGAAUCAGACAAUGUCUAAUAAUGAAUAUACAAGUUAGUCUGGAUUUCCACAUUUUCAUUUAUGGGGUAUAAUAUGACAGAUAUGAUUUGAUAUAAAUAGCUUGACCCCAUAUCAGCGGAACUAUGCCUAAGCUGAUGGUGUCACAAAUUUGCUAAUUCUACCCACGACCCUUUUUUUAAACAAGAAAUAUGAGAAUCCACACUUUUAAGUAAAAAGUAGAGAGCAGAAAACAUUGUACCUCAUUUCUCUCAAGCACUUUCAAAGCUUCCUCAUGAAUCCAUAAUCUACUGCGCUCACUUGGCUUGUCAGAGUUUUCUUUAUAAACAAUACUUCUACCAAGAUCUCUUAAUUGAUCAUGCAUCCAUAGCCGAUUUCCCCUAUUGCCGUGGACAAUUUUGACUAGGGACAUGAGACUCAGCACUUCUAGUCCCAACUCUGGAGAGAAGCCACAGUCAUCCCACAUGUAAGUUGGAAGUCUUGGAUCCGUUCUAUUGAAAAAACAUGCAACGUCAAGGAAUAUUUGCUUCACAUCAUCAGUUAGGGUAUUGUAACUUAUCUUCAGCUUCUCUUCAACCUUCUCAUGAGGCACUUUUCUCAACUUCUUUAAUGUGUCUCUCCACGCUGCCUCGCUUUUGUCGCACAAGAGUGACCCAAUAACCUCAAGAGCCAACGGGAGCUGCUCAGUAGUUGAGACAAUAUCACGACAAAGGUCGUUGAAGGCAGGAGGAGGGAAGUCACGUUGAAACGCAUGUCUACAAAAUAGAACCAUAGAAUUUUCUUCGUCCAAUCCCAUAAGUUCAUAUUCCCAGUAUGACGUCCCAAACUGAUUAAGAAUGUGCUUAUCUCUAGUUGUAAUAAUGAUCCUACUUCCAGAACCAAACAACCCAUGCCCUCCCACAAGUGCAUCUAACUGAUCUUUGUCACUCACAUCAUCAAGAAAAAUGAGAACUUUUCUGCCUCCAAAUCUAGAACUGAUGAUAUUGAUUCCGUCGUCUCUAUUAGAAACUUCGUGGGGGCUUCCUUUGAGAACUUCAGAGAUCAAUUCCUUCUGCAAGUGCACAAUUCCCUCACGCGAUUCCGUUUCUCGGAUAUCAGCUAAGAAGCCAUGGCGCUCAAAUUGACUUGACAGUUCAUUGUAGAUGACUUUGGCAAGAGUUGUUUUACCAGCACCACCCAUUCCAUGAAUUCCAAGUAUCCGUGUAUCUCCAAAUUUAGUAUCUACCAUAGUCAUAAUUUCUUUUACAUGAAUGUCCACUCCCACCAAGUGUUUAGGGGUCACUAACUUAAAAGCGUUCUUUAACUCGCUCAAAACCUUUACAACAACCACUUUUAUGAGCUCUGCCUCAUUCCUGUCAAAAUCGUGCUAUGAUUGAGAUCACGAACAAAUAUCAAGAGUAAAACUUACUAGAACAAACUCAGAUAAUAAGCAACAAGAUGAAUUGGCAAAUUGAUGAUGGUCGAUUGUCUAAAAAAGUAAUGUACUUUGCCAUAAAAUAAUCAGCUUAUAUGAAAAGUGGAUUUGGAAGUACCCAUUAGCAAUAUUUUCGGAUACCAGUCCUUUCAAGGAUCCAACUUCUUUGAGUGCUUGUCUCCAUUUCUGGACAUCGCUAUCCCCAAAACGCUGCUUGUAUGAAUUGAAGACAUCUCCAAAGGUUCCUUUGAGCCAUUUCACAUCUGCGGGCUCUACUUUAUAGAAUAUGGGCAAGAUCACUUGUUUCAUCUCUUUCUUGCACUUGAGCAUCCAAACGAGCUCAAAAAGGCAUCAUUUGCUGGACGCAUAGCAUUCCGAGAGAACUGAGAUCGAGAUCUUGCUGUUGUCGAUGGCCCGAAAAAGCUGUGGGCCAAUCUCCUCUCCUAGAGGGAGCUCGUUGUCGUCUCUGAACACGCGAACUCUCGCUUCUUGGAGUUGCUGGUAGAGGUGGCUCGUGAAGCCCUUGCGAGAGUCUGGACCUCUGAAGCUUAAGAACACAUCAUAAUCACAUCCACUGGGGACUCGGAAACCGGCUUCUCCACGAAGGUAAUUGCUGUUCUGUUCAUCUUUAGAAAUUCUAAGAGAACGAAAACUGAAAGCAAGAUUAAUCGGAUGCUAAACCACUGCACAAUAAUGACAGAUCUGAUGAUACUGAUUUCCUCUCUUUCUAUAAUGUACUGACGUUCUAAAUUUGAUGGAGGGAAACAAGUCAAGGUCCACCCUCGAGGUGUCCCAUCAGAGAUGGGAAAAACGUCUCAUUUGACUCCUGCUAGGGACAUCAGCAGAGAUGACAACACUGUAAUUUAUUAAUAGUUGCAAGCUUGACGCAUCUUUGCCAGUAAUAAUGAUGGGAAUUAUUUUUGAAAAUAUUGCUAAGAAUAUAAAUAUCGGACCGGUAGAAAACUACUUGUCUAGACUCCUCAUAGCGCUUUGGGCAUGCUACUAGACUUGCAGUCGGAUCAAGUUUAUGGUAUAUAAUAUAUUAUUUUUGUAUCUAGCAUCCAGAUGUCCUGAAAAUACCAGGAAAAAAAAAAGGUUAACAAAAAAUUUUAGGAGGUUAUAUUGGACAUUCAACACGUCAGGAAACCUGUUUUAAGUGAUUGGUGAGAAGAAAAUGAAUGAUCGCAAGUGAAUGUACUCAAAUUAGUAAUUUUCAUUUGACAAGAAAAAAGUCAGCAAUUUUCCUCCUUCUGUAUUUGUGGUCCACAACCACAAUUAUGUAAUUAAUUUAGAGUGCCAUUUGGGAGAAAACUUAAUGAUAAAGAAGAAUACUUUUCGAUGAAUCAUGUUUUAAGAGAAUGAAUAAUUUUCUUUUUUUGGUGAUAUGUGAUCAAAAAUAUUUAUUAUGAUACAAUUAAUUGCAUUUACAUUUCUUUGUAACUUUGGAGGCCCUCUUUCCUUAUGAUCUUUUUUGUCAAGCUUUAUUUUUGGAAAGAAGUGAAAAUUUCUCCCAUGUGGUUUUACGAAUUCUGGAAGAGGUUAUUUGGAAAUAUUUGUAAUUCUAGGAAGUAAAGCAAUGCAUCAAUAAUAAUUUUCGAAAUAGGACGCUAGAUCUGAUACUGUAUGUUGAUAUAGCAACUAUCAAUCACUUUAGCAUGGUUCAAAUUAAUGUCUUGCUGUUUUUUUUUUUAUUAAUGAAAUAAUCAUUAAGCACCAAACGAUGUCCUUGAUCGACUCUUUUUAGGAUGUUAAUCCUUCUCUGCAGGUGUAUAGUUGUUAUAUGUCUUACUUCUAGGUUCACGUUUUGGUCUUAUCCAUCUUCUGAUGAGUUUGGAUUUAGGUGAUUUCGAAUUGAUUACUCAUUUUGCAGAGCUUAAGGCUUAAUUAUUUUUAUUUUUGUGUCUUGAGAUCAGCUAAGGAAGAGAUAUGAUUCGAAUUUGCUUAUCCAAAUAAUUGUGGUAUGUUCUUAAACUCAUUCUACUAAGAUAUUAAAAGACAUUUUGAUAAUGUGCAAGUGGAGAGACUCGUGAUGAUGCCCAAGUUAUUUGGGCUUUGGUCAAAAUGGGUAAUGACAUGUUUUUUGGGUUUCAACUCAGUUUAGCUUGUUUUACGAAAAAAGAGAAUUUGGCCCAUUAAAUUUGAGUCGCAAAUUGGUUACUCGGCUCUGUUCCAAACAGGUGAAAAUUCAUUUUCAUGUGUCUAGCCGAACACUAGAAAUCACUAUCAUUUUCCUUCUUAUAAAAUAUUUUCUGGAAAGAUCAUAUUUUCCAUAAAAGAAACGGAGCCUAAAUAUAGGACCAAAGUACCCAAUACGAUACAAAUUUGCAAUUUGUGAACAGGAAGAUCUAUUUAUAAUCUAGAAAAGCAAUGAAGAGCUUCACAUAUAUGGGACUACGGCUAUGUGCUAAGUCCAGUGCAACUUUGCUGCACAUGAUGCAUGCCAGAGUACGCAAUUGUUCGACGAACAGGAAAACAAGAAAAAUCAACUAACAAAAAGGAAGCAGGAUAAGGAUUGGUACGCCCAAAUCGUAGAGUAUCCUCAAUUCAACUUGUGUCUGGGAAAGCGACUAGAAGAAAAUUUUUCUUCAGGUGCUGAUUGAAGUUAGCAGACCCCAAAUUCCCAAGUCUCUCUCUCUCUAGACGUUCCAUGUCUAGGAAUGAAGAAAGUUCCUUGACAAACUCGGUUGUAGUUAACUAACUGCACAAGAACACUUCGAAGCGAAAUUUUCGAAGAAGUUCCUACAUAUGCUUCCCAGAGAGUGAGAAAAAGAUUUCGCAACAAUUAGCAGUCUUUUAUAUGUUCUCCAGGGAAUACUUUUACACGAAUUUUGGCAGCAUAUGACAUUGGAUCGGUGAAGGAUUUACUUUACUUUACUUCUCAUUUCUACUUGCAUCUUUUACCAAAUUACAACUCCUCUUUUGUUAGCCUGUGAAGUGAUGCCGUCCCUCUUGUCCCUCUUAAGUUCAGAAAUGCAUCACCUGUGGUCUCUUAGUAAGUGAUCGGCAAGUGUAAUGCAUACAUUCGGUAUGAGAUCACCUGGACUUGAGUGUGUUGCUGAAUGCUGCUGAAUGCUGAACUCUGCAUUUGCCAGAAACUAUGAUGCGCAAAAUGCAUCUGGAAUCUGUAGAGAAGAUUGGAUUCCUAUAUGCUGAUGUUCACGGUUACAAUACAUCGUUUUUCCGUGUACUAAUAUGCCAUUGCUGAUAUCAAGUCAAAGUAUUUGCUGAUGGAGAACUUAAUAAUCAAUGGACUUCUCAACUGUUGAAGCCUUCCACAUAUCCAAACAGCCACAGACUAUGGCUAUGGAAUGGGCAAAGGUUCAGUAUCGUGGAUCAUAAACUGAAAGGAGUGUCUAAAAUUCUGUAAUCACCUCAAGAUAAUGUUCCUGUUCAUUGAGAUAUAGCUCUUAUGAGCUGCUUCCCACUAGGACAUUCUGGUAGGAAGUUGUGGAACUUUAACAAUGUAAUAUAAAGAUGGUACGUAGUUUUGUACGGUUGAGUAUAUUUCAUGAAUAAAUGCAUGGUAUGCAUGGUCAUUGAACUGAAGUCUAAUUCUAAUCAAAUUAGAAAACCAUUUAGCAAAAACCAACAGAACAGAUGACAUGCUGAAGCUUGUUGUGGAUGACAGACUCUGGCAUCACAAGACUCUGGUACAGGUGACUGGUGGAACUAGAGACUCGUGAAGCCCUUCUGUUAAUCUGGACCUCUGAAGCUCAAGAAAGCGUUGUAAUUGCAUCCUAGUGAAGAAGCAGGAUCAUUUGAUGAAGUGGUUAUUGGUUCCUCAGCAAAACUGUUUGGUUUUGGUCUUCUUUUCUUACACAUGAACACAAAAAGAAAGGUUAAUGCAAAAGGCACCACGAUAGAAAGAAGUCACGCUGUCUAUUCCACCCUUUUCUCUAACCUAUUAGCUCCUCCAGAUGAUCAAAAAAAUAUUUGAUGAAAAAAAAAGCCAACUAAUUCCUCUCUAUUCUAAAUUUUCAGUCCCCUGGCUCAGAUUUAGAACAGGGAUCCUCCAUUUCGUCUGUUCAAUGGACGGAAAAGAGUCAAACCCCAGGGCAGAGGUACAAAUAGUUCAUUGGUUUCUUCUCCCUUUCCAGCUCAAGACAUUCUUUUUUCAGAGUCUUUGAGUUCACAUGCUCAUUGGUCUGUUAACUAAUAAAUCAUUGAGUAUACACAAUUUUGUUGGAUGUUUUUCUGUCAAUCUCGUCCUUAAAACAAGGAAUUAUCAGGGUAAGUAAAGUCAAACAUCUAGAGUUGCAACAGCACGAGGAAUUGUCCAAGUAAACAGUAAAGUUGAUGCUGCCAUAUCUUUAGAUCUCAAUAGUGACGACCAUAGAUUUCUUUUUCUUUUCUGUAACAUUGGGGGGAGGGGGGGGGGGGGGGGGGUGGUCAAACAUUGACGAGUAAUCCAUGUAUGUAUGUGAACCUCUCUGUCAGGCAUCGAUUAAAGAUCUGCCUCAUCCAAAAUGCUUGACCAUAGAACCAGUUAGAUUCAGAGAUAUUCACUUUCACAUAAUGCAAAGGAUAAUUUUUUUUUUUUUUUGGUGACCCAAGAAAUCCCGAAAGCCGACAGCCGGCGGGAAGAACCUGGGGGCAACAUAGGAAAACCACCACCCCAUGUCACUGGGUAAGUCACCAAGUAACUCCACCAGCCCCCUUGCGUUGCAAAGACUUCGAACCUCUCACAUCUCCCUCAAAGGAUCACUGAAGCCUACCCAGCGGAGCCACCACGGCCGGUGGUAAUACAAAGGAUAAUUCAAUCCCACGUAUCCCAAGAAUUGUAACUCUUGUCCAUUCCUAAUUAGAUGAAUGAUUUAUGAGGGGAUUUUUCCAAAUUGCACUGAUGGUUAUCUAGAAGAUCUACAAUCGACUACUUGAGUCACACCGUUAUUUCAGCAAUAUGCAAGUUGUUGCUGGCGACAGAAAAACACUUCGUAGGGCCAGUUUAGAAUACAAAAGCAAUCCCAAGAGACAAGUGCAGAAAAACAAAAUUCAAUGCAAUAGUUGCUGAUGCAUGGAUUACUGAUCAAUGAAGCAGACUUGGGAGUUGGUCUUUCAAACUGAUUGUUGCGAGUCACGCAGACAUAAUAGAAAACAAGUAAACUGCAGCUGGUCACUAUGCCUGGCCAAAUGAAGGGAACAAAAAACUACAGCUAGUCAAAUCACAUGGCAAAGAAGAUAGAACAUCACCAUGCUCGUGAUGGGAAAAGACAAAGGAAUAUAUUAGGGUGGCCAAGAACAAAUCGAUGGUGAAUGGUAACUCAAAAUAGAAUUCAGUUCAUAACAUUGAACAGGGGAAAAAGGUCAGCUCAUGGUUCAGAAGCAAAAAGACAGUUGCAACUUCCAAAUCACCUCAAAACAAUCUGGCCUGGAUUAUCAUAGUCAAAUAGAUUGAACAAUGAACAUACUUGGCGUGUUCUGCUAGGUAAUUCCGGGGAUUUCAGCAAGUUGCAUCCAGAGAAAUCCACAAUGCUUAAGCAUCUCAACCCUCCAAGCCCCUGGAGCUGCUAGUUUCCCACAAUGUCGUACUUUUAGAUCUUCCAAGAGUUCUAAACCUGACAAAUCCGGUAAGUUCUCAAGCAUCUCACACCUUGAAAUGUUAAUAAAUUUUAACGAUCUCGCUCGAUCAAGCCCUGGAACAUCCACAAGUUGUGGACAUUCAUUCAGAGUCAAGUAUUCUAAAUCUUCAAAUUCCGAAAGAUCCGGAAGGUUUACAAUCAACUUGCAUUGUUCAAUGCAUAGUCUCUUGCACAAAGAGAAUUCCUCAAGCGCUUGGAUAUCAUGGAUCUUCUCACAGCCAUUGAUGUUCAGAUCUUUCAAGGCCCCGGGGCAUGGUAGUUCUGGUAAUCUUUCCAAGGAACUACAGUCAGAGAGGUCCAAUACUUCCAAGUGUUCAGCAUUAUAAAGGCCUGUUAUUUCAACUAGCUUCCUGCAAUUCCCAGCUUCUAUUCUCUUCAGACCCUUUAAGUUAGAAAAUUCCGGUAAACUCUCAAUGGAAUAACACACUGAGAUGUCUAGUUCGUCCAAGUAUUCCCAUCUGUCAAGGCCUUGGAUUCCAACCAGAUUCUCACAAGCUGCAGCAUCAAAAUUCUUCAGAAAUUUCAAAUCCGAAAGAUCCGGUAAUGUUUCUAAUGCUUUACAACCCUUUAUGAUGAUCGAUCUUAAUGAGACUAAACGUUCAAGGCCCUCCAGCUUAUAUAGCUUUUCACAAAAUGAUGCUGUCAAAGCAGUUAGGCAAACAAGUUCUUCAAGCCCUUUGAUUUCAGUUAACUCAGAGCAACUGUGGAGAUGCAAUUCUGAUAAGCGUUUAAAAUUUGACAAAUCUGGAAAUCUCUCCAAAUCUGGACCUUGGCUGACUUUAAGCUUCAAUAGACUCGAGGGAAGAUCUGGGAGCCAUUUUAUGUCAUCAUGAAGUUCAAUAUGGAGAUCAACAAGUUGAGAGAGGGUCUUCAUCGUAGUUAAGGCACUCAAAUUCCUGACUUUCAUUGAUAAUUGUAUUAGAUUGAUUAGGUUGGCAAUAUCUGGGAUUCUCUCACAGACGAGAUGUAGACUUGUUAGGCUCGAGGGAAGCUCUGGCAGAGAUUGUAGCUCUUCGCAUUUCCCUAAAUCAAGCUCUUGGAGACAUGAUAACUUGUGAAUGCCUUUUGGCAAACCGGAAAUGCGUGUCUUUUCCAACCGAAGGACUUGCAGUGAAGAUAAAUCCCCUAUCUCACUUGGGAUUUCUCCUUGUAGAUAUUUACACCCUGAGGCAUCUAACUCUUCAAGCUUCUCCAACCUUCCCACGGUUCUAGGUAAACUUUCUAAGAAAAUAUGAGUCAUGAGCAAAACUUUCAGAUUGUGUAGAUCCCCGAUGGAGUGGGGCAGUUCCUUGACACCCGAUCUUGAUAGACAGUCGGGUUAAAGAUGUCAACUUUCCAAUGGAGUCAGGAAGUGUUCUCAGCGAGUGACACCCGUCUAGCGACAAGCUAUGCAAUUUCCGGAGGGAUUCUAUGGAGCUGUCAAUUCCGACCAACGAUCUACAAUUACGAGCAGAAACAAUCUCCAGCUUCCUCAUGCGACCUAUGGACAUGGGAAUCUUUUUUAUGGAACUACCAUCAAUAAGAAGCUCCCUCAAGUUUGUUAGUCCCCCCAUUUCUUUUGGUAGCUCCUUGAGUUUCUCACAUCCCCUCAAACUUAAGGAUAAGAGAUUCCUGAUAUUCUUGAUGGAAGGGUGAAUUUUGGCCAGAUUAACACAAUAUUCAAGAUUCAAGAUCUCAAGAUUCUGGAGAGCUGAGAUGUCGGGAGUUUCAGUCAACUUAUCGCAGUGCAGAAGCCUCAGAACUUUGAGCUGGUUUGCGAUUCACCACAAACAAUAUAUAGCAACGUCAGCUCUUGAAUUAAUCAUAUAAAUUGCAAAAGAAAAAAAGAUGGAGAUUUACCUUCUGUAAUCCAUUGACAUGGUGCCAUGCGUCCCAGUGCUCUGUGAGACCGCUGACUCUUAUAUUAAGAAUAACCAAGUUCUCUGGAUGAAAGUUUGUUGGGAAAAAAGACGUUGAACAGGCCAUCCAAUCAAGCCAUCUUAAUUUAGGAAGAAGGUCCUUAAAAUCUCCCGUGACUUCUGCCUGCUGGAUACGAAGGUACCUUAACAUUGGCAGUUUUCUGAAGUGCCCAUUUGUUAAGCAGUAUGGUUCAGAAAGGGAAGGAGAAUACUUAAGAUGGAGGGCCUUGAUCUGAUCCGUUCCCUGCAAGUUCCCAGAAACUGAGAAAUAAGGGUGUCGCACAAGACCCGAAAGUAGGCUAAUGAAAAGUGUGACACAUUGUUCCACUUGUUCCAUACGUAAUAUUUGGCUUAAUUGUACAUCCAUCCAAUUUAUGACAGAACUCUAAGGAUCACAAAAGCCUUGAUGCCAGGCAUGCUCCAUUACCAUGUAUGGGAACUCUUCUAAUUAAUCCAGUUUGACCGCUUUCUAGUUUGACUGGCUUUUCAGGUUUUGAUCAGUUUUCUUACAGGGGGUCAAACAGGAUAGAGCGCAUAACCAAUAACAAGAGCCGAUUGUCUGUGAUUGUGUCAUGUAGCAACCUGAGAUAUUAUCCUGCUGAAUCAGACAAUGUCUAAUAAUGAAUAUACAAGUUAGUCUGGAUUUCUACAUUUUCAUUUAUGGGGUAUAUUAUGACAGACAUGAUUUGAUAUAAUUAGCUUGACCCCAUAUCAGCGGAACUAUGCCUAAGCUGAUGGUGUCACAAAUUUGCUAAUUCUACCCACGACCCUUUUUUUUAACCAGAAAUAUGGGAAUCCACACUUUUAAGUAAAAAGUAGAGAGCAGAAAACAUUGUACCUCAUUUCUCUCAAGCACUUUCAAAGCUUCCUCAUGAAUCCAUAAUCUACUGCGUUCACUUGGCUUGUCAGAGUUUUCUUUAUAAACAAUACUUCUACCAAGAUCUCUUAACUGAUCAUGCAUCCAUAGCCGAUUUCCCCUAUUGCCGUGGACAAUUUUGACUAGGGACAUGAGACUCAGCACUUCUAGUCCCAAGUUCGGAGAGAAGCCACAGUCAUCCCACAUGUAAGUUGGAAGUCUUGGAUCCGUUCCAUUGAAAAAACAUGCAACGUCAAGGAAUAUUUGCUUCACAUCAUCAGUUAGGGUUAUCAUAACUUAUCUUCAGCUUCUCUUCAACCUUCUCAUGCGGCACUUUUCUCAACUUCUCUAAUGUGUCUCUCCACGCUGCCUCGCUUUUGUCGCACAAGAGUGACCCAACAACCUCAAGAGCCAAUGGGAGCUGCCCAGUAGUUGAGACAAUAUCAUGACAAAGGUCGUUGAAGGCAGGAGGAGGGAAGUCACGUUGAAACGCAUGUCUACAAAAUAGAACCAUAGAAUUUUCUUCGUCCAAUCCCGUAAGUUCAUAUUCCCAGUAUGGCGUCCCAAACUGAUUAAGAAUAUGCUUAUCUCUAGUUGUAAUAAUGAUCCUACUUCCAGAGCCAAACAACCCAUGCCCUCCCACAAGUGCAUCUAACUGAUCUUUGUGACUCACAUCAUCAAGAAAAAUGAGAACUCUUUUGCCUCCAAAUCUAGAACUGAUGAUAUUGAUUCCGUCGUCUCUGUUAGAAACUUCGUGGGGGCUUCCUUUAAGAACAUCAGAGAUCAAUUCCUUCUGCAAGUGCACAAUUCCCUCUUGCGAUUCCGUUUCUCGGAUAUCAGCUAAGAAGCCACGGUGCUCAAAUUGGCUUGACAGUUUAUUGUAGAUGACUUUGGCAAGAGUUGUUUUACCGGCACCACCCAUUCCAUGAAUUCCAAGUAUCCGUGUAUCUCCAAAUUUAGUAUCUACCAUAGUCAUAAUUUCUUUUACAUGAAUGUCCACUCCCACCAAGUGUUUAGGGGUCACUAACUUAAAAGCAUUCUUUAACUCGCUCAAAACCUUUACAACAACCGCUUUUAUGAGCUCUGCCUCAUUCCUGUCAAAAUCGUGCUAUGAUCGAGAUCAUGAACAAAUAUCAAGAGUAAAACUUACUAGAACAAACUCAGAUAAUAAGCAACGAGAUGAAUUGGCAAAUUAAUAAUGGUCGAUAGUCUAAAAAAGUAAUGUACUUUGCCAUAUAUUAAUCAACUUAUAUGAAUAAGGGAUUUGGAAGUACCCAUUAGCAAUAUUUUCGGAUACCAGUCCUUUCAAGGAUCCAACUUCUUUGAGUGCUUGUCUCCAUUCCUGAACAACGCUAUCCUCAAAACGCUGCUUGUAUGAAUUGAAGACAUCUCCAAAGGUUCCUUUGAGCCACUUCACAUCUGCGGGCUCUACUUUAUAGAAUAUGGGCAAGAUCACUUGUUUCAUCUCUUUAUUGCACUUGAGCAUCCGAACGAGCUCAAAAAGGCACCAUUUGCUGGAAGCAUAGCAUUCCGAGAGAACUGGGAUUGAGAUCUUGCUGUUGUCAAUGGCCUGGAAAAGCUGUGGGCCAAUCUCCUCUCCUAGAGGGAGCUCGUCGUCGUCUCUGAACACGCGAACUCUCGCUUCUCGGAGUUGCUCGUAGAGGUGGCUCGUAAAGCCCUUGCGAGAGUCUGGACCUCUGAAGCUUAAAAACACAUCAUAAUCACAUCCUGGCGAAGCAUCUGAUGAAACUGGGGACUCGGAAACCGGCUUCUCCACGAAGGUAAUUGCUGUUCUCUUCACCUUUAGAAAUUCUGAGGGAAUGAAAACUGAAAGCAAGAUUAAUCGGAUGCUAAACCACUGCAAAAGAAUGAAAGAUCUGAGGAUACAGAUUUCCUCUCUUUCUAUAAUGUACUCGCGUAUUAAAUUUAAUGGAGGGAAACAAGUCAAGGUCCAUCCUGGAGGUGUCCUACCAGACAUAGUAAAUAAAUCUCUUCCAGUCAGGAGUAGGUGGUUUAACGUGGACCAGUCAUUUAUUGAGAUGCACGUGAAAAACACAUUGAGUCCAUCACCUCCGCAUAUAUCAACGAAUUUAUCAAGGUACUAAUGUGAACUAAUUUUAAAAAAUAUCAUAUUUGAAAGUUGAUGUAGUAUAUAAUAAUUAAUAAUUAUAUUUGUCUCAUAAUUCAUCGGCUUUCGUGUCCAACUGUUGACGGGCUAAGACUUAAUCUUUCUCUUGGUGAUUUUCUUAUUGGAAGGGAUUAAAAGUAAACAAUAUCAGAGUAAAAAAUUAAUUGGUGCGAGAAGGAAGAAACAGAUGUAGAGAUAUAAACGACUUUCGAAAUGAAAGGGACUAAACAAGAAAAAAAAGGAACCACCAAAGAAAAUCCUUCUCCUUCCCUUUUUCUGGAAGAAUGGAGGUUCUAGACAAAAUUGCUGAAAAGUUUGGCCCCUAUUUGUUUCAAUUGUUGUUGUAGUCCACAGACACAACAAAGUGGAGAUUUAAGUUGGGACAUUUUGAUAUAGAAUAUAUCUAAAUUGAAGGGGAGCAAACUAACACUAAGGUCACUUGUAGGGCAAAAAUUAUUAAGAUGUACGUGUGAAUUAUGCUAGGAAAAUCCAAAAUUAGAGAAUUUGUAUGUUGUAAAACAAUUAUAAUCACAAUCAGCCCACAAUUUAUUUACAUAAUUUUUUAAGGGAAAGUGUAUCUAAUUGGAUAUAUUGAUACAUUUAGACAUUUCUUCUCAAUUUAACGAAAAAUACUAAAGUUGGAUUAAGUGGGGAAAUUCAACUUAAGAAUGGACAGCUGCAACAACCGCUAGCAUUUGAAAUAGUGAAUGUUUUUGGAAGAGUCAAGAGAAUUAGAUUUUGGAACAAUUUAGGGUGCGUUUGGGAGAAGCUUUCGAAGGAGUUUUGGGCAUCAAAAGCUCCUUGGACCAAAAUAAGAGUGUUUGGGCUUUCAGCUUUCUUGGCAUGUCCACGCGAUACUGUUCAUUCUUUUUUUUUUUCCGAAAUUGUCCUCACCAAUUUUUUAUUUUUCCAUUUUUUGCCCUUGUAUGAGAUUGCUCAUCUUCUCCGGGCCGGUUUGGUUCUACCUGACUGCGAGGGGCCGGCGACUGCUAGAGGGACAUCCUAGGCAAUCGUCGUCAAAGAGUCGGGCAACCUCCGCGAGUCGCGGCGUUGCAUGACCAUUCGUGAGUCGCGGCGACUCAACGACCAUGGCGAGGGGCCGCCCCGACGAUUGCCUGACCCCCAGCAAGUCGGCAGCCCAGAUCUGGGCCGCGGCGGCUCAAAUUUGAGUUGCCGCGACCCAAAUCCUCACCGAUCUGGGUGGGAUUUCCCUAGGAAUUUGGUUAGUCCUCAUAGGAUAUUCGAUCUGGGGAGCUUUCGCUCCGAGAUAUCCACCAAAAAGAGUAAGCGGAACUGACAUGCAGAACCAGAGCAACAGCAGGAUAACGAAAGAGAAAACGGGAUAGCUCCAGUGCUGUGACUACCCCACAAGCGAAAAUUCAGAACAGUCAGGAUCAAAAACGCUAUACCGGGGAAGAAGCACGACACCCAUCCCUUGUGAUCACCAGAGCUGAUGGUCCUCCAAAGUCGGACAGCAACAUAACCAGCAACAACACCAAGAAUCAUGUAGAAGAACAGCAUAUCUCUCGAUCCGCGUCAAAUCUGGACGAACCCAGUUGCGAAAGCAAGCUAAUCAGGCAAUGCAAAGAGCAAACCCCCAUCUGGGUUCGACGAUAUCACUCAUGAACGGCGUCAACACGCACAAAAAACGACUAAAAACACACAGCAAAAGAUCCCGACUCGCACUAGCAGCUGCUCGAACACCUAGAAAGAUCAAGAAACGACAACAGAACAAGCGCGCACGAAUGUCGCGAAGGGCACUGCAGAUCUGACUGACCUUCUAUAAAGGAACGCGCAUAGAGAGGGAGGGAGAGAGCAGGGGAGACUCGGGGGCAACCACAACGCCAGAAAGUUUAAAAUUUUGGCCUUUAUUUAUUGCUGGGGAAGGAGGAAGUCGAGAAGAUGCGAGACGCGAUGAUAUUUCUAGGAUCCGUCCGAUGGCGGUUUGACGUCUUUGCGUGAGCACGCUGAAAUGGGGAAUACGUACCGCGGGGGGCACACUCCUACUGCCGAUUCUUUCCCCCUUCCCCUUUCUUUCUCUCUCUCUCUUUCUUUUCUCCCCUUUUUCCUCCACACGUCACUUCCAAAUCCCCCCUCCCGCCCCGCAACCAAAUCUAGAACUGAUGAUAUUGAUUCCAUCGUCUCUGUUAGAGACUUCAUGGGAGCUUCCUUUAAGAACUUCAGAGAUCAUUUCCUUCUGCAAGUGCACAAUGCCCUCAUGCGAUUCCGUUUCUCGGAUAUCAGCUAAGAAGCCAUGGCGCUCAAAUUGGCUUGACAGUUUAUUGUAGAUGACUUUGGCAAGAGUAUCUCCGAAUAUCUCCGAAUGUAGUAUCUACCAUAGUCAUAAUUUUUUUUCACAUGAAUGCCCACUCCCACCAAGUGUUUAGGGGUCACUAACUUAAAAACUUUCUUUAACUCGCUCAAAACCUUCACAACAACCGCUUUUAUGAGUUCUGCCUCAUUCCUGUCAAAAUGGUGUUAUGAUUGAGAUCAUGAACAAAUAUAAUGAGUAAAACUUACUAGAACAAACUCAGACAAUAAGCAACAAGAUGAAUUGGCAAAUUAAUAAUGGUCGAUAGUCUAAACAACUAUUGUACUUUGCCAUAUAUUAAUCAACUUAUAUGAAAAGGGAUUUGGAAGUACCCAAUAGCAAUAUUUACGGAUACCAGUCCUUUCAAGGAUCCAACUUCUAUGAGUGCUUGUCUCCAUUCCUGAACGACGCUAUCCUCAAAACGCUGCUUGUAUGAGUUGAAGACAUCUCCAAAGGUUCCUUUGAGCCACUUCUCAUCUGCGGGCUCUACUUUAUAGAAUAUGGGCAAGAUCACUUGUUUCAUCUCUUUCUUGCACUUGAGCAUCCGAACGAGCUCAAAAAGGCAUCAUUUGCUGGAAGCAUAGCAUUCCGAGAGAAUUGGGGUCGAGAUCUUGCUGUUGUCGAUGGCCUGGAAAAGCUGUGGGCCAAUCUCCUCUCCUAGAGGGAGCUCGUCGUCGUCUCUGAAUACGCGAACUCUCGCUUCUUGGAGUCGCUGGUAGAGGUGGCUCGUGAAGCCCUUGCGAGAGUCUGGACCUCUGAAGCUUAAGAACACAUCAUAAUCACAUCCUGUUGAAGCAUCCGAUGAAACUGGGGACUCGGAAACCGGCUUCUCCACGAAGGUAAUUGCUGUUCUGUUCAUCUUUAGAAAUUCUAAGAGAACGAAAACUGAAAGCAAGAUUAAUCGGAUGCUAAACCACUGCACAAUAAUGACAAAGCUGAUGAUACUGAUUUCCUCUCUUUCUAUAAUGUACUGACGUUCUAAAUUUAAUGGAGGGAAACAAGUCAUGGUCCACCCUCGAGGUGUCCCAUCAGAGAUGGGAAAAACUAGGGGUGAGCAUGGUCUGAGUUGGUCCGGGCCACUCCCUAACCUUAAGACCAACCCGUACAGUGUCGGUCCUCAAUUUUUAGGAUCGAGGACUGACCCUACUAAGUCUGGGACCAAGGACCGACCCAAUGGGUUCGGUCCGGUUCCAGGGUCAACCCGGGACGGAUCGAUAAUUUAUUUCGUCUUGUUUUUUAUACUCCCUAAAAAAGUAAACCUACAAAUUCAAAUUACACAUCCAUCGACAAUGCGGCAUUGUGCAACUAAACUAUAAAUACCAAUACAAGAUCUCAAAUGAAGCACAAAGUAGAUAUCACUAGUCAAGUUGUGUUUGGAAAGCAAGGGCAAGCUGAGCAUUAGGGUUUCUAAUUAGGGCUUCUUCUUUUUUCCUUUUGAUUUACUCGGCGAUAAGUGAGGUGACUGGCGUGAGUGGCGAGCGCAAGUGUCAAGUGUUGAGUGGGGUGAGUGUCAACUGGCAAGCGGUAAGCGUUUAGUGAGGCCAGCGGCAAGCGGCAAGUGUUGAGCAAGACUAGCGGCGAGUGGUAAGUGGCGAGCGUUUAGUGAGGCCGGCGACGACAGCAAAGGGCGAGUGGUGAGUGGCGAGCGGCAUGAGCAGCGUGCACGGUCAAAGGUGAGCAGCGCGGGCAACCAGAGGUGAGCGGGAUGUUGCUACUUUUGAUUUUGACAAAUUGAAGAACAAAGAAUACAAAAUGGAAGAGAACGUACUUUAGGGAAGAAAGCCGUGAGGAGAUUUACGGCAUAAACUUUGCACCAUUUUGGACGUCGUGAGUCCAUGACUAUGAGGAGUCCUUGAUCCUCACGGUGAAGAAUGUACUAUGGAGUCUAGACUGUGGAGGAAGAGGCCGUGAAGACCUUACGGCGUAAACUUCACGCCUUUUGGAAUUGGAUGCCGUCUGUCCAUGACUGUGAGCAUGAGGAGUCAACAACUUUAACAUCAUUUUACUUAGGUUUGAAUAUAUAAAAGAAUUAUAUAUAAUAUAAUAUAACAUAAAUUUUACUUAGGUUUGAAUAUAUAAAAGAAUUAUAAAUAAUAUAAUAUACAGGAUUGGUCCAGGGUUGGACCGACCCAAAACUCUCAGGACCGAGGACCAACCCGCACAGUGUUGGUCCUGGAAUUUCAGGACCAAGGACCGACCCAGUCCCCUUGGGAACCGGACCAGGACCAGCAGGGUUGGGCCGGUCCAGGGUCGGUCCAGGGUCGAUCCUAAACCGUUGCUCACCCCUAGGAAAAGCAUCUUAUUUCAGGUGUAGCUGGUUUAACGUGACAGGUCAUUUAUUAAGAUACACGUGAACGACAAAUUUAGUCUUCACCUCCACAUAUGUCAAUCUAAUUUAUUGAUAUACACGAAUGACUUAGUUAAGAAAAAUCUCGCGUUUGGAAAUUGGGGUAGGAUAAAGCUGUUAAUAAUUUUCUUUGAAUUAUAAUUCAUUGACUUAAAUUUUUUUGAAAAUGUGGAUUCAAUUAUUGACGGACUCGAACUUGACCUCUCCUUUAGUGAUUUCUUUCGAUGAAGGUACCGAAAGCAAUGCUGUUAAAGCCAAUAAUUAAUUGGUCCAAGGAAGAAGAAAUAGAUCUAGACAUAGAAACAACUUUCGAAACAAAGCAAAAUAAAUAGGAACAGGAGUAAUCCAUCGAAAAAUAUCCUUCUCCUUCCCUCUUUUUCAAAGACAGGAGGAUUUGGACAAAAUCGAUGAAAGGUUUGAACUGCAAUUUGUUUUAUGUAUUGCCGUUGCGGUCCUCACAUGCAACAAAGUGGAAUUUUAAGUUGAGACAUUUUGAUGGAGAAUAUAUCUGAAUUGAGGGGGGAGCAAACAAACAUUGAUGUCACACGUAAGGGAAAUAUUAUUGAGAUGCGCCUGUAAGUUGUGUAAGACAAGUCCCACAUUAGAGAACUUUUGUGUGGUAAAAUAGUUGAUAAUCACACUCAGCCCACAACUUAUUCAUUUAGUAAUUUAAGUGAAGGUAAAUUCAAUUGGAUAAGUUGAUAAACUUGGACAUUUCUUCUCAAUUUAAUGAAGAAUGCCAGGUUUGAUGGGAACCUAUCAUUCAAAAACGACACAAAUAGUUCCUUUACUCUAAUAAAAUGUGUAAUUCAUCUUUAGAUUUUUAAUUCAUUCAAUGUAGCCAUUAAACUAUUUUUUUAGUACUAUCAUAAGUUUUCAUAAUUACACUACUACUUAGAUUUUAGGAUGUCUUUUUCAUUUCAAUCCACUUCCUAAAUUUAAAAAAAAAAAUUCAAUAUUUUCAUCGCCUUUUUACUUUUUAUGUCUUUAUAAAUAUUACUAUAAUUUGAUUUAAGUAUAUUUUAACUUCAGGUCUCUAUAAUAGUAAAAAUAUACCCCCAUUUAUAGUUAUAUUGGUUCCAUAUUCCUUUUGUUUCAAAAUAAGUGUUUCAUAAGAAUAUUUAACAACAACAACAACAACAACAACAACAACAACAACAACAACAACAACAACAACAACAACAAAAACUAUAAUUUAUGUAUACAUUUCUUGUACUUAUAUUAAUCUAAAUUGUGUUAUUAAUUUUUCAUAUAAAUACAAUUUUCAAGUUUUGGGGUUUUGUGUUUCCUUAAUUAAAUUUAGCUUUAUGUAAAUUAGGAAAUUAAAACAACAUGAAUAUCAACCCAAUACAACUCUAAAUGAGGUUCUACUUUCAUUAUUAAAUAUAUUAUAAGCUAAAAUAUACUAAAAUGGAACUAUCGUAAUAUUUAUAAAGACAAAAAAUGUGAAAAAGUAACAAAAAUAUAGCCAUAUAUUGUGUUAAUUUAAGAAAUGGAUCAGAAAUGAAAAGUUAUUUUAAAAUGAGGGCAAUAGUAUAAUAAUGAAAAAAAAUUGAAUUUUUUAAUGUAAAGUUGAAAUAUUAUAUUGAACAAAUUAAAAGUUUAUGAACUAAUCAAAGUCCAUAUAAGAGGUAUUCGUUUAUCAUCUACUUCUCCUAUCUUUGGAACUCCCACUCACUGCAAGGAUUCUUCUUCAGACUUCUUAAGGGUGGGCUUUGCCCGGAGCUUGGGAGCCUUGAGUCAACGUGCUAAUUCUUAGCCAUAGCAGAUCGAGAGCUCAUUCGGGAACUUAAAGUGAUAUGUACAGAGAAUACUUUUAUUGAUUGGCCCCCGUCAAACGUCUGUUUCUGGUCUUCUUGUUCACGCACUCGCAUGUAUCAACCCUUCAUCGACAAUGGACAUGCUUGAUUUCUGCCUUCUCGUGGGUCCCGUCCUCAAUUCCAGUCACAGAUAAUCAGGCCUAGUCUAGCCUUCCAAUCUACAGUGCGUAGCUGGAAUCUGGAGUUUCACUGCAUGCCUUAAGGAUCGAAAUAUUUCUUUUUUAUGAAUGGAUGAUCAAGACACUAGUAUAAUUUACAUUAACUAGCUGUGUAAGUUUGCUCUAGGCCUAUCAGAAUGGGUCAUAACCCCAUGAUGUAACUCAAUUUUACUUGAGUGGAUCAUAGAUGUGUCAACUGAAAUGUGAAAUAUAGAUUUAAAUGGGUUUUAAAAUGAAAAAAGGGGGGGGGGGGGGGGGUUUAAUGUUCGGAUAGAAACCUACCUCCAACCAUAGCAAACUAACUUUGCUCCCUCUUGAGUCUUGAAGAGUUCUUGUUGAGUCGCUCCCACUUCGCUCCUCUCUUCUUGCCCUCUCUCCAUGUUCGAUUCCAGUGAUCGCCAGACAUCAUUCUCCAUCUUUGGUGAGCUCUCUUUAUCCUCUUUGAUCCCAACUGAUCGGCGUCACCACUGGCCCCCGCUGCCUAUUUCUGGCGUCUUCUCCGAAGAUUUCUGAUCAUUGAAGUUAAUUACUUAUAAAAUUUCGGAUGGUUGUUUUGGCUUGGUCAAAUUUGAGGAGGUUGCUCUUUCAUUUCCAGAGCCUUUUCAAUUUUACGUUGGUCUUUUGUUGAAGUUGACACAAGGAAGGAGGUCAAGGGACUAGACAGAGCGAGGUAAGAGAGGAAAGUCUUCCCUAUACAAGUUUAUUAUUAUAAUCACGGAGAGUUGAAACCACGCCUCGUCCCAACCUCUUGAAAAAAUAAUGAUUCGAACCCCCAACCGUGGUCAUUGGGCAAGCCCCAAUUCAGCGCUGCUGCUUAGGGCGACUUAAUCGUGAGCUUUUACUCACAAUUCAGCGCUGCUGCUUAGGGUGACUUGCUCUUUAUGGUACGCCUAACUCAAGCCGAACCAACAUAUCCAUGAUCUUAAUUUCUUGAGAUUGAGGAAUGAUCAUAAUGCUCUAACUUGUGAUCAAUGAAGAUUGAUCAUCCUUUGCCUCACCUAUGCCCUUAUCCAUAACUCGACCCCCAAGCUCCCUCAAAUCAUGGGGUUGACCAUUCAAUUGAAGAACUUAAAGUGAGUUAAAAGAGUGAGUACGUGCUCUUUCUAUGUUAAAUUAAAUAUGGAUGUGUACUAGUAAUAUGAGUCAAGUCGGGUUUGAGUUAGAUUUGGAUUAGGUUAAGUAUGGGCUACUAAAAUUGCAUUAUACAUAAAUGGGUUGAUAUGAGUUAAAUGGGUCAAUUUAGAUCUCAACCAAAACCUAACCUAACUUGCCAAUUUGACGGCUCUACUUUGCCCACAUCUUUUUGCACAAGACCAAUUUUCAGCAAUAUAUUUCUCCAGCGAGCGUAUUUCUUAAAUGGAAAUACUUCAAGUUUCCAUGUAAAAGGUCAACGACUCACGUUUUCCUGCAGAAUACUCACUAAGCAAACUGUGAGUUCUGUUUAGAGGUCUCGGUCAACUCUAGUAGUAGAUUUAACGUUUGAUCCAGUAAAGCAACGCCGAAUAGAAUCAAUGUCAAGGUCCGUGAUGGUAGCUUACUUCUAGGUCCACAUUUUGGUAUUAUCCAUCUUUUGAUAAGUUUGAAUUUAGGUGAUUUCGAAUUGAUCACUCAUUUUGCAGAACCUAAGGCUUAAUUCUUUUAUUUUUAUGUAAUGAGAUUAGUUAAGGGAGAGAUAUGAUUUAAAUUUGCUUAUCCAGAUAAUCACGGUAUGUUCUUAAACUCAUUCCGCGAAGAUACUAAAGACAUUAUGACGAUAUGAGGGUAGAGAGACUCGUGAUGACGUGCAAGGAUAAGCCAAUGAGGGAGGUCUACACCCUGGGAACAAGUUUAUUUGGGCUUUGGCUGAAGGAGGUCAUGACAUGUGUUUUGGGUUUUAAUUCUUUUCUCAGCUCAGUUUAGCUUGUUUUACAGAAAAACGAGUUGUCCACACCGAAUUGGACCCAUUAAAUUCGAGUGACAAAAGAUCCAUUUUUUUGGUUUUAUUCCAAACGGGCGAAAAUUCAUUUCAUGAGCUUAACCGAACACUAGAAAAUACUAUCAUUUUUCUCUUUGAAGAAUAUUUUUCCAAAAGCAUCAUAUUUUUGCAAAGCAAAUGGAUCCUAAGUGCAAGACCAAGAUACCCAAUACAAUACAGUUUUGUUGAACCACAUCCUAGCAACUUAUGAACAGGAAGAUCUAUAUUUUAUCCAGAACAGAGUAAAGCAAUGAAGAGCCUCAUAUAUAUGGGACUACGGCUAUGUGCAAAGUCCAGUGCAACUUUGCUACAUGAUGCAUGCCAGAGAAGGCAAUUGUUCGAAGAAUAAGAAAACAAGAAAAAAAAAAACUGACAAAAAGAAAGAGAAUAACGAUUAAUUACACUAAUCAUACAGUUUCCUCAAUUCGUGUCUGGGAAAGCGAUUUGAAGAAAACUUUUUUCAGGUGCUGAUUGAAGUCAGUAGAGCCCAAAUUCCCGAGUCUCUAUCUGUAGAAGUUCCAUGGCUAGGAGUGAAGAAGUUCCUUGAAAAGCUCGGUUUUUGUUAACCAACUGCACAAGAACGCUAAGAAGCAAAAUUUUCGAAGGAGUUCUUACAAAUGCUUCCCAGAGAGUACAAAAUUUUCGAAGGAGUUCUUACAAAUUUUCGAAGGAGUUCUCCAGGGUGUACUUCUGCAGGAAUUUUGACAGCAUAUGAAUCAGAUCGUUGAAGGAUUUACUUUAACUUCUCAUUUCUGCUUGCAUCUUUUACAAAUAACAGCUCCUCUUUUGUUUGCCUGGGAAGUGACGCCAUCACUUUUGUCCCCUCUUAAGUUCAGAAAUGCAUCACCUUCAGUCUCUUAAUAAGUGAUCAGUGAGUGCAACGCAAAUAUUUGGUAUGAGGUCACCUUUACUUGAGUGUGUUGUUGCUCCUGAACUCUGCAUUUGCCUGCAACUAUGAUGCACAAAUGCAUCUGGAAUCUGUUGAGAAUAUUGGAUUCCUAUACCCUGAUGUUCACAGUUAUACUACUUCGUUUUUCCGUGUACUAGUAUGCCAUUGCUAAUAUCAAGUUAAGUAUUUGCUGAUGAAGAGCUUAAUAACCAAUGGACUUCUCGACUGUUGAAGCUUUCCACAAAUCCAAACAAUUACCAUGGGAUGGAGAAAAGUUCAGUGUCAUGGAUCAUAAACGGAAAGGAGUGUUGAAAAUUCUGUAAUCACCUCAAGGCGGUCUUCCUGUUCAUUGAGUUUUAGACCCUAUGAAGUUUUGUGUGGUUAUAAUUAUGUUUCAUGAGAUGCACGGUAUGCAUUGUCAUUGGACCAAAAUCUAAUUUUAAUCAAAUUAAAAAAAAAAAAAAAACACAUUUAGGGAAAACCAACACAAUAGAUAACAUGCUCAAGCUUCUUGUGGACGACAGACUCUGGCUUCACGAGUCUCUGGUACAGGGGACUGGUGAAGCCCUUCCAUGAAUUUGGACCUCUGAAGCUCAAGAAAAUAUUGUAAUUGCAUCAAGCAGGAUCAUUUGAUGAAGUGGUUAUUAAUUCCUCAGCGAAACUGCUUGGCUUUGGUCUUCUUUUCUUACACACGAACACAAAAGGCAAGACUAAUGCAAAAGGCACCACGAUAGGAAGAAGCCACAUUGUCUAUUCCUCAAUAUUCUCUAACCUACUCACCUCCUCCAGAUGAUCAAGAAAAGAUUCGAUGCCAAAAAUUGCUAACUCUUUCCUCUCUAUUCUAAAUCUUCAGUCCCCUGCUUCGGAUUUAAAACAGGAAUCCUCCAUUUCGUCUGUUGAUUGGGCAGAAAAGAGUCAAAGUCGGGGCAGAGGUACUAAUAUUUCAUCGGUUGCUUCUCUCUUUCCAGCUCAAGACAAUCUUUUUCAGAGUCUUCGAGUUCACAUGCUCACUGGUCAGUUAACUAAUGAAGCAUUAAGUAUCCACAAUUUUGUUGGAUGUCUUUCCUGUUAAUCUCGUCCUUAAAACAAGGAAUUAUCAGGGUAAGUAAAGCCAAACAUCUAGAGUUGCAACAGCGCGAGGAAUUGUCCAAGUAAACACUAUAAAAUUGGUGCUGCUAUAUCUUUAGAUCUCAUUAGUGAUGAUCAUAGAUUUCUUUUUUCUUUUUUGUAAUUUGGGGGGGGGGGGGGGAUGGGGAAGGGGGGUGGGGGCGGGGGAGGGGAGUUGAAUAUUUUGGCUCGAGUAAUCCAUGUAUGUACGUGAACCUCUCAGUCAUGCAUCGAUUAAGGAUCUGCCUCAUCCAAAAUGCUUGACCACAGAACCAGCCCCCCACGGUUAGAUUCAGAGAUAUUCACUUUCACAUAAUACGAAGGAUAAUUCAAUCCCACGUAUCCCAGAAAGAGGAACUCCUGUCUAUUCCUAAUUUGACGAAUGAUUGAUGAGGGGAUUUUUCCGAAGUGCACUGAUGGUUAUCUAGAAGAUCUAUAGUCGACUAAUCGAGUCACACCGUCAUUCCUAGAUGAAUGUACUCCAUGAUAAUGCAUAAAUUGGCAAUAUGCAAGUUGUUGCUGGCAACGGAAAAAAACACUUUGAUGUAGGGCCAGUUUAGAAUACAAAAGCAACCCAAGAGACAAGUGCAGACAAACAAAAUUUAAUGCAAUAGUUGCUAAUGCAUGGGUUACUGAUCAAUGAAGCAGACUUGGGAGUUGGUCUUUGGAACUGAUUGUUGCAAGCCACACAGACAUAAUAGAAAACAAGUAAACUGCAGCUGGUCACUAUACCCGGCCAAAAGGAAACAAAAAACUACAGCUAGUCAAAUCACAUGGCAAAGAAGAUAGAACAUCACCAUGUCUGUGAUGGGAAAAGACAUAGGAAUUUAUUGGGGUGGCCAAGAACAAAUCGACGGUGAAUGGUAACUCAAAACAGAAUUCAGUUCUUAAUGUUGAACGGGGGAAAAAGGUCAGGUAAUGGUUCAGAGGCAAAAAGACAGUUGCAACUUCCAAAUCACCUCAAAACGAUCUGGCCUGGAUCCUCGUAGUCAGAUGAUGAACAUACUUGGCGUGUUCUGUUAGGUAAUUCUGGGGGUUUCAGGAAGUUGCAUCCAGAGAAAUCCACAAUGCUUAAGCAUCUCAACCCUCCAAGCCCCUGGAGCUCUGUUAGUUUCCCACAAUGUCGUACUUUUAGAUCUUCCAAAAGUUGUAAACCUGACAAAUCUGGUAAGUUCUCAAGCAUCUCGCACCAUGAAAUGUUAAUAAAUUUUAAUGAUCUUGCUCGAUUAAGCCCUGGAACAUCCACAAGCUGUGGACAUUUAUUCAGGGUCAAGUAUUCUAAAUCUUCAAAUUCCGAAAGAUCUGGAAUGUUUACAAUUGACUUGCAUUUUUCAAUACAUAGUCUUUUGCAUGAAGAGAAUGCCUCAAGCGUUUGGAUAUCAUGGAUCUUCUCACAGCCACUGAUGUUCAGAUAUUGCAAGGCUCCAGGGCACGGUAGUUCUGGUAAACUUUCCAAAGAGCUACAGUCAGAGAGGUCCAACAUUUCCAAGCGUUCAGCUUUAUAAAGGUCCGUUAUUUCAACUAACUUCUUGCAACCCCCAGCUUCUAUUCUCUUCAGACCAUUUAAGUUAGAAAAGUCCGGUAACCUCUCAAUGGAAUAACACUCGGAGAUAUCCAGUUCUUCCAAGUAUUCCCAUCUAUCAAGGCCUUGAAUUCCAACCAGAUUCUCACAAGCCGCAGCAUCAAAUUUCUUCAGAAAUUUCAAAUCCGAAAGAUCCGGUAAUGUUUCUAAUGCUUUACAACCCCGUAUGAUGAUCGAUCUUAAUGAGACUAAACGUUCAAGGCCCUCCAGCUUAUAUAGCUUUUCACAAAAUGAUGCUGUCAAAGCAGUUAGGCAAACAAGUUCUUCAAGCCCUUUGAUUUCAGUUAACUCAGAGCAACUGUGGAGAUGCAAUUCUGAUAAGCGUUUAAAAUUUGACAAAUCUGGAAAUCUCUCCAAAUCUGGACCUUGGCUGACUUCAAGCUUCAACAGACUUGAGGGAAGAUCUGGGAGCCAUUUUAUGUCAUCAUGAAGUUCAAUGUGGAGAUCAACAAGUUGAGAGAGGGUCUUCAUCGUAGUUAAGGCACUCAAAUCCUUGACUUUCAUUGAUAAUUGUGUUAGAUUGAUUAGGUUGGCAAUAUCUGAGAUUAUCUGACAAGCGAAAUGUAGACUUGUUAAGCUUGAGGGAAGCUCUGGCAGAUAUUGUAGCUCUUCGCAUUUCCAUAAAUCAAGCUCUUGGAGACAUGAUAACUUGUGAAUGCUUUUUGGCAAACUGGAAAUGCGGGUCUUUUUUAACCGAAGGACUCGCAGUGAAGAUAAAUCCCCUAUCUCACUAGGGAUUUCUCCUUGCAGAUAUUUACACCCUGAGGCAUCUAACUCUUCAAGCUUCUUCAACCUUCCCAUGGUUCUUGGUAAACUUUCUAAGAAUAUAUUAGUCAUGAGCAGAACUUUCAAAUUGUGCAGAUUCCCAAUGGAGUAGGGCAGCUCCUUAAUAGCCGAAUGUGAUAAAUGCAGUUGGGUUAAUGAUGUCAAUUGUCCAAUGGAGUCGGGCAGUGUUUCCAAUGAGUUGCAUUCCUGUAGCAGCAAGCUAUACAAGUUCCAGAGGGAUUUUAUGGAGCUGUCAAUUCGAACCAAUGAUCUACAAUUACGAGCAGAAACAAUCUCAAGCUUCCUCAUGCGACCUAUGGACAUGGGAAUCUCUUUUAUGGAACUGUCAUCAAUAAGAAGCUCCGUCAAGUUUGUUAGUCUCCCCAUUUCUUCAGGUAGCUCCUUGAGUUUGUCACAUCCCUUCAGACUCAAGGAUACGAGUUUCGUGAUACUCCUGAUAGAAGGAUGAACUUUGACUAGAUUAACACAAUAUUCAAGAUUCAAGAUCUCAAGAUUCCGGAGAGCUGAGAAGUCAGGAGUUUCAGUCAAAUUCUCGCAGUGCAGAAGCCUCAGAACUUUGAGCUGGUUCGCAAUCCACCACAAACAAAAUAUAGCAACGUUAGCUCUUGGAUUUAUCAUAUACCUCGCAAAAUUCAAAAGAAGAUGGAGAUUUACCUUCGGUAAUCCAUUCACAUGGUGCCAUGCGUCCCAGUGCUCUGUGAGACUACUGGCUCUUACGUUGAGAAUAACCAAGUUCUCCGGAUGAAAGUCUGGUGGAAAAAAAGACGUUGGGCAGGCAAUCCAAUCAAGCCAUCUUAAAUUAGGAAGAAGGCCCUUGAAAUGGCCCGUGACUUCCGCCUGCUUGAUACGAAGGUACCUUAAGUUCGGCAGUUUUCUAAACUGCUCAUUUGUUAAGCAGUAUAGUUUAGAAAGGGAAGGGGAAUACUCAAGACGGAGGGCCUCGAUCUGACUCGUUCCCUGCAAGUGCCCAGAAACUGAGGAAUAAGUGCGCCGCGCAAGACCGAAUGGAGGCUAAUUAAAAGCGUGAAAAAUUGUUCCGUUUGUUCCAUACGUAAUAUUUGGUAUAACUGUACAUCCAUCCAAUUUAUAACAGAACUCUAAGGAUCAUACAUCCAUCCAAUUUAUAACAGAACUCUAAGGAUCGUAAAAGCAUUGACUCCAGGCAUGCUCCAUUACCAUAUAUGGGAACUCUUUGAAUUAUUUCAGUUCGACUGCUUUCUAGAUUGACUGGCUUUUCUGGUUUUGAUCGAUUUUCUUGCAGGGGUCAAACAGGAUAGAGAACAUAACCGGUACCCGGUUGAACCGAUUGUGUGUGAUUGUGCCAUGUAGCAACCUAAGAUAUUAUCCCGCUGAAUCAGACAAUGUCUGACAAUGUCUAAACAUGAAUAUACAAGUUAGGUUGGAUGUCUACGUUUUCAUUUUGGGGUCUAUUAUGAGAGAGACACGAUUUGACAUGAAUAGCUUGACCUCACAUCAGCGGUAUUGUGCCUAAGCUGAUGUUGUCACAAAUUUGCUGAUUCUACCCACAACCUUCGUUUUUUUAAAACUAGACUCCACACUUUUAGGCCACUUUUAUAGCCUAAAAGAGGCAGGUAAAAAGUAGAGAGUUGAAAACAUUGUACCUCAUUUCUCUCGAGCACUUUCAAAGCUUCCUCGUGAAUCCAUAAUCUACUGCGUUCACUUGGCUUGACAGAGUUUCCCUUAGAAACAAUACUUCUACCAAGAUCUCUUAACUGAUCAUGCAUCCAUAGCCGAUUUCCCCCAUUGCCAGGGACAAUUUUGACUAGGGACAUGAGACUCAGCACUUCUAGUCCCAAGUUCGGAGAGAAGCCACAGUCAUCCCACAUGUAAGUUGGAAGUCUUGGAUCUGUUCCAUUGAAAAAACAUGCAACGUCAAGGAAUAUCUGCUUCACAUCAUCAGUUAGGGUAUCAUAACUUAUCUUCAGCUUCUCUUCAACCUUCUCAUGCGGCACUUUUCUCAACUUCUCUAAUGUGUCUCUCCACGCUGCCCCGCUUUUGUCGCACAAGAGUGACCCAAUAACCUCAAGAGCCAACGGGAGCUGCCCAGUAGUUGAGACAAUAUCAUGACAAAGGUCGUUGAAGGCAGGAGGAGGGAAGUCACGUUGAAACGCAUGUCUACAAAAUAGAACCAUAGAAUUUUCUUUGUCCAAUCCCAUAAGUUCAUAUUCCCAGUCUGACGUCCCAAACUGAUUAAGAAUAUGCUUAUCUCUAGUUGUAAUAAUGAUCCUACUUCCAGAGCCAAACAACCCAUGCCCUCCUACAAGUGCAUCUAACUGAUCUUUGUGACUCACAUCAUCAAGAAAAAUGAGAACUCUCUUGCCUUCAAAUCUAGAACUGAUGAUAUUGAUUCCGUCGUCUCUGUUAGAAACUUCGUGGGGGCUUCCUUUAAGAACUUCAGAGAUCAAUUCCUUCUGCAAGUGCACAAUUCCCUCAUGCGAUUCCGUUUCUCGGAUAUCAGCUAAGAAGCCACGGCGCUCAAAUUGGCUUGACAGUUUAUUGUAGAUGACUUUGGCAAGAGUUGUUUUACCGGCACCACCCAUUCCAUGAAUUCCAAGUAUCCGUGUAUCUCCAAAUUUAGUAUCUACCAUCGUCAUAAUUUCUUUUACAUGAAUGUCCACUCCCACCAAGUGUUUAGGGGUCACUAACUUAAAAGCAUUCUUUAACUCGCUCAAAACCUUUAUAACAACCGCUUUUAUGAGCUCUGCCUCAUUCCUGUCAAAAUCGUGCUAUGAUCGAGAUCAUGAACAAAUAUCAAGAGUAAUACUUACUAGAACAAACUCAGAUAAUAAGCAACGAGAUGAAUUGGCAAAUUAAUAAUGGUCAAUAGUCUAAAAAAGUAAUGUACUUUGCCAUAUAUUAAUCAGCUUAUAUGAAUAAGGGAUUUGGAAGUACCCAUUAGCAAUAUUUUCGGAUACCAGUCCUUUCAAGGAUCCAACUUCUUUGAGUGCUUGUCUCCAUUCCUGAACGACGCUAUCCUCAAAACGCUGCUUGUAUGAAUUGAAGACAUCUCCAAAGGUUCCCUUGAGCCACUUCACAUCUGCGGGCUCUACUUUAUAGAAUAUGGGCAAGAUCACUUGUUUCAUCUCUUUCUUGCACUUGAGCAUCCGAACGAGCUCAAAAAGGCACCAUUUGCUGGAAGCAUAGCAUUCUGAGAGAACUGGGAUUGAGAUCUUGCUGUUGUCAAUGGCCCGGAAAAGCUGUGGGCCAAUCUCCUCUCCUAGAGGGAGCUCGUCGUCAUCUCUGAACACGCGAACUCUCAGUUCUCGGAGUCGCUCGUAGAGGUGGCUGGUAAAGCCCUUGCGAGAGUCUGGACCUCUGAAGCUUAAGAACACAUCAUAAUCACAUCCUGGCGAAGCAUCCGAUGAAACUGGGGACACGGAAACCGGCUUCUCCACGAAGGUAAUUGCUGUUCUCUUCACCUUUAGAAAUUCUGAGGGAAUGAAAACUGAAAGCAAGAUUAAUCGGAUGCUAAACCACUGCAAAAGAAUGAAAGAUCUGAGGAUACAGAUUUCCUCUCUUUCUAUAAUGUACUCGCGUAUUAAAUUUAAUGAAGGGAAACAAGUCAAGGUCCAUCCUGGAGGUGUCUUACCAGACAUAGUAAAUAAUAGGGGUGCGCAGCAGUCUAGGGUCGACCAUGGACCGACCCUCGACCGGCCCAACCCUGCCGGUCUUUCCAAGGGGAUUGGGUCGGUCCUUGGUCCUGAAAUUCCAGGACCGACACUAUGCCGAUUGGUCAUCGGUUCUGAGAGUUUUGAGUCGGUCAAAUCCUAGAUUAACCCUGUAUAUUAUAUUAUAUUAUUUAUAAUUCUUUUAUAUAUUCAAAUCUAAGUAAAAUUUCUAUUAUAUUAUAUUAUAUUAUUUAUAAUUCUUCUAUAUAUUCAAACCUAAGUAAAAUGAUGUUAAAGCUAUUGACUCCUCAGACUUACAGUCACAGACAGACAGCAUCCAAUUUCAAAAGGCGUGAAGUUUAUGCCGUAAAGGUCUUCACGGCCUCCUCCUCCACAGUCCAGAGUACGUUGACCAAGGACUCCUCACAAUCACGGACUCGUGACGUCCAAAAUGGCGUGAAGUUUACGUCGUAAAUCUCCUCACGGCUUCCUUCCCCAAAGUUCGUUCUCUUCCAUUCUGUGUUCUUUGUUCUUCAAUUUACCAAAAUCAAAAGUAGCAACAUUCCGCUAGCCACAUUGUGGACCCUAUCUUGUCCCAUAUCUUGAUGAGCAGUUAGUAGAUACGAAAUUUCUAUUAUUGUGUCAUCUUAAAUUUGCUGAAUAUGUAUUGAUAUUUAUAGUUUAGUUACACAAUGCCGCAUUGUGGAUGGAUGUAUAAUUUGAAUUUGUAGGUUUACUUUUUUAGGGAGUAUAAAAAACAAGACGAAAAAAAUUAUCGAUCGGUCUCGGGUCCCUGGAACUGGACCGAACCCAUUGGGUCAGUCCGGUCCUUGGUCCCAGGCUCAAUAGGGUCGGUCCUCGAUCCUAAAAAUUGAGGACCGACACUGUACGGGUUGGUCCUAGAGUUAGGGGGUGGCCCGGACCAACCCAGCCCAUGCUCACCCCUAGUAAAUAAAUCUCUUCCAGUCAAGAGUAGGUGGUUUAACGUGGACCAGUCAUUUAUUGAGAUGCACGUGAAAAACACAUUGAGUCCAUCACCUCCGCAUAUAUCAACGAAUUUAUCAAGGUACUAAUGUAAAUUAAUUUUAAAAAAUAUCAUAUUUGGAAGUUGAUGUAGUAUAUAAUAAUUAAUAAUUAUAUUUGUAUCAUAAUUCAUUGGCUUUCGUGUCCAACUGUUGACGGGCUAAGACUUAACCUUUCUCUUGGCGAUUUUCUUAUUGGAAGGUAUUAAAAGUAAACAAUAUCAGAGUAAAAAAUUAAUUGGUGCGAGAAGGAAGAAACAGAUGUAGAGAUAUAAACGACUUUGGAAAUGAAAUGGACUAAACAAGAACAAAAAGGAACCACCAAAGAAAAUCCUUCUCCUUCCCUUUUUCUGGAAGAAUGGAGGUUCUAGACAAAAUUGCUGAAAAGUUUGGCCCCUAUUUGUUUCAAUUGUUGUUGUAGUGCACAGACACAACAAAGUGGAGAUUUAAGUUGGGACAUUUUGAUAUAGAAUAUAUCUAAAUUGACGGGGAGCAAACUAACACUAAGGUCACUUGUAGGGCAAAAAUUAUUAAGAUGUACGUGUGAAUUAUGCUAGGAAAAUCCAACAUUAGAGAAUUUGUAUGUUGUAAAACAACUAUAAUCACAAUCAGUCCACAAUUUAUUUACAUAAUCUUUUAAGGGAAAGUGUAUCUAAUUGGAUAUAUUGAUACAUUUAAACAUUUCUUCUCAGUUUAACAAAAAAUACUAAUGUUGGAUUAAGUGGGGAAAUUCAACUUAAGAAUGGACAGCUGCAACAACAGCUAGCAUUUGAAAUAGUGAAUCUUUUUGGAAGAGUCAAGAGAAUAAGAUUUUGGACCCAAUUUAGGGUGCGUUUGGGAGAAGCUUUCGAAGGGGCUUUGGGCAUCAAAAGCCCCUUGGGCCAAAAUAAGAGUGUUUGGGAGAAACUUUGGAAGUCUCUUAAUGGCAAAGCUGGUAUUUGUAAGGCUGAUCAGCUUUCUUGGCAUGUCCAUGCGGUACUGUUCAUUUUUUUUUUUUUUUCAGAAAUUGUCCUCAUAAAUUUUUUAUUUUUCCAUUUUUUCCCCUCCGUCGUGAUCCCGACAACCUAGGCAAUCGUCGUCAGAGAGUCGGGCAACCUCCGCGAGUUGCGGCAUUGUGUGACCCUUCGUGAGUUGCGGCAACUCAACGACCAUGGUGAGGGGCCACCUGGCGAGUCGCGACUCAAAUUUGGGUUGCCCCGACCCAGAUCCUCGCAGAUCUGAGUCGCCCAACCCCAGCGAGCCGCAGUGGCCCAAAUUUGGGUCGCGGCAACUCAGAUUUGAGUCACCACGACCCAAAUCCUUACCGAUCUGGGUCGCGCGACCCUCAACGAGCCAUCUAGUCGCAAAUCUGGUUGCGACCAGAUGCAGUCGCCAACAACCGUCACGUGCCGCAUUGCGACCUCUGCACAAAGGUCGCCGAGGCCCCUCAACCCAUCUAGUCGCAGGUCUAGUCAUGACCAGAUCUGGUGUCGGAGACUCGAGCGGCGACCAGAUCUACAACUAGAUGGGUUGCGACCUUAGAUCCGAUCGCCUGUGACCCUCUAGCAAGCGUCACGCAAUCCUCGCAGGAUUGCCUAUCUCUGCCGGACGGCUUGCAUCGGACUAUUCGCCCUUCACUAGACCGUCUGCUCCUUGCUGGCGACUACUUAUUCUUGGCCGGCCAAUUCUCAUUUUCAUUUUUCUGUUUUUUAAUAACAAAAGUCUUUUGCAAACAUAAUUUUUCUAAACCCCAUUUUACUCAAAGGCGACUUUCAAAGUAUAAUUUACCAAAUACAGUUUGCAUUUUGAAAAAUUCAUUUAAUUUAAAGGCCUUUGCAUUUUCCCAAAGUUUUCCCUAAAGCCUUUUCAAACGCACCCAUGAUGAAGAAUAGCUCGAUGGAAAGGGUGCCGAACGGGAGAGUGCCAACACCAAGGACUAACAACCGAGAUGGGUAUUUCUGAGGUGGGAUUUCCCUAGGAAUUUGGUUAGUCCUCACAGGUAUUCGAUCUGGGGAGCUUUCGCUCCGAGAUAUCCACCAAAA